RNAcentral lists this long non-coding RNA (159606 nucleotides) under Panax ginseng (ginseng). RNAcentral's name for it is "long non-coding RNA (PGIN_LNC007104)". Lineage: Eukaryota; Viridiplantae; Streptophyta; Magnoliopsida; Apiales; Araliaceae. The record is from RNAcentral.
GUUUUAUUUAUAAUAUGAUAAUAACAACCACCUAGUGGUAGCUGAUUUAUUUAUUACAUGCUAAUAACAACCAUGAGUUGAUAGUUGAUUUAUUUAUUAUAUGCUAAUAACAGCUAUCAGCUAGUGGUUGAUUUAUUUAUUAAUUGCAGUCUUGUUCAUUUACUUCAGUCUUUUUAUUUAAUUAUGUUAAAUCAUAUGUGAAUCCUAAUUUGUACUUGUACUCACAGAAAAUAAACCUAAGAAUUCAUCAAAGGAAAUAAAAGAUAAACGACAAUACAAAUAUUGCGUUUUGUUUUGUCUUAUUUUUUAAAAUUUUAUUUUCAAAUAUAUACGCAUGCAUGAUAAAGAUUCACAAUUAUAUAUAUAUAUAUAUAUAUAUAUAUAUAAUCCGUCGAGGUGUUUUAGUUGACUAGCUAGUAUAAACUACCAUCUACCAAAUCGUUAUUAGCUAACGAGCUAGUGUAAAUUUUCAUCUUGGAAGCUAGUAUAAACUAUCAUCUAUAAAAUUGUUAUUAGUAGAGGAACUACGAAUGUAAACUAUCGUCUAACAAACUGUAUUAGUUGAUGAGCUAGUGUAAAUUACUAUCAUUUACCAAAUAGUUAGAUAGACUGUUGGCUACAGUCAAAUGUGUUUUGGAUCAAUUCCUAUAUAUGUGUGUGUGUGAAAAAUUCAUGAAAAUCUAAAACUUAGUUGUUUUGGUACUAUUGAAUUGAUUUAUCUUUUCAUCUUUAUUUUUUUUUAAUUUACUACCCGACCCAAAUCUUUUCUCUUCUCGUAUCAAUAGUAAGUUUAAGAUUGGAUGAUAUUUUUGUCCCUUCAUUUUUUGUCAAUUGAGUCCUUAAAGUGGUCAAUUGAUGUCAAUUCUGUCUCUUUUCUCCAAAUUAACCCAAUUUCUUCUAAAUUGAAGUACAUGCUCGGCAUAUAUAUGCGAUUUAAGUUGGGGCAAAAAUGUCUCCUAACACAAUAAUAAUAAUAAUAAUAAUAAUAAUAAUAAUAAUAAUAAUUCAAAAUUAUCUAAUGAAAAGACAUAAUUUAAGCAGUACCAUCUUGUAAUUUAUGUAAUCACUUUAUUUAAUAUCACAAUAAACCAGCUAGUGAUAGUUGUUUUAUUUAUAAUAUGGUAAUAACAAGCACCUAGUGGUAGUUUGAUUUAUUUAUUACAUGCUAAUAACAACCAUGAGUUGAUAGUUGAUUUAUUUAUUAUAUGCUAAUAACAGCUAUCAGCUAGUGGUUGAUUUAUUUAUAUAUCGUGCUAAUAACAACCAUCAACUAGUAUAUAGUUUCUUGAUUUACUGUUGAUCGGAAGAUUACUGAUCGUUCAUUUAGGUGUUGGUGGGACUAAUGUUAACACCAUAGAUAACUAAACCUGUCUUCAUAGUCACGUUUUCAGUCCCGUCAAGAGCAAAUAUGAUAUCUCCAUAGUCAAACUUAUUGAAGAAUUCCCCAGCUUUGAGCGAAAAUGGUGUGUUUCUCGGAUAAUUCAUCAAUCCAUAUCCGUUCACUUGCGAGGAUCCAUUCGGAAGAGUAAGUGUAAGACUCACCGGACUUGCUAUGUUAAAGUUGUCUUUCAGCAGCACCACAAAAGAUACCUCAUAAGAUAAAUUUUCAAGCUUUUCUGUCAUAUAGUUUCCGUCAACAUGUAGGACUAAGCUACCAAUUAAUUCAGCACUGUCAGGACUGUACAAAAUGAUAGUAGAAUUAAAGUCAGAAACUUUUGAUAUAAGGAGCUUAAAUUCAUUAGGUGAUUUUAUUGAUUUAUUUAUUUUUUGCUGGAAUAUUUUUAAUGCGAGUCCUUCUAUCUAACUAGACUUCAAUAAAAUUUCUAUAGUCCUUCUAUCACUUUAAUUUAAUGACAAAGUUGCUUAUAUAUCCCUAUUUUUAACUGAAUAAAAUUCAGGUGUUUAAACACAAAUCUUGACCUUUGACGUCAAUUAAGUUAACUAAAUCUUAUUUCUACUUACGUAAACUUCCAGCCUGAAGGGUUGGCAUAAUUGAGUUUACUGGCAGGUACAUAAGCGCCAGAACUCUGAAUAAGACGAGAAAAAAAAAUUCAUAUCAUCCAUUACAAAAAAAUUUCACUUGCAAAAUUUACAAAUAUUAAGGAUUAUUUUUGUUCUAUAGCCAACUUUAGCUAUAUAUAUGAUGUUUGUUUACAAUUUCAGUAGACUUACCUUCUGGCCUAUUCCGCCGUUUUGGAGCAACUCCAUUUCCUUGGCUUGGGACAACAAUGCCUUGAGGUCAACCUCAUUAUGCCUCACUACUUGUGCCAUCUCCUCGAUCGAUCGAUAACUAUCCUUUAAUUCUGCUAUAUAUAUAUAUAUAUAUGUAUUUUCUGUUUCUAUUCUUGAUGUCUAUAUAUCUCUCUUCCAAAGGCUAGCUCUAUUUAUACUGGCACAAACAGAGGGUACUGCGAUUAUUAUAUCCCAUAAUAUCCUAUCUUCAAAUAUUCCUUCCCUUUUCAAAGUAGGGAUCCGAUCCUGAUAAGUUUAACAUCAUCAUCAUCAUCAUCAUCAUCAUCGCCAAGGAUAUAGAGCAGCAGAUUCUGUUUAAUAAUUUUGUUGGAAUAAUUCUUUUCCAUUUCCCAGUUCAAUAGUUCUUUCUUUAGCUUGUUGCGCAGGCAAAAUUCCAUGAAGGCGAAAGGCACGUAGGCAUACUAGUUGUGGGCAAGGAAAUUGUACCUUGCUAGGGUUAGGAUUUCGUGUUGGCUGAGGAGGAGAGAAAUUCACGAAGAGCACGGAAUUGAUUGGUUGAUUGAAGAGGGGAGAACGACAGGUGGGCGAUUACUCCAACGACGUGUGGCAGAACCCCUAGAAUCCAGGAACCGUGUUAGGGUAGUAGGGAUUCCAAGAGCCUUCUUGAGUCCUUCGUUCUUGAGAGAAUGUCUAAACCCCUUUUAGUGCUUUUAGGUGGAAUCUCCGAGCCUUUAAGUCACCAAAAAGGGUUCUUUGAUCUUCCGAGAGUCCAAGUCUUGAGUCUAAAGAGAAGUCUCUUUCCCAAUGGAAUGGAAGGGUAUUUAUAGGGUUUUCUGGAAAGUAGUCAUGUGCGAGGCACAUGCUUUCAGGGAAAUUCCAGAAAUGCCCUUUAGUCAUUAGAAUAAUGCCCAUGUUGCCCUGUCCUUCUAGCCACCAAUCCAAUCCCUCAAUUAAUUCCCACAUCGAGCCGCCUCCACGAGUCUUCUGCCUCGGGACACGUGGAGGCUUCUCCCGGGUCUAGCACAUUUAUUUAUGACUUUUUCAUCUUCAUUCCAUUCGGUUAUGCGAACACUAAUUUGCACAUUUAAUGAGGCCGUGGAACCCUAAUUGCGCAUUUAAUUCAAUUAGGUCAUGUGAACUCUAAUUUUACACUUUGGCCCACAUUUGCCCCCUGCGCGAGAGUCGCAUUUUCAAAUAGACGAUCGUGCAAGAAAACUGCAAGCCUUUGAAUGAUUUUGCGGGACUUCACUUUACAUGUCUUGAAGACAAUAGUCCUAGAAGAGGGAACUCCUAGGGAGCCAAACCCUUAGAGUUAAACCCUAGGAAGGCAAGACCUAGCGAGGCUCUUCCUUGGACAUAUUGAAAAAUCUUCUGAAAUCUUUCUGUAUUUUGCCCAAUAUUUAUUUCCAAUUCCGCAAGCAGAUCAACUGUCCGAGCAGCCUCAAUACGAACAGAAACAGAUUCCGAUAACUUGGAAUGGAAAAUAGAAUUAAGACCAGGCAAAACAUUGAAUAGAGCGAUGUAGAGAUCUAAAAUUUCAAACAACUUGAGAAACGAUGGACGGGUACUACUAACGCCUUCUGCAAAGUUAAUCAAGUGCAAGGCGGAUUCUUUAACUAUACCCAUAAAACACACAUCAAAUGUGGAGUUACCAAGUCCACUAAAGAUUUGUUCACAGAGUUUCUUCUCCUUUAUGAAGAGAUCUUCAAAACAAACACGAGAUGCUCGUAUCCACAAUUUGAUCUUUGGUGCCAACAUAUCCCACUCCAAACUCCGGAACUCACCGAUGCUAUAUUUACCGACGCCGAGGUGUCGAAAUUCUGCAUCCACAAUCAACUUCCUUGAAGUCCUGUAGAAUUCAACGCAGUCGCCAACAUUACCGGCUGAGUUCAAUCGUUCAAUGAUACUCCUAAAACCAUAAACUUCGUCAAUAUGUCCAUCAUCCUGUAAUUCAUAGCUAAAAGUAUCGGUUAUUGUACUUGAAAAAAUGGUAGAACUCCUAUCGGCCAAGAAAGCAUUGUGGACUCUGUUGGUUUGUCGGGUCAAUAUGACCCGAAACUCUAACGGAAGGGUUUCCAUGCCCGUUUAGAUCAUGUUUUGAUGCUUUCAGUUUGGGGAUCUGAGAUUAUUCUCGAUCGUCUGAAGCUCGUCAAAAGUACUGAUCAAUCUCAUGGCGGUCUCCGUCGAAGUCGAAGAUGAUGAAUUUAAUAAUUCCGCCCGAAUAUUUUGUGUUCUACCAAUUCCAUUCAGACAAUACAAAAGAGAUAUAUAUAUCUGCCUAAAAAUUGAAAACCGAAAAUCAUCUCUGAACAGCAGGCUUUGAAAAUUACUCCUACUAGUAGUUUAUAAAUAUAAAUACUUUGAAGAUUGUAAGAAGUUCAUAGCCAUCCACUAGUAAAAGUACUUACCAUUACUAAUUGAUGUCACGUUACCGCAAUUAGGACGGAGAGAGAAAGUCGGACCAACUCUUUUUUUUUUUCAAAUCAAACAUUAAUUUUUUAUUUCCAAAAUCAAAUCUUAAUUUUUAUUUUCAAAAUAAAAUCAAAUCUUAAUUUUUUAUUUCCAAAAUAAAAUCAAAUCUUAAUUUUUUAUUUCCAAAAUAAAAUCAAAUCUUUCUUAAUUUGAAAAGAGAUUUUUUUUUUUUGAAAAUGAAAUAAAAUAAAAUCUCUCUUUUUUUUUUUUGGCAAAUCAAAUCAAAUCAUUUUUUUUUAUCAUUCACGCAAAAGAUUUAAGUGCAUGAAUAAAAUAAAAUAAAAAUGCAUGAAUUUAAGAGUCAUAUAAUCUCACAGAUCUAAUGAAGGGGAAUUGCCACAUGCCUACGACAUUCUCUAUGAAAAAAAUGAUGAAUUAAGGCAAAACGAGAUCCAAUCAUGUAUUAUUUUUUUUUUGAAAAUAAAAUAAAUCUUAUUUUAUUAUCUUUCAAAAAAAUAAAAUAAAAUCUUAUUUUAUUAUUAUUAUUUUUUAAAAUAAAUAAAUAAAUAAAUAAAACAUUUACUUAUCUUAUUUUUAAGAAGUAAGGAGUCGAUGAGAAUGUCUUGUAUCCAUAUUGAAGCCUUUGAUAAUUCUUUGAGCAAAGAUGAUUAUAGCUUUUUGAUGAUUCUGACAUCUUUUAUAUGAGACAAGUCUUCACAUGCUUCCGAUUUUUAUUUGCCAUAAAGAAAGAAUCCAUUAAAGCUUCACAUGCCAGUUGCCACUCCUCUGUUAGCCAACAAAAAAAAAAAACAUUGUUUUGCUGCUUUAUUUGGGUGUUAUAGCCACAGGCAAGCCUCUUUCUAUCCACGCCGAACCCUACUGAUUCAAUUUUUUAUUAUUUUUUUUUUAUUAAAAAAAAUCAAGAACUUUUGGAACACUUAUAUUUAGAAGAAGCUUGUACGUAUGGGAAUUGAUGAUCCAAAAACCCACAACCCAAUUCUUAAUCUCAGUUUCUUUCUUGCUAAUCUUUCUCAGUUGAUGAACCCUUUGGAUAAUAUUAACGAUCCUCUUAGGAGGUUGCAAUAUUCAGAUCCCACUCAACUACUAGCCAAAAUCCAAAUUUUACAUAACCUAUUGCAGGCCAUAAAUGUGAGUCCUUCUUUCCCAAAUAUUAAAGUAGUAAACGUGAAUAAUCUCUUGGGAUCAUAUAAUUAUCUUAGCCAAUUUGAUGGAGUGAUCACGAGUGAAGCUAUCAACCCCAUGAUUAAUCCUAUCCCCAACAACCGGCCUUUAAUAUAUAUACUCCAAUCCCAAACUCAUUUGGAUUCUUUAGCCCACAAAUAUUUAACAAUGUUAAUAGCUUAAGUGGUGUUGCAUGCAAUAUUACUCAUCAAACUGAAAAUCAGCUUCCGGAAAGUUCCAAUACCAAGGAAAUGGACAGUAUGAAGCCUACAAACAUCCCCUCCGGUUCAACCAACUCUGACAAUAUCUUUGAGGUUUUGGAGAAAUUUGUUGAUUGUGAUCAAGCCAAUAGUACUUCCUUCUUGCUUCUUUUUUUUUUUUAUUCAGGUAACUCUAGUCUUUCUUUUGUCUUCCGAGCCCCAUUACCUUGAUCAUAUCUUGGUUUUUUCCCUCGGAUCAUAAAGAAAGAUUGGUAUUUUUUUUUUCUUGCAGGCCCUCCCUGUUGAACAUUCUGCAGACUUGGGAACAACCAAGGAGGCCCCGUUUCUCAAUAAUUGGGGAAGGGAUCCCCUCUUUUGGUCUUUCCGACGUCUUUUGAGAGCGAGUCUAGACUUAUAAUCGUACAACACUUCCUCCGCCAGAGAAGAAAGGCGUGUUUCUUUAUGUCGCGGCUUGCGGAGGUUUGGGUGACUUCCUCCCUUCCGAUCGCAUUCUCCGCAUGUGCAUAGAGAAACAAGAAUAGCCUUUCAGUCCCUUUCGCUUCCUGUCUGACUCAUCUGACCGCCUUCAAGGAUGGCAACAUUGGACCGACUUCCCGUUGUGUGCUCUUCUUCAUACACAUUCAUUACUACUUGGGGGGGAAUUCACCCCUAUUCUAGAGGAUGUCUCUGCCCUCCACCAGUAGGUCGUACUUCGGUUUGCCCCCUGCACGUGAGUCACACCUUUGGUGGGACAACCGUGCAUAAUUUCUCCAGCAUUGAAAUCUUGCUACAAAUUUCUUAAUGAUUCGCGGAGCACGAUGGUGCAAGCCUUGAACAUAAAAUCCCUAGGAGGGGAGACCUGUAGGGGGCGAGCCCUAGAGAAGCUCUCCCUGGCUAUCUUGGAAAAAAUCUUCUAUCUUAUCCUUCCGAAUAUUACUUUCUUUUGGAAGUUCUCUCAUUUUCAAAAUUAAGAAGUCAACGAGAAGGCACCGAGUGAACAUACUUCAAAUUGGGGUGAACAAGCGAUGAAGGAGAUCUUUCCUCUAGGUACCCGAAUCCUGAGCGGCUUCAUUCUGGAACAUUGAUUAACGAGCUAGGAGAAGUAAAAGGUAAGAGGGGAGAGCCUCUGUAGGUGUUUGAACCCCAGGGGCCGAACCCUAGAAGACUGCCUAUUCCUUCACUCUUUUUUUCCUUCUUCCUUUCACUUGAAUCUUGGUCGUGUCCUAGCUUGGUUCCCCAAUAUAGUUGAUCGGAUACAUCUUCAUAGGACCCUUCUCCAGAUUUUCUUGCUCGAUUGUCUUCUGAGACUUAUUCUCGAAAUGCACAUUCUCUCUCUAUUAUCUGUGAGCAGAAGACUUAGAGGUGUUUUAGUUGUGAAGUUGAUGACUUCUCGAUCCUUCUUGGGCCUUGACAUGUCUCCCUUCCGUGCUAAGCUGGAUCUCUUCACUUUCAGUUAUCAUGUCAUUGCACUUUGUUCGGAGGUCACUUCACGUCCUCAUGAGAAUGACUUUCUUUAUGUAAGGGCCUCAGGAGCUUCAGGACGUCAUGGAUAGAUUGAAGGCCAAGCUUCGGGAAAUUGAUUCAUCUGCCCAAGACCUUAAGGAACUGUUAGCCUGAAGUUCGAAAGGCUCGAGAUACUGCCAUUGUCGACUUGGAGGCUUUAGCUAUGCCCCCAGUUCAGUUUGAUGUAUCAUGACCUUUGGAUCAUGACUUCAUGUAGCUUUUAUUUCUUCCAUCACUUUUGAAGAUAAAGUGUAUUAUCGAGGAUUUCAGGGUCAAGUGUCUCAAUCACUUUUGAAGUUGAAAGUAUAACUCUUUUUUUUUUCUGGAUCGAGGGCUGAUUAAUCAGGUGCCUCAUUACUUUUGAAGUUGAAAGUAUAACUUUUUUGGGUCGAGGGCUGAUUAAUCAGGUGCCUCAUUACUUUUGAAGUAGAAAGUAUAACUUUUUCGAGUCGAGGGCUGAUUAAUCAGGUGCCUCAUUACUUUUGAAGUUGAAAGUAUUUUUUUUUUGGGUCGAGGGCUGAUUAAUCAGGUGCCUCAUUACUUUUGAAGUAGAAAGUAUAACUUUUUCGGGUCGAGGGCUGAUUAAUCAGGUGCCUCAUUACUUUUGAAGUUGAAAGUAUAACUUUUUUGGGUCGAGGGCUAAUUAAUCAGGUGCCUCAUUACUUUUGAAGUAGAAAGUAUAACUUUUUCGGGUCGAGGGCUGAUUAAUCAGGUGCCUCAUUACUUUUGAAGUUGAAACUAUAACUUUUAAGAAAUUUGCUCUGAUCAAAAUUUGAUGUAUUUAUUUAACGAUCAAGAUAUAAUACAUUUUUUUUUCAUUUUCUAGUCUGCUAGGGCAGUAGCUUAUUCAGCAUUAUGCUUCUUAUUAUAGUUCGAUUUCACCUGCCGCUAAUUUUUCAUGAUAAAUUCUCCUCAAAUUACGACAAUUCAUGAUGGAAUGUCCUGGGUAUUGAUGAUACACGCAAAAGUCUGAUCUCUUCUUCAUCUCCUCGGUCACAACAAAUCUGGGUUUUGGAGGCUUCACCAUUCCAUUUUCUACCCAUUUCUCAUACAAAUCUUUAAAUAUCUCCUCACCACAAGUGAUAGCUUCGGGCUCUAGCGAAUUUAUAUUCUUUUUGAUUCUUUCCCUCUUGCCCCCCUGUGGCUCUGACUGAGAGUCUGUCAAAGCCGUAGUAGCUGUCCUCUUACUCUUCCAGGUAGCAAUCGGAUGGUUCACAGAUACUGCCAUAAUUUCUCCAUGGUCCUGUGCAAAGGUGGAAAGUGUCGCAAAGGAAUCACAAGACUUAGUGAUCAAGUGGGGCUUGAAGGCGUCGAGGGCGCCGUUGUUGCAAAUACUCACUAAAUUCUUCUCUUCGAUUGGCUCCACACACUUCCGCGCCUGGGCCCGAAAGGUGGAAAGUGUCGCAAAGGAAUCACAAGACUUAGUGAUCAAGUGGGGCUUGAAGGCGUCGAGGGCGCCGUUAUUGCAAAUACUCACUAAAUUCUUCUCUUCGAUUGGCUCCACACACUUCCGCGCCUGGGCCCGAAAUCUGUCAACAUAAUCAGAUAACUCCUCAUUCGAAUUUUGUUGAAUUCUCAUAAGCUCUAUAAUUGACACUUCCUUCUGAACAUAAAAGAAUUUUUUGAAAAACUGGUGUUUCAUAUCAUCCCAAUCUCGAAUCGAACCCUUCUCCAAAUUGUAGUACCAGCUGAAGGCACCGUUAGUGAGCGUCUUGUUAAACUCCCUCAAUAGAAUAUUGUGGUUGCUCACUUCAUCUAUUCCCAACCACGAGGACAUCGACUCCACAAAUCUUGCAAUAUGCUCUCUCGCAUUCCCUUUCUCUCCACUAUACUUAGGGAACUGAAGUGGAUGUUCAAUGUACCCAGCAGGGUAUGGCUGUCUUCUCACAUGCGCCGGGUAUGGUGGGGUGAAAUCCAGUUCCGCAGGCCUGACUGUCUGUCUACGCAUCUGAUUGAUUACAUCCAUCAUGUCUUCCCUUGUCGCAUAUUGACUGGUUUCUGGAGCCUUUUGGGACGUCAUCGCAUACUGGUUUAUCUGAGGUGUAUGUGGAACACAUGUUGAUGCACACUUGCCUCAUGUAAGAUUGGUUGUACUUGCUGGAUUAUUGGUUGUAUAUGGCUUGGGAUGGUUGGUAUCUGCACUUGUGAAAAUGCUGGGAGUGUAAUCGGGAUGAUGUUUAGCUGAGGCUGGCUAGCUUCCAAUCUAAGUGGUGGUACAUCACCACUGUUCUGGGGCUCCAAGUUGAUGACUGGAAUCGGCUGACUCUCCAUUGCUGGAGGUAUAAUCUGAUUCUCUUUGUUGUUGUUGUUGUUGUCCUCCACUUCUCCUGCUCGUCCCCCUUGCGAACUUCCUGGGAACAUGGUCUUGAAAGUGGGGAUUUGCAUCAACUGCUGGCAAAAAUUCUCCAUUUCUUCUUGCUUUCUCUGCAUCUCUAGCAUCAUGGCCAUCAUCAUCCCUUGCCCUUCUCGUGCUUCUUUCAAUGCUUUAAGCAUCUCCAGUUGCACAGCAUUCGUCUGGUCUCCCCCUGCAUCUUCGCCUUGCCUUCUUGCAUUGGUUUGUUGUUGAUUGGCCAUAUGUGGUGAUGUCGAACUCCCUUCCAAAGCGUCUUCAAUAAUUGGUUGGUCAAAAUCCAGGUUUGCGCCUUGGAAAACUUGAGUUACUUGUCUUGGAACUGGAUCCGGUGACGUAAUGCUAUUUGUUGGUGAAGCAGCUCUUCCUGUAAUUCUCCCACUUCGAGUCGUGGGCAUACCCUUCACGAAUUAUACACCUCCCCAGCAGAGUCGCCAAAGAAAUGUGGGCAAGGAAAUUGUACCUUAGUAGGGUUAGGGUUUCGUGUUGGCUGAGGAGGAGAGAAAUCCACGAAGAGCACGGAAUUGAUUGGUUGAUUGAAGAGGGGAGAACGACAGGUGGGCGAUUACUCCAACGACGUGUGGCAGAACCCCUAGAAUACAGGAACCGUGUUAGGGUAGUAGGGUUUCCAAGAUCCUUCUUGAGUCCUUUGUUCUUGAGAGAAUGUCUAAACCCCUUUUAGUGCUUUUAGGUGGAAUCUCCGAGCCUUUAAGUCACCAAAAAGGGUCCUUUGAUCUUCCGAGAGUCCAAGUCUUGAGUCUAAAGAGAAGUCCCUUUCCCAAUGGAAUGGAAGGGGUAUUUAUAGGGUUUUCUGGAAAGUAGUCAUGUGCGAGGCACAUGCUUUCAGGGAAAUUCCAGAAAUGCCCUUUAGUCAUUAGAAUAAUGCCCAUGUUGCCCUGUCCUUCUAGCCACCAAUCCAAUCCCUCAAUCAAUUCCCACAUCGAGCCGCCUCCACGAGUCUUCUGCCUCGGGACACGUGGAGGCUUCUCCCAGGUCUAGCACAUUUAUUUAUGACUUUUUUGUCUUCAUUCCAUUCGGUUAUGCGAACCCUAAUUUGCACAUUUAAUGAGGUCGUGGAACCCUAAUUGCGCAUUUAAUUCAAUUAGGUCAUGUGAACUCUAAUUUUACACUUGGGCCCACACUAGUAAAUGAUGAUUUUCUUCUAACCAGAAGUAUGAGCAGGUUAAAAGUAGAAGAAUAAGCAUCUCGCAGGCCAAAAAUCAAUAAAAAAACGAAAAGAAGAAAAAGAAAAGAAGAAGACAGCAAUAGCAAGACCAUAUUUUUCUUCUUCUUUCUUUUUAUCUUUUCUUUCUUUCUUUUUUGUUUCUUUUUAGACGGAGGGUUUUAUUUCAUCUUUGAAAAUAAACCUAAGAAUUUAUCAAAGGAAAUAAAGGAUAAACGACAAUACAAAUAUAUAUUUUUAUUUUAUUUUCAAAUAUAUACGCAUGCAUGAUAAAGAUUCACAAUUAUACACACAUAUAUAAUAGGCUACAACCAACAAUCUACUAAACAAUUUGUAAACCAUCGAGGUGUUUUAGUGACAACCUACCGUCUACCAAAUCGUUAUUAGUUAACGAGUUAGUGUAAAUUUUCAUUUUGGAAGCUAGUAUAAACUAUCAUCUCUCAAAUUGUUAUUAGUAGAGGAGCUACGAAUGUAAACUAUCGUCUAACAAACUAUAUUAGCUGAUGAACUAGUGUAAACUAUCAUUUACUAGAUGUAUGAGCAUGUUAAGAGUAGAAGAAUAAGCAUCUCGCAGGUAAAAAAAUAGGAAAAGAAGAAGACAACAAUAACAAGGCCACAUUUUUCUUUUUCUUCCUUUUUAUCUUUUUUUUUCUUUUUUGUUUGUUUUUAGACGGAGGACUUCAUUUCAUCUUUGAAAAUGUGGGUAAAGAAAUUGUACCUUAGGUUUUCAUGUUGGCUGAGGAGGAGAGAAAUCCACGAAGAGUACGGGAUUGAUUGAUGAAUUAAAGAGGGCAGAAGAACAUGUGAUCAAUUACUCUAAUGACAUGUGACAAAACUUUUAGGAUCCGAGAACCUUCUUAGGGUGCCAAAGAUCCAGGGAGUCUUCUAGGGUGUGCUUCGGGUUGAGAGAGAAUCUCCAAGUCUUCAAUCUUUCGAAAAGCCCUCUUCUUCAUAGAAUAGAAGGAGUAUUUAUAGAGUUUCCUGGAAAGUGGUCACAUGACAGACAUAUGACCUCGAGCAAAUUCCAAAAAUACCCUUAGUCACCAGAGUAAUGCCCAGAUCGUCCUGUCUUUCUAGCCACCAAUCCAAUUCCUCAAUCAAUUCUCAAAAUGAGUUGCCUCCAUAAGCCUUUUACCAUGGAGGCUCUUCCUUGAUCUCAUGAUACAAAGCUCUUAUUGCUCAAACCAUGCUUACUUGCUCUUCCUUCUUUAUUUAAGAAUCUCGUCGCCAGAAAUCAUCGGAAGAACUCUGCGCAAGACCCGGGAAGCCGCGUGUUACAAACCAGUCCCACAUCGAAAGAUAUGGAAAAAAAUUAGUCUAUAUAUAAGGAAUUAUGUUACUACCAAUAAUAUACUUUUAAGUCAUGACCUUUUGGGUGAGCCUGUGGUGGGAUAAGAUGACCCAAUAAUAUACUAUUGGGUCAGUGGUUUAAGGCCUUGGGAUUCGGACUUGGGAUUUGACCCAAGAUUUGUUUUGGGCAAUUUUACUCAGGUUGUUACAUAUGGUAUUAGAGCCGACUCUCGAAAGCUCGGGUCGGAUCAUCCGAUCGGGUUGCCGGAAGUGGGGACACGAAACCAGCCGAUAUUAUCCCACAAUGGCUAAAGAGGCAAAGAUCUGUGGAACGUAUAUGUGAUCGAUUUUGAUGGAGAUGUCAAAAAUUUAAGUGGGGUAGUUUAUAACACCUCAGUCCCACAUUGAAAGAUAUGGGAAAUACUAUUGUGCAAUGAUUUAAGCUAUCCAGCUAUAUUGUUAUAGUUUGGAUAUAUUCCAGUAUGAGAAUUAACAAACCCUGAAAUGGGAUAUUUUUAUUGCACUCUGGGAGUGGUGACGUUGAACAUGGAAGUUGUUCUGGAUAAGAUAGUAUUGAUUAAUAAAGGGCAUAUAUAAAGGGCUGAUCAUCCAUCGUGCUCAUAAGAUAAGAUGGUUCACAAAUAAAUUUUUAAGAAAACCUUUUCAAGAAAAGAAAAAGCUUGUUCACGGUCUUAUGACCUCUCAGAUGUUCAAUAUUGAUAUGAUAUUCCAGGAAUAUGAAUGAUUCAAGAUUUAAUUGCUUUACAGUUUUGUUUCACUGUUAAAGCAUGUCUCAAAGAAAACAUUUAAUUAUUGUUAAGAUAUUAAAGAAUGCUAUUACUUAUUGAGCAAUUGAAUGCUCAUUCUUGUUUUGUUAUAAAUGUUUUCAGCUAAUCAGGCUCCAACGGAGGGGUCUAAUAGAGACAAAGGAAAAGGAAAAGCUACUGAGUAGUAGGUAUAUGUUGUAAUAAAUAGUUUAUAUGUUUGUAGAUAUUUAACUAUCAUGUAAUAAGCACUUAAUGGUUACGUACCUGGUAUUAGAAGAACUCUGAUAUAAUAAAUCUAUCAAGUUUGAUAUUAUAUUAUGUUGAAUGCUUGAUAUCUUGAAGCACUGAAUAAGGGUUUAAAAUACCCGAAUUUGGGGGCGUCACACGCCCGAUUCGCCUCCUUUGCGUAUGUUUAACAUGCUCAUACAACUUGUCUAAUACUCCAUUGAUUAAUUCUAAGUAUCAUUAUAUUUCAUAACUUUCAUGUUUAAUAACUUAGAAUAACAUAUUUUAUCGUCAAAAGCAUCCACGUAGUACGAGCAUGCCCGACGCCCUCCGAUCGCCUCCGAUCGAAUGCACAAUAGUCCUAAAAAUAGCCAUUUUAGCCCCUUCUCCCGACCUCAAAUCUCAAAACUUAUAAAAUAAAAGUUUUAGGUCAACUUCUAAUAUUUUCGAAUCAUCUUGAAUCACCUCAAUCAGAGUUCGUAUAAAAAGGUUAUGCAUGUUUUACUAAAGAACGUCAAAGCUGACUUUCUGCACUUUUGGUUCAGCGCCCAUCCUAGGCCUAUUUCCAACGCCCCGGGGCUGGACGGCAGUACGUUCUCAGCCAAAAACUUCAAUUUUCAAAAAUCUUCAGUUUUGAAUGAUUUCAACAUGUCUACUUUGAAAUAUCAUAAAUUUCUCCUCCGAUAUCGAAAUGAGCUCGUUCUUAAUGGGUUGAAAAGCUUGCAACACCCUCUACAAAUUUCUCAGGACAAAAUAAUUUUCUGGAUUCUCUAACAAUCCUUUAAACUUUCUCAAAAGUCCAUCGAGACUAAGAUUUUUAUCAUUCAACAUACUUUACCAAAAUUUUCUGCCAUGACUUCGUUUUAACAUAUUUUUACUCCGUUCCAAUUAGAAUAUCUUCAUAAAUUCCUUAUCUAUAAAUCCUUAUUCCCGAAUUUUAUUUAUUACAACCCUAUCAACAAUAUUAAAAUCCAAUUUAAGUACUCUAAAUAAAUAAUGUCUAUCCUUUAAGCUUUGGCCUACGAUUCCAUUCUUGUUACCACUUCUUAUGCAAUUUAACAAGUUAUUUAUCAUGAUCAAAGCACACAUAACUUUAUUUACUCAAGGUCCUUCAUACUCUUUCAUUAAACAACCAUCGCCAACAACUAAUGAUUCAAGAAAGACUUCACAGAAAUGAAAAGAUGGAUGGUUCUUACCUUCUUAGUUAUUCUUCUUCUUCCUAGCUUAUGCUUUGUUAGCAUGAUAUACAUUGUUGGGCCCUCCAUCUACCAACUUAAGCUUUUAAGAUAAGUUGGUUACUUAACAUGGUAUCAAAGCUUUGGGUGUGCAAGGUCUUGGGUUCGAAUUUUUCCAGCUGCACAAUUAUCUUUCUAUUAAUUUAACAGUGCAAAUGCACUUUAAUUUCUCCCUUCUCUAUAAAAAAAAGUUGCGUUUGAGAGGGAGUGUUAGCAUGAUAUACAUUGUUGGGCCCACCAUGCAUCUAACAGCUUAAGCUUUUAGAUGAGUUGGUUACUUUGCUCUUCUUUCUCUUCUUAUUGGUAUUCGGCCUCUCUAUUUCUCUCUCUCUCUCACUCUCUUGUUUUCUUUCUCUUCUCUCUAGUUUGCCCUCUCUUCCUUUUUUUUUCUUGCAAAUGAAAUGAAUUGGCUAAGUGAAAAAUCCUCUAGAUCAAUUGAAUUCUCCACUAACUAACUCAACCAUACUUCUAAGGUUAGGUUAACUCGUGUAGGGUUAGGGAAUGAUAGGAUGACACUUGUAAGCUUAAUGUUUAAGGAUGACAAGAAGAUAUAAGCUAGCAUUAAAUUAAAUUUUCACCUUGCUAGAUGAGUCACACAUACUCUCCCUUUUGCUUCUUUAAUUGGUUGGAUCACCCCUCCCUUUCUUAGCUCAUAUUUUAAUUAUCCCAUGUGGGAUAAACAUCAAUCCUCUCCCUUAUCUUACUUUUUCACCCAACUUAUCUUUUAUGAGAUAACUACUAAGUCUCAUUCCUUAUCUUUUCUUCGAUAAGCCUUGUCAUUAAUCCUUAUCUCUUCCUUGUUUUCCUUCAACCCAAACUUACCAUAAAUAGAAAGUUUCCAUCUCACCUUCUCUCUUCUCCUUGUCCAUAUUCAAAUCCCCACAUGUUUAAUUCUAGCAAAUGACACUUGCCCUCUUAUAACUUUGGCUCCUAGUUUGGCUCACUUUUUGGCUCAAAGACCAAGCCAUGGCUCCUAUCCUUUGACUCUAAGCUUAAGCCACUCAAACCUUAGGCUCAACCCUUAGCUAAGCCCCUUUAAAUUCCUAACCAAGUCAUUUAAACCUUAGGUUUGGUUAGACUAGAAUUAAUUUAAUUUCUCUUUUUCUUUUAAAUUAGUUAGAUUUCCUAAUUUUUUAGUUACAUUUUUCGUAAUAUGCUUGGUUAGCUGACAAUCCGACUUUUGAUUUUCAAAAAUCCAAUUUCGCCACCAUUCCUUCUUUCCCGAAUAAACGCUAUGUAGUUCUUCGAAAUUUUAAAAAAAACGAAGUUGGGUUUUUAGCGUGAAUAGUUUUUUUUCAUACGACUUUUUCUAGAAAAAUAUUUUAUUAGAGAUUUCAUCUCGCCUUCUCAAAUAAACACUAUGAUGUAAUUCAAAAUUCUCGAAAAAGUAUGUUUAUUAGCGUUUUUCUGUGAUUUUAAAAAUAGUAACUUUUUCGUCUUUUUCUCGAAAAAAUUAUAUUCUCCCAAAACUCCCAACACUUAUACAUAAUCACGUAACACGUAAACUAGGUCAUUAAUCGACCUAAAUCAUGUAACACAUAAUAAUAUCUAUAAAAUUUUAUUUUAUUAGAUAUUCACAAAUAAAACCUAUUUUCAAGCCUAUCUGAAUUCUCGGGUCGUCACAUAGUAUUUAUAGAGUUUCAUGGAAAGUGUUCACAUGCCAGGAACAUGACCUCAUGGAAAUUCAAGAAAUACCCUUAGUCACCAGAGUUAUGCCUAGAUCAUCUUGUCCUUCUAACCACCAUGCAAUCCAAUCCCUCAAUCAAUUUCAAAAAUGAGUUGCCUCCAUAAGCCUUCUGCCUUGGGACCCAUGGAGGCUCCUCCUCGAUCUCAUGCUUCAAAGCAAUUGUUGCUCAAACCAUACUUUCUUACUAUUCCUUCUUUAUUUGAGAAUCUCGUCGAUGGAAAUCCUCGGAAGAACUCUGCGCAAGAACCAGGAGGCCGCGCCUUAGGGGGGCAAUCCUUAGGGGGCGGAACCCUAGGGAGCUGAACCCUAGGGGGGCCUCCUUCAGUUCUUUUCGUUCGUUUCAACCUUUCUUGGUCAGUUUUCAUCAUUUUCUCAUGAUUCUUGGUCCUGUAAGAAGCCUUUCUUGUCAUAGAGAUUAUAAGGCUAAUCAUUAUUUGGAGUUUCACAAGAUUUUAGUUUAUUUUUGUAGUCCAGGCUUAUUUCUUUGUCAUUGCAUCGAUGAAACCCCUUCUAGCAUGCCAAUCGAGAAAAUGAGGUAGCAUAUGCCCUAGGGUGCCGAACCCUAAGAGGUAAUUUAGAUUUCUUUUGUCCAUCUUUUGUCUGUUUUCCUUUUUUCAUUACGAUAGUUCCAACCAAAUCCAGUCGGAGAAGAAAUUGGUUUUAUCUUUUCUUUAAGGAGAAGUCAUCUUGGAGUGGUUGAACCAUAGGGUGGCCGAACCCUAAGGGGCCAAAAUCCUAGGAUUUUUCCCUUUUUGCUGAUUUAAUGCUUCGUUCAUUAAUUGAAGUCUUGUUCAUUUACUUUCGUCUUUUCAUUUAAUUCAAUUAAAUCAUAUGUAAACCCUAAUUUGUACUUGGGCUCACAGAAAAUAAACCUAAGAAUUCAUCAAAGGAAAUAAAAGAUAAAUGACAAUACAAAUAUUGCGUUUUGUUUUGUCUUAUUUUUUUAAUUUUAUUUUCAAAUAUAUACGCAUGCAUGAUAAAGAUUCACAAUUAUGUAUAUAUAUAUAUACAUAUAGAUACAUAAUAUGGUAAAUAAUAGGUGGUAGUUGUUUUAUUUAUAAUAUGGUAAAUAAUAGGUGGUAGUUGAUUUAUUUAUUACAUGCUAAUAACAGCCAUGAGUUGAUAGUUGAUUUAUUUAUUAUAUGCUAAUAACAGCUAUCAGUUAUUGGUUGAUUUAUUUAUAUAUCGUGCUAAUAACAACCAUCAACUUGUAUAUAGUUUCUUGAUUUACUGCUGAUCGGAAGAUUACUGAUCGUUCAUUUAGGCGUUGGUGGGACUAAUGUUAACACCAUAGAUAACUAAACCCGUCUUCAUAGUCACGCUUUCAGUCCCGUCAAGAGCAAAUUUGAUAUCUCCAUAGUCAAACUUAUUGAAGAAUUCCCCAGCUUUGAGCGAAAAUGGUGUGUUUCUCGGAUAAUUCAUCAAUCCAUAUCCGUUCACUUGCGAGGAUCCAUUCGGAAGAGUAAGUGUAAGACUCACCGGACUUGCUAUGUUAAAGUUGUCUUUCAGCAGCACCACAAAAGAUACCUCAUAAGAUAAAUUUUCAAGCUUUUCUGUCAUAUAGUUUCCGUCAACAUGUAGGACUAAGCUACCAAUUAAUUCAGCACUGUCAGGACUGUAAAAAAUGAUAGUAGAAUUAAAGUCAGAAACUUUUGAUAUAAGGAGCUUAAAUUCAUUAAUAUAGUACAAUUAAUGCGAGUCCUUCUAUCUAACUAGACUUCAAUAAAAUUUCUUUAGUCCUUCUAUCACUUUAAUUUAAUGACAAAGUUGCUUAUAUCCCUAUUUUUAACUGAAUAAAAUUCAGGUGUUUAAGCACAAAUCUUGACCUUUGACGUCAAUUAAGUUAACUAAAUCUUAUUUCUACUUACGUAAACUUCCAGCCCGAAGGGUUGAAAUAAUUGAGUUUCUCAGCAGGUAUAUAAGCGCCAGAACUUUGAAUAAGACAAGAAAAAAAAAUUCAUAUCAUCCAUUACAAAAAAAUCUCACUUGCAAAAUUUACAAAUAUUAAGGAUUAUUUUUGUUCUAUAACCAACUUUAGCUAUAUAUAUGAUGUUUGUUUACAAUUUCAGUAGACUUACCUUCUGCCCUAUUCCGUUGUUUUGGAGCAACUCCAUUUCCUUGGCUUGGGACAACAAUGCCUUGAGGUCAACCUCAUUAUGCCUCACUACUUGUGCCAUCUCCUCGAUCGAUCGAUAACUAUCCUUUAAUUCUGCUAUAUAUAUAUAUAUAUAUAUAUUUUCUGUUUCUAUUCUUGAUGUCUAUAUAUCUCUCUUCCAAAGGCUAGCUCUAUUUAUACUGGCACAAACAGAGGGUACUGCGAUUAUUAUAUUCCAUAAUAUCCUAUCUUCAAAUAUUCCUUCCCUUUUCACAGUAGGGAUCCGAUCCCGAUAAGUUUAACAUCAGCAUCAUCAUCAUCACCAAGGAUAUAGAGCAGCCGAUUCUGUUUGAUAAUUUUGUUGGAAUAAUUCUUUUCCAUUUCUCAGUUCAAUAAUUCUUUCUUUAGCUUGUUGCGCAGGCAAAAUUCCAUGAAGGCGAAAGGUACGUAGGCAUCCUAGUAAAUGAUGAUUUUCUUCUAACCAGAAGUAUGAGCAGGUUAAAAGUAGAAGAAUAAGCAUCUCGCAGGCCAAAAAUAAAAAAAAAAUCGAAAAGAAGAAAAAGAAAAGAAGCCACCAAUAGCAAGACCACAUUUUUCUUUUUCUUUCCUUUUUAUCUAUUCUUUCUUUGAUUCUUUUUUAUAAUUUUUUUUAGAUGGAGUCUUUGAAAAUAAGCAUAAGAAUUCAUUAAAGGAAAUAAAAGUGUUGAAAGUUGUCUUGCAUUAGUCUUCUCCAAAUUCUGUUCCCCUUAGACUUUAGAAUUUAGCCUUUCCCAAAAUUCUGUUCCCCUCAGAUUUCGGAAUUUUGCUUUCCUCAUUUCUUGUUCUCCUCUCCAGAUUUCUCCUAUAAAAGGGAGCUUUGGUGUAAGACCCCAACUUUUAUGAAUAAAGACGAAUUUUUCUAUAAAUAUAAUUUUUGAUUAUUAAGAUGUGAAUUUGAAAAAAUAUUAUAGUUGUGAGUAAUAUUUAAAAAUUUUACAAAGUAAACAAGGUGUUAUAAAAUAUUCGGUUGGUCGAGGAAUAUUCGUUUUAACAGGGAAUAUUCAUACGACGACACAAUCAUUGGUGGACCCCACAACGAAAGUAUUGUCGGAGUUAGAAAACGACAGAAAUAUCUUAUUAUGAAAAUAAUGGCGAAAAUUUUACCGUUAACUGUUGAAAUACCCGUUAGUAAAAGUACAGUAAUACGUAUGGUUGCAUAGUAGUACACGGUAUUAAUUAUUGAUGCUUACGUGAGAAGUCACUCAGUUAUACUCAAUUAUUGUUACAGUAAUUGUUGUAUCAUAUCUCUUAUAUUAUUGAUUCAAUUAUUGUCAGUAUCAUCUGCAUAAUAUUUUAUAUUAUUAAAUCAAUAAUUGAGACGAUAAAGUUAUUCAUAUUAUUAUUUACAAUAUUGACGAUGUCUAGAAGUUCUGUCAAGGAGAGGUUAGGUCAUUUAAUUGCGCGCCAAUAGGGAGAAAUCCUUAUCGGAAAGCCCCUCUUUCCUGAAAACGAUCUGGUUGUUAAUAUUGCGAGUUAUAAUAAUGAUGAAUAAAUUGAAGGAAUUUUAUGAAAUAUUUGUUGUAAGUUUUGCUUAUUAUAUGGACCCCCAUUUAACCAUUUUUCAAAAUAAUCGGUAAAAAAUUAUUCAGUAUUUUUUUUAAUAAAAAAGGUGGGGCCACAUGUGGGGCCCACUGAAAGAAAAAUGGGGGGGGGGAGAUGUUUAUGUUUGUCAUGGGUGAAGGUUUGAUUAUAUAUAUAUAUAUAUAUAUAUAUAUAUAUAUAUAUUAUAAUAAGUCUUUUUUUUAUGAAAAAUAGAAUAUAUUAAAUUUUAUUUGCAUAGUAUUUUACUAUGCAGUGCACAGUAAAGUUUUGUGAAUUAGAAAUUCGGCGCCCGUGAAAUUUUCGAUUGUUUUGUCCGUGAGAAUUUCAAACAGUACCCCUUCCAUCAUCCUAUAAAUAUGACGCUUAUUUUGAAUUGAAAAUCACACAAGAAUCAGAGAAUUUUUUUCUAUAAUAUUGAGUAUAUUUCUUUCGAGUUUUAGAAAGUUUUGAGUGUAGAAAACAGUGAAAGUUUUUUUCAAGAAUAUCCCCGCUAUACCAGUCGAAAUACUCUUCUUAGGAUGUUUUUUUGUUCAAUAUUCGUAUGAAAUAAUAUUUUCUUCCAUACUCUGUAGUAUGUAAAUAAUAUUAUUUCGUUUUAGAUUUCGAAUUCUAUAUCCAUUUUGUUAAAGUUUUGGCUCCUAUACUCCAUGAAAUUAGUAGAAUAUCCUUAAAAUUUGCGUUUCAUCCAGUAUCUUUUCAUGGAAAUAUUAUUCUGAGCAUUCUUGAUAAGUUUUAAUUUUUUCAUGCCAGAGUACUAUAUACGGGGUACUAUUCUCAAAUUACUAUUCACGGGGUACUAUUCACUCGGUUACUAUUCAUCCGAGGCACUAUUCAUGACAAAAAUUAAUUUUUUUUCGGUCCAAAUCAUUUUUGUUACAAUAUUAUUCGUGAAUUUUACUCCAUAAUGCAGUAUCAUAUUGACAAUUUGGACAUUAUUAAAUUAUGGAUAAAUUAAAUUAUAAAUCUUUAAAAAUUUAUCUUUUGCUUUCAUUUAAUUGAAUUCUUAUAUCAUUGUCAUCAUCCUGAUGCUUAUAUUAUAAUGAAAGUCAUUUGUGGCCCGUAGUGCAUAGAUGGACUUGGUAUGAUUAUGACCAGGGAUUAUUUGGUAUAAUCAUGACUGUAAUAUUACAAAUGAUGUGGUAAAAGUCCUCAUUGGCCCGUAGUGCAUUGAUGAACAGUUGUUUUCAUGAUCAUGACCAUUGAUGAAAACACGAAUAUCUUUGGCCCGUAGUGCAUGAAUAAUUUGUGGUUGUGAUACUAAAGAAUAUCCUUGGCCCGUAGUGUAUGGAUAAUUCAGUGAUGUGUAUUAUUUAUUAAGCUGAGUCUCAGCGAUACAAUUGAUGAUAAACCUUUUAAAUAAUAGAAGAUAGUAGAUUUUAUGCUCUACUUAACUCUUCUAAUAGAUUGCUUGUUCCUCUGCAAUUAAACUUGAUGUUUAUUAUAUUUUAUCAGUUUAACAUUGUUGAAGGCUAAUGAUAAUUUAUUCUGUGUUAUCUUAGUCAUAAUAUUUCUUACUGGCUAGUUGAGCUCACCCUUUACUUUCAUUGUUCUCUUCAGGAAAUGAGAAUAUAGCUGGGAUCGACUAGUCGGGGAACGGAGUGACGGUCCAAAUGAUAACAUUAGUAGUCCUCACUAUUCUGUGAAAUAGUGUGAUAAUAAAUGUAAUGAGGACUUAUUUUGAGUUUGAAUACUGUCUAGAAGACAAUAUUUGUAUUAAAACUCACAACUCAUGUUAUAUAUUUAAGUUUAUAUUUGUAUUCUGUACCAUGUAUUUAACGAUUCAAAAUGGGUGAUGUAUACCUAUUCUGGGGGCGUCACAGUUGGUAUCAAAGCUUGGGGAUAUGAUCCCUGGCUGAGAUGAGAGACUAGAACUAGGAGGGGAGAGUCAGGUAAUUCCUUUGCUAGUAUGACCUACCUAAGUUUAUUUGUUAUUUAAUUAGUCGGUCAGAAUAUAGGGAUAAUAUGUUGCAUGUCAAUUAACCCUUGUUUUGUGGCAGUAUUUGAAAAUGACAUCCGAGAAUGUUGAGAAUAGCAAUGGAGUACAUGAGACCGUUGAAUCACCAACGAUCAAUAACCAGGAUAAUGUGCAUCAGGAAGGCAAUAAUCCUCAUGCAAACAAUAACUCCAACAAAAUAAUGAACGACAAAAUGUUUAUGAGCUUUCUUCAAUUCAUGCAACAUCAGGCAAGAGAGACUCCUGUUCAAAAUGUAGGUGGAAAUACCGGCAACUCUCGAACGGUCACCGCUAAGCAAUUCAAGGAGCUGGGACCACCGAAGUUUUUGGGAAAGCCAAAACCACUUAAGGCGGAGACAUGGUUAAAGCAGAUCACUAAGAUAUUUGAUGUCUUUGGAUGCUCCGAGGAGCAAAAGGUUCCCUUUGCCACCUUCAUGUUGCGAGGAGAGGCAGAUCAUUGGUGGAAAUCUGUAAAAUGUACCCAGCUUGCCACAUUAAAGAUGUCUUGGGAGAAGUUUCAAGAACUGUUCAACGACAAGUACUUUUUCGAAAGUAUUCGUUAGAUGAAGGAGGUGGAGUUCAUCAGGUUGGAAUAAAACAAUAUGACCAAGACGCAGUACGAGGCUAAGUUUGCGGAGUUAUCCCGGUUUGCAUCUCAUUUGGUUGUUAAUGAGGAGAGAAUGACGCGGAUAUUUUUAAGAGGUUUGAAACCUGAGAUAUGUCAAUAUCUCAUUCUCACAAACUUUGCUUGUAUUCAGAUGUUGUGAAUAUUGUAAUAACUCGAUAUUUUCUAUAUAAUUAAAUCAGAAAUUUUACGUAUGAAUUUUUUUAUUUAAUUAUUAAAGUUGGAAAUAUGUGCCAGGUAAUGUGUAUAUGUAUAUAUGUGAUAAAUAAAAUAUAUUUAUUACAUGAAUAAUUACCAAUAGUUUUAUUUUAGAAUUAUUGCUCAUUAUAAAUUAUAUUAUAAUAAUAAUUAGUUUUAUACUAAAAAUGUUUUCAUUAAUUCUAUUCUAUGAAAAUAUGUUUAUAUAUUAUUUAAAAAUUAUAUGAAAUGAUUAUAUAAUUAUUAUAAUGAUUAUUCUAUUUUAUUAUAUGAAUUUAGUUCAGAUUAUUUAAGUUAAUUAUUUUAACUUAAUUAUUAUUGUUAUGUAUGCAAGAUAAAUCAGAUAUGGAAUCCAAACCCUAAUUUUGGAUUUUGAACAAGGAAUGAGAAUAUUAAUAUAAUAUUAAUUAUAUUUUUAUUUUUCAGUGCUAUAAAUAUAUAUGUUAUGUUUGUAAGGUUAAUCUGGGGAGCAAUUUUCUUAUGACCUGAUAAAACCCUAAUUUGAAAGUCAAUUACGACUGUAAAAUUUGUUAAGUCAUUGUGAUAUGUGGUCUAUGAUUUGUAUUAUAAGUAUUAAUGUUAAUUCUAUAAAACCCUAAUUAGUAAUUUAAAACUCUAUUUUUCUUAAAUUAGGAACCCUAAACAGUACUUAGCUAUCCGCUAAGUGAAAACCCUAAUUUAAAACUCAGCUAUGAGUCGAGACUGUUAUGUAACUGUAUUAUUAUGUUUAAGGUUAAGUAUUAUAGAAUUUUAUAUUAAUUAAAGAAACCCUAAUUAACAUUUAGAAAUUCUAAUUUCUAGAAACCCUAAUUUCUAAAUUAGUAACCCUAAUUUGCUAAAACAAAACUCUAAUUGUUAAUUUGGCACGCUUAAUGAUAAUUAGUAAAAUUUAAACCUAAUUUUCAAGUCUAUGUAAUGAGGAAACCAAAUUAAUUAUGAAACCUUAAUUUGUAUUUUUAGAAACUAAAAAUUUCAAUUUUUUUAAAAUUAGAAAUCCUAUAACACUUUGUGCUAACCCUAAGGGUCAAACCCUAAGGGUUUGAUAAGUUACUAGUUUGCCCUUAAAUUGAUUAGCCAAAUGACAAAAAUACCCCUCUUGCAUUAUUGGACAUAACUUGUAAGACUAGCCAAUUUUGAGUUGCUCAACAACUCUUACCAGCCCCAUGUGACUAAAAUGCCAGCAAUCAAGCUCUAGAUAUCAGCCAACUUGAUUUCAUGUUUUAUAUAUAUAGACAUCAAGAGAGAGAAAUUUCAUUUAUUAGCCACAUUUGUACACAAACUCCUUACCAACUCUCUCUCCCAAAACCCAUGAAAUGUUGUAGUAGAUCAGUCCCGUAUUGAAGCCCCACUAACACACUUAAGCAAAUCAGCAGCCAGAAUCAAGAAUUGAUGCUUAAAGGUAUAAAAUCCUAAGUCAAAUUUUGAUCUUGUAUGCUAUAUUGGAUUUGUGGUUUUAAUGUUUAAUCAUGUUGAAUAAGGUGUUAAUAGGUGAUCUGGGUUGGCACAUGUUAGAUCCAUAACAUCAAAGUGCUCGAAAUCUAAGUUUUUCAAAAUAUGGAAAUUUUUGUUUUUGUUGUCUGACAGCGAAUGUCAGGCCUUGUAGAUCUGUGCUUAUUUAUUAUUUUGAUGAUUUAAAUGUUUGAAGUGGUAGUCUGGUAUGAGGUCUUUCAUAUGAAAAUGGAAUCACUGUUAUUGGAUGUCUAGAUCGAAAAUUAUUGAUGGUCAAAGGUCGUUGACUGACCAUGACCGAGUAUGAAUCUGGGCAACCUUGAAAGCUUUUUCAGCGUCUGAAAAUGUUUUGGAAGGCUUAGAUCUGUCAGUGUGUAAAUGAUUUGAUGAUGUUAUAAUAUCCAGUUUAUAGCUUGUCAUAUGUAAUUUAUAUUUGUGGCUUUAUAUCCUUUAAACAAACAAUUGAUCGAACUUAGUGGAUGGUCAAACCUGGCCCCUCGGUCACGAUUUCAUUUCUGGGAAUUUCCAGAAAAUCGAAAGAACAGCCCUCUGACAGGGUUUGACCGAGUAAUAUCUUGUAGAUCUGUUGAUGUUAAACUGAUUUGUUGUUAUAUUAUUGUUCCUGGACAUAAGGACUACAUCUUUGAGGCAUUAGAUCACUUGAAUCAUGAACGGAACCUAGAUUAAAUCGAGGAUGAAAGUGACUGGUCGACCACCUGGGUUUCUGGAAAACCCAGGAAUGCUCUGACAACAUAUUUGCAAGCCUAGAUCUCCUUGUGUGUUUGUUGUAUGACCUAGAUAUUGAUUGCUAGUUAUAGUGUUGUAUAAUGACUUCAAUAUUGAUGCUUAAGUUUGCCCAAAAACGAAUUAGACAGAGAAUUAUUAGUGGUCAAAGUUGACCCCUCAAACACGAAGCUGUCAGUGUUCUUGAGCUCAAGAACACCAACAGCGACGCUUAGUGUCACUAAAGGCCAAUAGCGAUGGUUUCUAAUAUUUUUAAUUUCUGAUUUUCUAGAAAAUACUUAAAAAUAGAAAAUAAAUUAUAAAAAUUACAAAAAUGGUUUUAAAAAUUAUUUUAAAUUAUGAAAAUUAACUUUUAAUUAUUUGGGAUAUUUUUUAUUAAUAUUUAUAAUUAUUUGAAUAUUAUUAAUAUUUAAUUUAUUUAAUUAGUGUAUUAAAUAAAUUAGAGAAAAAUGAUUUUAAUGUUAUAAAAAUCAAUUUAAAUAAGAAUAAAGUGUUUAAAAAUAUUUUUGAGUUAUAUAUGUAACUUUUAAUAUUUUUGUGAUGAAUUUCAUUAAUUAAUUAAUAUUAAUGAUAAUUAAGUUAUUUAAUAAAUGUAUUAAAUAAAUUAUGAAAAAUAGAAAUUAUGAUUUAAAAAUCAUAUAAAAGUGAUUUAAAGAUUAUAAAAAAAUAUUUUAAGUUAUAAAAUAUAACUUUUGAUAUUUUGUCAUGAAAAAUAUUAAUAAUUUUAUAUUAAUAAUAUUAGAUUUAUUUAAUGAUUAUAUUAAAUAAUUUAGUUUAAAAUGAUUUUAUUAUUAUAAAAUUAUUUUAAAUGAAAAUAAAGUGUUUAAAGAUAUUUUAAGUUAUAAAAUAUAACUUUUAAUAUUUAAAGGAUAAUUUCAUUAAUAAUUUAAUAUUAAUGAUAUUAAUUUAAGAUUUAUUGAUAUUAAAUUUAUUCAAUAAUUAUAUUAAAUAAAUAGUUUUAAAAUGGUUUUAUUAGUUUAAAAAUUAUUUAAAAAGGAUAUAAAUGAAUUAAAAAUAUUUUAAGUUAGAAUUAAUAACGUUUAAUAUUUGGAUAAAUAGUAGAUUAAUAUUUUAAUAUUAAUGGUAAUUAUUUAAAAAUGAUUUUAAAUGUUUAAAAAAUUAUUUAAGGGUAAUAUUAGCACUUUAAAAAUAUUUUGAGUUAUUAUUAAUAACUUUAAUAUUUUGGCAAUGGUUUCAUUAAUAGUUUAAUAUUAAUUAAAUAUUAAUGAUAAUAUGAUUAUUUACUAUUUAAAUCAUUUAAUUAUGAUUCUAGUGUUUGAAAAUUCAUAAUAAAUUAUAAUAAAUGUUUAAAAAUUAUUAUAAGUCAUUUAAAAAUAAUAUGACUGAUAUUUGUAGAUAUUGAGAUACAGGAUAGAGUCUUAGACUCGAUAUUUACCUGAUAAAGCCGUCGGUAGACCGACAUGUUUCAAAAAUUGAUCUAGACUUAGAUAUUUUGACUGUAUUAAUAUUUGUUUGUGAUUCAAUGACUGUUGAAUAUGUGUGACAAUGUGAUUAGGUUAUAUGCUGACUGCAAUAAGCAGUGCUAUGUUAUUCUAAUCGAACGAAUGAUCUUAUUAAUGAUAGAUUUUGGUAUUAAAGAUAAAACUAAGUUGCGUAUUGUAAGCAGCAGACCAGGCAAGUAUCAUAUAUUUGCAUUUUGUUUAUGUGACGCCCCCAAAUCCGGGUUAUCUUUAACUCGGGUUUGGUGCUUACGAUUCUAGAAUACCCAUUCAUACUAAAAAUAAAACUGUCUUAUAUUACAUAAACAUUGAACUUAAAUCCCAGGUUCUAGAGACCUUUACAUACAAGCCAAAUAUUAUUACAUCAUAGUGCUACAGUAUUUAUUACAUGCACUACUUAGGUUCAUUUAAGCACAUGCGCUUAAUAAUUGACUACUCAACAACCUUGCCCUUUCCUUUGUCUUUUCCAGAUGGACCGGCAACCUCAAUUUUAACUGAAAACAUUAUAUUUAACGCAAGGGUGGGCAACAAGUUUGCCCAGCAAGGAAAUAAGCAGCUAAAUAUAAGAGAACAAAAAUAUUACAGUAAUGGGGAUAUCAUACAGAAGGUAUAGAACAAAGUAAUUCUUAAGAGUGUUGAGUCAAAAGUCAGGAUUUAUCAUGCUGUAAGGUCAAAUGACCAGUGAACACUAUACUAGAAUUUACAGUAAUAAUACUGCAAUCUAUGAAUACAAACAGUUAUAAAGCUGUUUUAUAUCCUAGACUCGUACUUCAGGGGAUCAGCCUAAGUACCCUAUAUUGUGCACAACAUAACAGUCUAAUAAAACUUUACAUGUCCUUCAGAAUCAUAUAUACGGUACAAUACGCCCCUAAAAAAGGGUUGUUCGUUCACAGCAUUAUAUAAGAAUCCAUACCACAAUAACAAAAUGGUUUGGAAAGAAUUAACUGAUAAAUUCAUAAACAAUAUCAAUAUAUCUCAACCUUUGUCCAAGCGAAGUAAUGGUAUUGACAUACUUUCAAUAUAACUUUUAUUCAAGAUAGAAAAGUUGAUAUACUAUUCUUUUGAAGCUGAUUGGAAUAAAAAGGCUAUUUAACCUUAUAUUAUUCAUAAAUAAGGACAAACAGUUCAGAAAUUAAAGAACCUGUCCACUGCAGAAUAUUUGCUCAAUAAAGAGUAAGGAUUAGAAACUUGCCUUGUUUGUAGUCUAUCGUUUAGGAUUUCAGCUUAAUUGAAGUAUUUCUCAAAGUCCUACACAGUUAUUUGUAUUAACAAGCAUGUUAAUCACAUAGCUAUGUUAUAUAGUUUGUAAGCUCACAUAUCACAUAAUUUCAGUGAUUAUGGUUGUAGUUAAAUUAUUAUUUUUGAUACAUUUUUCAAAUAUCUCAUCCAUGCUUUCAAGAGACAUUUUUCACUUUGAUGGGUUUCAACAAGCUUUCAACAAGUAAUAGAAAUCAUAUUACAGUCAUCAUUUGCAUUAACCAAGUAUGUUAGCCACAUAGCUAAGUCAUAUAUCAUGUAGUUUUAAUGGUCAUGGUUAGAUUUCCUAUAUUUGAUACAUUUUUCAAAUACCUCAUCCAUGCUUUCAAGAGACAUUUUUCACUUUAUUAGUGUUCAAUAUGCAAUACUUUACAACUACCAUCUCCAUUUCCUUAGUAACAUAGUAUAUAAUCAUUUUAUGUUUCCUUUACUUAAUUUCUAGCAUAUAAGGUGUUUUCAUAGCUUAUUGUCGGUUUUGAAGGUAUUUCUUAUAUGUAUGGUUAACCUAUAGUCUUCCUCAUAGUUUAUAGAUUCAUUUUGACACACCAGUGUAUCAAUUAUCACUGUUUUCACCUAUGAUGCUAAAACAGCCCUUUGAGGCUUUAAUUUUUUUAAACAUGACUUAAUGAUCCCAAUUUAGGUUUACUGUUUAUAUUAGAUUUCAUUUAGAAUUUUUCUCCUACACUUGCUUGCAUCAUAACUCUACUCAUUUAGAGAAACAUAAUCUAUCCUUUAUAGAUAAUCUGGUUACUAAAACUAAAUUUGGAUUCAAACAUGAAUUUUACAAAACAGUCAUUAUUGUAGCUGCUAUACCACAACUGUUGUUUCCCAUUCUACUUGUUGUGGCUAUUGGUAUCAGCUAUAUGCUGCCACUAUUAGGCAGUAAGUCACAUCACUCAUGCCCAAAAAUGCUUCUAAAUUAACCUUUUCAGCUGGCUUUGCAGGCUUUGCAGCCCUUAAUUGAGCCUUACAGCUCAAUAAUCUCUGUAACACAUUUCAGUUAUUAGUCUUAUCUUAUAACUUGCUAUUCCAUUAACAUUUUCUAUGUAUGAAUGCACUGCCAACUGCUACUGCUGGUGUUGCUGUUGCUGCCAAUGGGCAGCGACUAUUAUUUUCUUACCAUAAGCUGUUUGGUCUGUUUCAAGUGCUGCAGUCACAUGUCAUCAUGCUCCAUCAACUAGAGUAAACAAAAAUGCAUGAACUUAACUUACUAACUGCAGCCCAAGAAAAACAAACUCAGCUGUCAAAAUGACAGUGCAGUCAUCUACUUGAAGUUGCCAAGGACAACAGCUAUCCGAAGCUUUUUGCUACUGUCAUUAGCAGCCUCCCUUGCUCCUUAACCCAUUCCCAACAAUCCUCUAACCUCAGUUUUGCUAUAUUUCUAGGAAUAGGCCUCAUGGCUAUAAUCUUUUAGAGUUAUAAGGUUAUCCCAGUUGGCCUAUUAAGCUUUGGCUCCUUGGUUUAGUGACUGUUUCAACAGAGUAGGCAAAGGAGUUUGUCAAGCUAGAAUUACUUAGCCUAAAAACUGAACUAUGCUAAAAAUUUCUAUGCCAAAACAUUACAGUCAUCACAUAUGUUGGGUAAAUCAGGUAAAUAGUGUACUAGUUCUACUAUUCAGUUUCUUUUUACUAAAACAGUCCUCUUAGGUCUUUUAUCAAACAGUUGGUGGGCAUGGUUAUAAGCUACUAGUUCCAUAGCCAUUUGUUUAUAUUCCAACUCAUAUUUUCCCCUUAUUACUCCACAGCCCACUUAUCUCCUUGUGCUUAAAUUAUAACAAUAUCAUAAUGGCAUAACAAUCAAUGAAAUGUUACAACAGUUUAUAUAUAGCAGCUUAACACCCACAUAGCAGUCCUCAAAUCCAUACUAGGCCUUUUAGGCUAAAUGAUCAAAACAGUCCUUAAGUUUUUAACACAAGGAUUAAUAUAACAUGUACAUACUAUGUUUUAUGGUUUAAAGACCCCAAUACCAACCAUCCUGUCUUGACACUAUAACAGCUUUAGACUAGCAAUUUGGUCAUGGUUUAUCACACCAAACCAAUAGCAAGCACUGAUAUGUAUGCCUUUCUAACACUAAAACAUUUUACCUACCAUAUUUUCAUGGUUUAAAGCAUCUAGAGGCAAGGUCCUUAAGUUUAAAAUCAAAACAGCCUCUCAUAGGCUUUUAAAGUAAUAUAAGAUAGCAUGCUUGGGCAACAUGAAAACAAGGACUGCCUACUAUGAAUAUAUUAGAAGUAAGGCAUGAUCAUCAUAAUAAACUUCUAAUAACAGUCCACAUAAUGCAAUAACAGUUCAUAUAAGGCAAUAAUAAUUUAUAUAGCAACUAAAGUCCUUCUAACAGUCAUUUAUGCUUAUUCUAGUCACCACAACAAGUAUACUGUCUUAGUCCAUUCUGUAUACUAGUUCUGGGCAUGGUAAUAUAUUUUACAAUCAUAAAUAACCAACCAUCUUGGACUCCUUUCCAGCCACACUGUUUUGCCAUUAUAGCAGUUUUAGACUAGCACCUUAGGCACAGUUCAUCACAGCAAAACAGUAGCAACAUAGCAUAGCGUAUCAGUCCAGUUAUUACAAUAACAGUUGGUAUAUCACAAGGAUGAUGCUACAGCUAUUCAAGUCUCUUUUAGGCCAUUUUGGCAAGGUUUUAGUAAUAAGUUAUCAAAGCGGUCAUUAGUGUGCAAUACAAAGAUUAUUACCUCAUGUACAUGCUAUAGAAUAUAUGUUCAUGUUUUAAGAGCCUAUAUACAAGGUUUCUUGCUGUUAGUUCAUAACAAUCCCUUAUAGGCUUCAAUUUAAUACACGGAAGCAUGAUCUGAAAAAUUUAGUUAUCAAAAUAACAUGUUUAAACAUAAACAUAUACUCGAGGUAUUCUUUUUCUUUCUAUAUAAUCAAGUAGACAUGCUAUUAGGCUCUAUUUACAGCUAGCAUACCUUGAUACCAUAACAGUCCAAUUAGAGCAAUAUUUUAGGCAUGGUCUAUUACAACAAAAUGGUAGCAAGCACUGACAUGUUUUCCUUUCUAACACAGGCACCUUUUAUUUAUCAUAUAUUCAUGAUUUAAAACAUCUAAAGGCAAAAUCUCUUUGCUUUAAGCCAACACAGCCCUCUUUAGGACCCACUUUCCAAAAAUAACCAUGGUUUACCCUUAUGUUUACAAGGAUAACAUGGAUGUGCAACAUAGAAGUUUAGACUAUCUUCUUUAUAUGGUAUUUAAGAUGCAAAAAUAUAUUUGGAUGUCAUAGAAUGCCUUACCCCAUAUAUAUCAGUCCUUAUUAAGCCUCAAAUCUAGCAUACCAGUUUCUCAGAAUAGUGGCCAAGUCUUGGUUAAUUGCUUAGAUUACAUAUAUGCUAGUAUACAAUAGUUAUACCCAAUACAUCAUGCCACAUAUAACAUAUAAGCAGUCCUUUAUUAAUAAUCAUAGCAUAACAGUCCAUUUAACAUCAUAGCAAUUCAUAUGGUAACACAGAUCAUGCUAACCGAAAUCAUAAUAUCAUUAACUUUUUAGCAGCUCCUUAGCUUGACAAAUUAUCAAACACCUAGAGUGCAGUCUAUAUACUUGCACUUAAUACAUAAUUUCUAGCCCUCUGCCCCCAGCCGUAUGGCUUAAACAAUAUCAAGCAUAAGACCACACUUAUCAGUACCAAACCCAGCAGUUCAAAUAACAUGAAAGCAGUCAGUUAUCAUAACAGCCAUACACGUUUUUGGUCAUUGACAAUUCAUUUUACUAAUUAAUUUAAUAGCCAUCCUAAUCAUUUAUCAAUUCAGUUGUUACCCGGAAUGAAUGGAAAGAUUAGAAAGGCCAGAAUUGGCUUACCUUGCUGAUUCGAAGGUAUCAAGUGGUUGAGCUGCUUAAUUCCUUUUCCCCUCUAGCCGAACUCUUCACUCUUACUCUAUAUGACCGUUGCUGCUAAUUCUUUUGGACUCAGUUAAGUGAUGAGGCUAAUUGAUUUUGGGUAAUAACCUGGCCUUUUUAUGGCUGAGCUUAGCUUCCUUACAGUUGAUCGCAUCACCUUCUACUUGCCCCCUAACAUAUAAUCUAUUACCUCUAGCAGUUAGACUGCUCUGCAGCCACCCUACAAGACCCUAGUCUCUCUGCCAUGCCUUAUCUGUUGCUAACCUGUCUACUAACUAAUAACUGACUAACUUAUAGACUAACUACUGCUAACAACAGAACAGCCUCAGCUCCUAAGUUUACCCCUGUGGGCUGUUGGAAAAAAUCCUAAGGCAAGGCUGGGCAGUGGUUUCAUUUUGGGCCUAGUCCCUUUAACCCAAAGUUUUACUUGUUAAUUUGCUAUACUCCAAUGGGUUUACAGGAUUGGGUUUUGGACAUCCAUUUCACUCUUUAACACUUGGAGCUGCCGAAUUGGGCUAGCAAAUAGACUACAUGCAACGAUCAUGGCAAAAUUAUUAAGGCCCAAUAUUUUAAUAUGGACUCUUGUUACAUUAAAACACAUGGACUAUUAUUUUCUCUAGCAACAAUAGUUAUAACAUAUAUCAUUAAAAUGACUAUUCUAUGUAAUCUUAAAUAAUUCAUGAUGGCACAUAAUUUCUUUGCCCUUUAUAACUCAAGAUGCUAAACGAACUAUUAAAUAAAUAAUAUUUUUAUCACAAUGAGAAUUAACAUAUCAUAAAAAAAAAUUUAUACUCAAAAAUUGACAUUACAAUAAUUAAAUAUUACAUAGGAUGAACUACAGGCCAAUGAGGACUUUUACCACAUCAUUCGUCACAUUACGGUCAUUAUUAUACCGAAUCAUCCCUGGUCAUAAUCAUACCAAGUCCAUCUAUGCACGUAAGCCAAAGAUGACUUUCAUCACAAUAUAAGCAUGAGGAUGAUGACAAUAAUAUAAGCAUUAAUCAAACGAAAAUAAUGAUAAAUUUUAAAGACUUUAAAUUUAUCCAAAUGUUUAUCAAUCACUUAAUAAACUCAUAAUCUAAUAUUAUUAAUAUUAUAACAAUAUUUUAAUCACUUCUUGAACUUAUAAACAAUUUAUUCUAAUUGUUUACACUUUCCCAAAUAAUACAUUUUAAUCAUUCAAAAAUACCAUACUCAUAAGAUUUCAUCACCAAUGAUCAAAUCCCUUAUCAAAAAUCUGCAUAUACCUUAUAUAGGAUUUCCAAGCCAUAAAAUCCAUUUUACCAAUUUUUCAACUUCACAUAACAUAUUUAAUUCAUAUGUUCGUAACUAAACUAUUUUCAUGAAAAAUACCAAAUCAGUCCAAAAAAUUAUUCUUUUUUGGGAUUUAGCAGAAUAUAGUCCCAUAUUGAACAUAUAUUUUUCUCAUAAUUUUUAAAAUUCAUUUACUAUUUUUCAUAUGGCCAAAACUGCCGAAUAUUUAGACAUUUAUCAUAAAUUGUACUUUUGUCCAAAAAUUCCGAAAUUUACAAGGUAUACUCCUAUUAUAUAUGUGUACUCCCAAUAAAAAUUUAACCAAUUUUGGAGUUAACCACAAGGAGUUAUAAGGGUUUACUUUUAAAAUAGUUUUUUCCCAUAAAAUUCAUAACUCCUAAUCUAUACAUCCAAAAAUUGCCAUUUUUGGACACAAUCUAGAAAUCUCAACAAACUAUCAUUUCAAAUGUUUCCAAAAUUUUUGAGGGUCAGAAAAAUUACGAAACUGCAAAUAGAUUUUCACCCGUCAUUCGGUAAUCCAGGUAGACAGAUCAUUUCCACAAUUUAAUAAGGAAUGAAUACAAAGGAUCAUUCACCAUGCAUGCGGUAAUCCACAUAGACAGGUUAUUCCAACAGAAUAAUAAAAAAUAGAAUAACAACAGAAUUCACCAGGCAUACGGUAAUCCGCGUAUACAGGUUAUUCCAAUAGAAUAAUAAAUAAUGGAACCAGGUCAUGCGUAAUCCGCAUAGACAGGAUAUUCCAACAGAAUAAUAAAGAAUGGAAUAACAACAGAAAUUCACCAAGCAUACGGUAAUCCGCGUAUACAGGUAAUUCUAACAGAAUAAUAAAGAAUGGAAUAACAAUAGAAUUCACCAGGCAUACGAUAAUCCGCGUAUACAGGUUAUUCCAACAGAAUAAUAAAGAAUGGAAUAAUAGAAAAUUUUCACCACGUAUGCGGUACUUCGCAUAGACAGGUUACUCCAAUAUAAUAAUAAAGAAUGAAAUAACAAAAGAAUUUCACCAUGUAUGCGAUACUUCGCAUAAACAGGUUAUUCCAACAUAAUAAUAAAGAAUGGAAUAACAACAGCUCUCUUCAUGAAUACGAAAGAAAUAAUAAUACCCCUUACCUUAGAAGAAACUGGAUACUGGAAUAGUGAGGUAGCAGGCUUCUCUUCUUCUUUCUCUCUAUAAUUUCUCUCUAUAAUAAUUGCUCUAUAGCUUUAGUGAAUUGGUGAGAAAUGAAGGAAGAAUGAGCUUCUGUUUAUAGGAAAACAUAGUUUCAAUAAUUGCACAUUUUGGGGCUCGAAAUAUUACAUUAUAAUACCUUCCUCUUUUUCUUUAUUUUUAAUUUAGCCCUGCAAGUAUUAUCAAACUUGCACCACCUCCUCUAAUAGUAAAUCAUGUGAAUUAAUAGUAAAUCAUGUGAAUCAAUAGUUCUAGACAUGUGAAAAUACGAAUUACAGUAUAGUACCUCCAUCUAUACCUCUAUUUUUAACUUAGUCAUGCAAGUAUUAUCAAUCUUGCACCAACUCCCCUAAUAGUACCAUAAUGUGAAUCAAUAGUACACACAUGUGAACAAAUAGUUAUAAUCAUAUGAAUUAAUAGCAAUUAAAAGCUCAUUUAUCCGGAUAAUUACCCGAUUGGUCAAUAUAACCUCCAGACAUCAAUUAUCAUCGAAAUAAAUGUCGAUUCCCACUAACACUAAUAAUUCCAACACAAUGGAACUAUCAAUUUCAUCUUUAAUCAACACAAAUUUAUUCAUCAUUAAUAUUAUAACUCAUAAUAUUUAACAACAAGAUCGUUCCCAGGAAAGAGGGGGCCUUCCGGUAAGGAUUUCUCCUCACUGGUGCGCAAUUACCUAACCUCUCCUUGACAGAACUUCUAGACAUUGUCAAUAUUGCAAUUUAAUAAUAUUAAUAAGUUUACCAUCUUAAUUAUUUAUUUAAUAAUAUAACAUAUUAUGCAGAUGAUACUGUGACAAUAAUUGAAUCAAUAAUAUGAGAGAUAUGAUGUAAUAAUUACUGUAGCAAUAAUUGAGUAUAACUGAGUGACUUCUUACGUAAGCAUUAAUAAUCAAUACCGUGUGCUACUCAAUUCGUCAGCUACCACGUUCGCUCUUUCAUGAUGAUAUUGAAUGGUACGAUCGUAAUCUUCUACAGCUCAAGCCAACGUCUUUGGCACAUUAUACGAUUAUUUUAGGUAAAGAAAUAUUUGAGGGUUUUAGAAAUGAGUUUUGUACUUGGGUCAAUACAAAAUAUGAUUUCACGCUCUGGGGUAGGCAAGGAAGUUCUUCGAGAAUACGUCAGAAUAUUUAUUAACAAUAGAAAUAUCAUUUAAAAACUGUGACUCUCAUCCAAGACUUGGACAACACAUGAAAUGAAGGUUUCUACUAACGAAGUUUCAACCAAUAAGUCAAAGUCUAACUUCUCUGGGGUCAAAUUUAAAUGUUGAGCGCAAGCAAGAGAGAUAAAAGAAUGGGUAGAACCGGUAUCUAAUAAGGUAUAGACUUCGCAAAAAUUUAUAAUUAACUAACCCGUGCUAACUUCGUUCGGGUUACUCGCUUUUUGAGAAGUCAUGAAAAACGCUCUUCCUGAAACCACCGACUUUGUUUUGUCCAUAUCCGCCUUUGGUGCCACCGUCCCAGCUGGACUUGACUUUGGUGCACGACAAAAUCGGGCUAAGUGUCCUUUUCCAUAAUUAUAACAUGUUUUGGACUGCAUCACGCAGUUUGGACUGAUAUGUCCCUCCCCUCCGCAUUUGAAGCAUACAAUUGGUGGUCGUUCUCCUUCCUUGAAAACGGGUGUUGGUGCUGCUGUCUUUGCAUCUUUGUUGAACCUUCUCUUCUUGAAAUUUCCACUCCUAUUAUCUUGGUCAUGAUUACCACCGAAGUGGUUACCAUUCUUGGUGUAAGACCCCAACUUUUAUGAAUAAAAAAUGAAUUUUCUAUAAAUAUCAUUUUUGAAUAUUAUGGAGUAAAUUUGAUAUAAUGUUAUAGUUGUGGGUAAUAUUUAUAAAUUUUGAAAAGUACGCAAGUUGUUAUAUAAUAUUCGUUUGGUCGGAAAAUAUUCUUUUUGUCGGGAAUAUCCGUACGACGACACAAUCAUUGGUGGACCCCCACAACGGAAGUAUUGUCGUAGUAAGAAAACGACAGAAUUAUCUUUUUAUAAAAAUAACGGCUAAAGUUUUACCGUUAAAACUGUUGAACUACUCGGUAGUAAAAGUACAGUAAUACGUGUGGUUGCAUAGUAGCACACGAUAUUGAUUAUUAAUACUUACGUGAGAAGUCACUCAGUUAUACUCAAUUAUUGCUAUAGUAAUUGUUGCAUCAUAUCUCUCAUAUUAUUGAUUCAUUUAUUGUCACAGUAUUAUCUGCAUAAUAUGUUAUAUUAUUAAAUCAAUAAUUGAGACGACAAAGUUAUUAAUAUUAUUAAAUUGCAAUAUUGACAAUGUCUAGAAGUUCUGUCAAGGAGAGGUUAGGUAAUUGCGCGCCAAUGAGGAGAAAUCCUUACCGGAAGGCCCCCUCUUUCCUGGGAACGAUCUUGUUGUUAAAUAUUAUGAGUUAUAAUAUUAAUGAUGAAUAAGUUUUGUUGAUUAAAGAUGAAAUUGAUAGUUCCAUUGUGUUGGGAUUAUUAGCGUUAGUGGAAAUCGACAUUUAUUUUGAUGAUAGUUGAUGUCUGGGGGUUAUAUUGAUAAAUCGGGUAAUUUAUCGGAUAAAUGAGCAAUUAAUUGCUACUAAUUCACAUGUUUAUAUAACUAUUUGUUCACAUGUGUGUACUAUUGAUUCACAUUCUGGUACUAUUAGGGGAGUUGGUGCAAGAUUGAUAAUACUUGCAUGACUAAGUUAAAAAUUGAGGUAUAGAUGGAUGUACUAUACUGUAAUUCGUAUUUUCACAUAUCUAGAACUAUUGAGUCACAUGAUUUACUAUUAAUUCACAUGAUUUACUAUUAGGGGAGUUGGUGCAAGAUUGAUAAUACUUGCAGGACUAAAUUAAAGAUAAAGAAAAAGAGGAAGGUAUUAUACUGUAAUAUUUUGAGCCCCAAAACGUGCAAUUAUCAAAACUAUAUUUUCCUAUAAAUAGAAGCUCAUUCCUUCAUUAUUUUUCACUAAUUCACUAAAGCUAUAGAGCAUUUAUUAUAGAGAGAAAUUAUAGAGAGAAAGAAGAAGAAAAGUCUACACUUCACUACUCCAGUAUCCAAUCUUCUUUGAGGUAAGGGGUAUUAUUCUUUCGUAUUCAUGAAGAGAGUUAUUUUUUUUCAAUACUCGUUAUUCCAUUCCUUAUUAUUAUGUUGGAAUAACAUGUCUAUGCGAAGUACCGCAUACAUGGUGAAAUUCUUCUAUUAUUCCAUUCUUUAAUAUUCUGUUGAAAUAUCUUGUUUGUGCGUUUUACGCAAGACCUGGUUCCAUUAUAUAUUAUUCUGUCAGAAUAUCUUGUCUGUGCUUUACGCAUGACCUGGUUCCAUUAUUUAUUAUUCAGUUUGAAUAACAUGUAUACGCGGAUUACCGUAUACCUGGUGAAUUUUGUUGUUAUUACAUUCUUUAUUAUACUCAGUUGGUUAAAGUUUUGGCUUUUAUACUCUAUGAAAUUAGUGGAAUAUCCUUGAUAUUUGCGCUUCAUCCAAUAUCUUUUCAUGGAAAUAUUCUUCUGAGCAUUCUUGAAUUUUACAUCACAAAGCAGUAUCAUGUUGACAUUUUGGACGUUAUUGGUUCCUGGAUAAAUUAAUUCUUGAACUUGUUUUAUUGAAUUCUUAUAUCAUUAUCAUCAUCCUCAUGUUUAUAUUCUGUUGAGAGUCAUCUGUGGCCUGUAGUGCAUAGAUGGACUUGGUAUGAUUAUGACCAGGGAUUAUUCGGUAUAAUCAUGACUGUAAUAUUACAAAUAAUAUGGUAAAAGUCCUCAUUGGCCGUAGUGCAUUGUUGGACAAUUGUUGGUAUGAUCAUGACCAUUGAUGAAUACACGAAUAUCCUUGGUCGUAGUGCAGGGAUGAUGUUGAUUAUUUAUUAACCUGAGUCUCAGCGAUGAAAAUGAUGAAAAACCUUUUUAAAUCAUAGAAGAUAAUAGAUUUUAUGCUCUAUUUGACUCUUUUAAUGGAUUGCUUAUUUUCGCUGCAGUUUUUGAUCUAAAACUUGUUGUUUAUUAUAUUCUAUCAGUUGUUAUACUGUUGAAGGCUAAGGAUAAUUUAUUCUGCAUUAACUUAGUCAUAAUAUUUCUUACUGGGCUUGUUGAGCUCACCCUUUUCUUUCAUGGUUCUCUUCAGGAAAUGAGAACGUAGCUGAGACUAGUCAGGGAACAGAGUGACGGCCCAGAUGUUUGCAUUAAUUGUCCUCACUAUUCUGUGAAAUAGUGUGAUAAUAAAUGUAAUGAGGACUCCAUUGAGUGUGGAUAUUGUCUAGAUGACAAUAUUCUUCUUAAAACUCUUAGAUUAUGUUUUGUCGUAUUUUACACGACUGUUGUAUAAUUAAGUUGUAUUUGAAUUUUGUACCAUAUAUCCGGCGACUCAAGAUGGGUGAUGUAUACCUAUUUUGAGGGCAUCAUAGUUGGUAUCAAAGCUUAGGGAUAUGAUCCCUGGUUGAGAUGUGAGAUAAGAACUAGGAGGGGAGAGACGGGGAAUUCCUUUGUUAGUAUAACCUACCUAAGUUUAUUUGGUAUUUAAUUGGUCGGUCACAAUAUAUGGAUAAUAUGUGACAUGUCAAUUAACCCUUGUUUUGUGACAGUAUUUGAAAAUGGCAUCCGAAAAUGUUGAGAAUAGCAAUGGAGCACAGGAGACCGUUGAGUCACCAUAGAUUAAUACCCAGGAUAAUGUGUAACAGGAAGAAAAUAAUCCUCAGGUAAACAAUAACACCGAUGAAAUGGGGAACGAUGGGAUGUUCAGAGGCUUUAUGCAAUUCAUGCAACAUCAGGCGAGGGCGGCUCCUGUCCAAAAUGCAGGUGGAAACACUGACAACUCUCGGACGGUCACCGCUAAGCAGUUCAAGGAGCUGGGACCACCGGAGUUUUUUGGAGAGCCAAAACCACUUAAGACAGAGACGUGGAUAAAGAAGAUCAACAGGAUAUUUGAUGUCUUGGGAUGCUCCGAGGAACAAAAGGUUCCUUUUGUCACCUUCAUGUUGCGAGCAGAGGCAGAUUACUGGUGGGAAUCCGUAAAGCGUACUCAACUUGCCGCACUGAAAAUGUCUUGGGAGAAGUUCCAAGAACUGUUCAACGAAAAGUACUUUCCCGAAAGUAUUCGUCAAAUGAAAGAGGUAGAGUUCAUCAAGCUUGAGCAAAAAAAUAUGACUGUGGCGCAGUACAAAGCUAAGUUUGUCGAGUUAUCUCGGUUUGCGUCCCACUUGAUUGAUAAUAAGGAGAGAAUGACGCGGAUGUUUUCAAAGAGGUUUGAAACCCGAGAUACGUCAAUACCUAAUUUCUCACAAACCGUGUUUGUAUUCAGAUGUUGUGAAUAGGGCUCAGUUAUUGGAGCGCGAUAAUGAAUCAACCCAACCAAGAGAGAGCAGCCGACAAGUCGAUAAUACCAGUGGUAGCAGUCAUCGAAGCGGUGACAACAAGCGUGGAGGGAAUCAACAUGCCAAAAAUGGUAAUCACUUCGGUGGUAAUCAUGGCCAUGACAAUAAGAGUGGACAUUUCAAGAAGACGAGAUUCAACAAUGAUGGAAAGACGUCAGCACCAGCACCUGUUGUUAAGGAAGGAGAACAAUCGCCGGUCGUAUAUUAUAAAUGCGGAGGGGAGGGACAUAUCAGUCCAAACUGCGUGAUGCAGUCCAAAGCAUGUUACAAUUGUGGAAGAGAAGGUCACCUAGGCUGAUUUUUUCGUGCACCAAAGUCAAGUCCAGCUGGGAUGGAGGCAUCAAAGGCCGUCCCAGACAAGACAAAACCGGUAGUUCAACGGAGAGCGUUUGUCGUAACCUCCCAAAAAGUGAGGAAUCCGAAUGAGGUGAUCACGGGUAAGCUAAUCAUAAACUCUAGCAAAGUCUAUACCUUAUUUGAUACCGGCUCUACCCAUUCUUUUAUUUCUCCUAUUUGCGCUCAACGUUUAAAUUUGACUCCGAAGAAGUUAGACUUUGACUUAUCGGUUAAAACUCCAUUGGGAGAAACCUUCAUUACAUCCACUAUUUAUAAGUCUUGUUUGAUUCAAAUCGGUAACCGUACAUUACCUGUCGAUCUUUUUUCUUUGAAAAUACUUGCAUUUGAUGUGAUUUUAGAGAUUAAUUGGUUAACUACUCAUCAUGCUAAAAUCGAUUGUUUUCGUAAGGUUGUUAGCUUUCAUAUUCCUAACCAACCUAUUAUGCGAAUUCAAGCAACCAAACAACUAAAAUCAAUCACUAUCAUAUCAAGCCAUAAAGCUAUUCAUUUAUUAAAAAAUGGAUGUCAAGCUUUCUUAGCCCAUGUCACGGAUUUAAAUAAAAAUACGUCAGAUUUGAAUGAUAUUUCUAUUGUUCAUAAAUUUCCUGACGUAUUCCUUGAAGAAAUUCCUGGCCUACCCCUAGAGUGUGAAAUUGAAUUUUGUAUCGACCUUGAAUGUGGUACAAAACCCAUUUCCAAAGCCCCAUAUCGAAUGGCUCCUAUUGAACUUCAGGAGUUAAAAACCUAACUACAGGAAUUAUUAGACAUCAGUUUCAUUCGUCCUAGUACAUCUCCUUGGGGUGCUCCUGUUCUAUUCGUGAAGAAGAAAGAUGGAAGUAUGCAACUUUGUAUUGAUUAUCGGGAGUUGAAUCAUGUCACCAUCAAAAAUAGGUACCCGUUGCCUCGCAUUAAUGACCUGUUUGACCAGUUGCAAGGAGCUAAAUUCUUUUCAAAGAUUGAUCUUCGUUCCGGAUAUCAUCAGUUGAAGAUUAAAACUGAUGACAUUCCAAAGACUGAUUUCAGAACUCGGUAAGGGCAUUAUGAAUUUCUAGUCAUGUCUUUUGGAUUGACUAAUGCUCCUGCUGCCUUCAUGGACAUGAUGAACCGAGUAUUCAAGGAAUAUUUGGAUCACUUUGUGGUCGUCUUUAUUGAUGACAUCCUCAUAUACUCCAAAAGCCGUGAAGACCAUGAUCAACACUUGAGGCUGAUACUUCAAAAACUUCGUGAGAACAAGCUUUAUGCCUAGUUAAAGAAAUGUGAGUUCUGGCUUGAGGAAGUUGCAUUCCUUGGGCACGUGAUAUCAAAUCAUGGAAUAUCUGUUGAACCAGCAAAGAUUGAAGGAAUCCAAAGCUAGGAGCAACCAAAGUCAGUGACUGAAAUACGUAGCUUUCUUGGCUUAGUUGGUUAUUAUCGGAGAUUCGUGGAAGGAUUUUCUCGAAUCGCUACUCCAUUAACUCAGCUGACUCGAAAAGAUACAAAGUUCAGUUGGAGCGAGAAAUGUGAGAAGAGUUUUCAAGAACUCAAGAGAAGACUCAUUUCAGCACAUGUUCUGACAAUACCAUCUGGCUCGGAGGGAUUUGUCAUCUACAGUGAUGCUUCAGGCAAAGGGGUUAGGAUGUGUUCUCAUGCAACAUGGAAAAGUCAUAGCCUAUGCCUCACGACAACUCAAAGAAUAUGAGAGGAAUUAUCCUACUCAUGAUCUAAAGUUGGCAGCAGUCGUUUUUGCGCUUAAGAUUUGGAGGCAUUACCUGUAUGGAGAGAAGGUGGAGAUCUAUACGGAUCAUAAAAGCCUCAAAUAUUUCUUCACUCAAAAGGAACUCAACAUGCGGCAAUGACGAUGGCUUGAGCUGUUAAAAGAUUAUGAUCAUACCAUCCAAUACCAUCCUGGAAAAGCGAACGUAGUAGCUGACGCAUUGAGUAGAAGAUCAUAUGCGGGUACGAGUGCAAUAUUGUCAACGCUAAGACCCAUUUUGUAUGACUAACGAAGGAUGGAGAUAGAGUUAAAAACUCCAGGGACCCAUGUGAUAAUGACGGAUAUACGAGUAGAACCGACUUUAAUCAAUAAAGUUAAAGCUGCUCAAGCUACAGACCUGGAGCUGAUGCAUAUGAGGAAGAAAGUGCAAGAAGGUGCUAUUCCAGAAGCAAGAAUCGAUGAAGAAAGAAUACUUCGAGUCAACUCCAGACUUUGUGUUCCUAACGAUUUUGACUUGAAGUAUAAAAUCAUGAUGGAGGCAAACAACACACCGUUUGCAAUCCAUCACGGGAGUACCAAAAUGUAUCGUGAUCUUCGACAUACAUUUUGGUGGAGCAAUAUGAAGAGAGAGAUAGCGGGGUUUAUCUCAAGGUGUCUAACUUUUCAACGAGUCAAGGCGGAGCAUCAAGUGCCAAAAGGUCCAUUGCAACCACUUGAAAUUCCAGAAUGGAAGUGGGAGCACAUUACCAUGGAUUUCGUUACUGGUCUUCCCAAGGUUUCCCAAGGCGUAGAUGCGAUUUCGGUCAUUGUUGAUAGAUUGACCAAGUCUACUCAUUUCUUACCGAUACGAGAAACUUAUACACUUGAACGUCUUGCUAGUAUGUACAUAAAUGAGAUUGUAAGAUUGCAUGGCAUGCCAGUAUCCAUAGUUUCUGAUCGAGACCCAAGAUUCACUUCAAGAUUUUGGGUUAGUGUGACGCCCCCAAAAUAGGUCCACACGAACCAUUCUGAGUCGCCAGAUAUCACACUAUAAAAAUCAAAUACAAACUUUAUUUAUACAACUGUUGAACUGUCGUGCAGAGUACGACAACAGUUAACUGUGAGUUUUAAUACAAAUAUUGUCAUCGUAGACAGUAUCCAAACUCAAAUUGUUACAAUGCCAUAUAAAAUACAGCAGCAAAUAUUUUAAGACCCCAAAGAAGAACGAGAAGAUUACUAUCAUAUUCAUUCUAAUGAGGUGCACUUUUGACGCUUUCAAAGUCGGGUUCUCAUCACCCUUAUUGUUGUUCACCAACAUCAAUUAUUAAGUGACGUAUAAAAUACAACACACACAUCUUAGGUCUUUAAUACAAUUAUCGGUUGCAUAUCAUGCCGUUUUAUAAUGUAUUGAGAAAUUUCGACAGUCUCGGACCAUCACACUAUUUUCCUGUUAUCCCCGCUCGACCCAGCUACACUCUUAUUACCUAAAAGGAAUUGUGAAGCAAAAGGGUGAGCACAAUUAGCCCAGUAAGGAAUAUCAUGGCUAAGAUAAUUAAUUUAUCAACAGCCUUUAUCAGAAUAAAUCAGAGAUUUAGAACAUAUGGUAGAUAAUAAAACGUUUCAACCAUAGUUGCAGCGGAACGAGUAAUCCAUUAGAUGAGUCAAGUAGAACAUAAUGUCUACUAUCUCCUCUAGAUUAAAAGUCCAUCGUUGAUAUUUUAUUCCUGUAAUACUCAUCAACAGUUCUUUGUUAUACUUAAGACAAAUAAAACUUUCAACACUUGUCUUCACCUGAACCACCAAAGAUGUUAGUUAAAUUCACAAUUCAUAUUUAUAAUAAUGUGAAUUAACAGUUCCUUCUUUCCACCAAGACUUAAUAGAAUGUUUACUCAAUAUCUUUACCCCAAAGGCUGAAGGUAUUCAAAUGUAAUAACAAUGAUCAUACCAAUCAGUUGUCUAUCUUUGCAUUACGGGCCAAAGAUAUUCAACUAUAGAACCAAUGGUCAUGAUCAUACCAAUCACAUCAUUGAAUUAUCCAUGCACUACGGCCAAGGAUAUUCGUUAGUAUCACUAGUGGUCAUGAUCAUGUCAUACACCUGUCCAUCUUCACACUACGGGUCAAAGCUAUCAAAUAACAGAUCAUCUUUGCACUACAGGCCAAAAAUAUUCAACAACAUAUCGUCUUUGCACUACAGGUCAAAGACAUACUACUGUAAAACCAAUAACCAACAAUAUAAUAAAGAAUGGAAUAAUAAAAGAAUUUCACCAUGCGUGCGUAAUCCGCACAGAAAGGUUAUUCCAACAUAAUAAUAAAGAAUGGAACCAGGUCAUGCGUAAAUGCACAGACAGGAUAUUCCAACAGAAUAAUAAAGAAUUGAAUAACAACAGACUUCACCAAGUAUACGGUAAUCCGCGUAUACAGGUUAUUCCAACAGAAUAAUAAAGAAUUGAAUAACAACAGACUUCACCAGGUAUACGGUAAUCCACGUAUACAGGUUAUUCCAACAGAAUAAUAAAGAAUUGAAUAACAACAGACUUCACCAGGUAUAUGGUAAUCCGCGUAUACAGGUUAUUCCAACAGAAUAAUCAAGAAUGGAAUAACAACAGACAUCACCAGGUAUACGGUAAUUCGCGUAUACAGGUUAUUCCAACAGAAUAAUAAAUGGAACCAGGUCAGGAGAAAUUCGCACCGACAGGAUAUUCCGACAGAAUAAUAAAGAAUAAAAUAAUAGAAGAAUUUCACCAUGUAUGCGGUACUUCGCAUAAACAGGUUAUUCCAACAUAAUAAUAAAUAAUGUAAUACAUAAGGAUUUCACCAAGUAAAGGGUAUGACGCUUAUACAGUUUAUGUAUAGGGUAUGCCUCAUAUACAGGUUAUUCCAACAGAAUAAUAAAGAAUGGAAUAACAGAAGUUCUCUUCAUGAAUAAGAAAGAAUAACACCCCUUACUAUAAUAAUAUUAUCCCUUACCGUAAAAAAACUGAAAAUAGAGGUAGUGAAGUAGCAGAAUAGUCUUCUUCUUUCUUUCUAUAAUUUCUCUCUCUAGAGUUUCAGUGAAUUCGUAAGAAAAUAAUGAAGGAAUGAGCUUCUAUUUAUAGAAGAAUGGAUUGCAUAGUAACUAACUCAUGAACGGUCCAAAUUGAUUUACUUUAAUCUGACGGUCCAUAUUUAAAGCAAAAUCUUUUAAAUAAAAUAUAAUAUAUUCUAUUUAUAAUCUAAUAAAAUAAAUAACUUUAUGUAAAUACUAUGCAGGCACUAUGCAAAUACUAUGCAUAAUAAAAUAUAAUAUAAUCUAAUUAUUGUCUAAUAAAACGAAUAACUUUAGAAAAGUAUUAUGUUUUAUAUAAAAAGAUUUUACUAUUAGUCUAAUAAAAUGAAUAACUUUAUAAAAGUAUUCUGUUUUAUAUAAAAAGUUUUUCUGUUUUAUUACGUUAAUAAUACGAAUAAAACAAAACUUCAUCAUCGCUUACUUUGAAAAUUUUUCAAAUGUCACCCUUAACUUUAAACUUUUAUCAAUUUAAUCAUUUACCAAAAUAGAAAAAUUGAAUACUUUUAUUUCAUAAAAUUCGGGGUCUCACAGUUAGUUUGCAAAAAGCUAUGGGCACGGAUUUACGAUUUAGUUCGGCAUAUCAUCCUCAAACGGAUGGGCAGUCGGAAAGGACUAUUCAAACUCUUGAGGAUUUAUUAAGAUUAUGUGUCCUUGACUUCAAGGGAAGUUGGGACAAGUUCUUACCAUUGGUGGAGUUUUCCUACAACAAUAGUUAUCAAGCAAGUAUUGGCAUGACUCCAUUUGAAGCGUUGUAUGGAAGAAAGUGUCGUUCUCCAGUAUGCUGGGAUGAGGUGGGUGAAGCAACGUUGUUGGGACUGGAGUUGGUACGUAUGACUACGAAAAAGAUUCAAACGAUCCGACAACGUAUAAAAACCUCACAAGAUNNNNNNNNNNNNNNNNNNNNNNNNNNNNNNNNNNNNNNNNNNNNNNNNNNNNNNNNNNNNNNNNNNNNNNNNNNNNNNNNNNNNNNNNNNNNNNNNNNNNUAUAUAUAUAUAUAUAUAUAUAUAUAUAUAUAUAUAUAUAUAUAUAUAUAUAUUGUCCAAAAUUAAUUUUUAGUUUUUGAGAUGGCAUGUAACCAUCACAUAUAUAUUUCUCCUUAAUGUGAUUGCAUUUAAGCCAUAACAAAGAAAAAAGUUUAAAAUAAUCUUUGGUGACAGCCAAGACCAUCACGAAAAGAAAACCACAUGUGAUGGACCUUUAUGAUUACAUUUAAAGUAAUCUCAACAAAUGGUAUUAUAUGAUGGACUUUUUCAACAAUCACAAAAUAAUAAUAUACAUGACGGCUCCUAGUAGUGGUUAUUUUUUCCAUCACCAUAAACUAUUUGUGACGGACAAGACAAUCACUAAAAAACAAGCAUAUAUGAACAACAAAUAUAUUAGGCGAGGAAUUUACUAGCAAUCACAAAAUAGUAGUAUAUAUGGUAGAUGUUACUCAAUGUCUAAUUGUGCCAUUAUUAUUAAAUAUUUAAGACAAUCAUUACAAUCACUAAAUUUUUCGCGUAAAUUGUACAUCUCUUUUUUAAGUCCCCAUUAAUCUUUAUUUUGCUUUGUUCUCUUUGUAAACUCAUUGUUUUUAUUGUGAAUUCAAAGGAUUUAGAGUUUAUCUCGUUUUUAUAUAACUAACUAUUUACGUUUGUUCUCUUUGUCUCGGUUGGUAUAUAUCUACUUCUUUCUAUGCAAGAAGUCUAGAGUCCAAAUCUCCACCCAAAAAAGAAACAGUGCAAAUGAUGGAGCAAAAUUCUUGCUGUUGGGGAAGAGCAGAUGGACUAAUUGAUGUAACCUUCAAAUUGGUGGGAAGAAAUCUGAAAUGGAAGGAGCAGUAAGCAGGAUUUUUUUUUUUACUAAAUUUAAAUUGUAUUAAAGGAGAAAGAAUGUACAAAAAUCAUGGGAAAACCCAAUCAGAAUAUAGUAUAUACAUCACCUCAAUCAGAAUAUAACAUAGACAUCAUAGGACAUGCCAUAUGAUGUCAUGACUAAAAAAGAAAAUAAGGCCAGAUGCCCAAACAAAAGAGAAACAAUCUCAACAUUCAUGAGAAUACAAUGCAUAGAAAUCAGACACAAAACCAAGAAAAACCUCAUCCAAAGUAGCAGCAGCCCACAAUAGCAGCAAAAGAAAAAUCAGUCCAAAGACCAAAAGGCAUCAUCCAUAACAGAACCGAAAGAGCCUACUGCAGACUAGCAGCACAAUAGAGCACAAGGCCCAACAAGAGAAGCCAACAACAGUUUAGCAAAGCAAAACAGCAGACAGGACAUGGAAAGCAAGAGCAACAAACCCCAAGAGCCCAAUGGCAGCCAUAGAAGUGCAGCAGCUGCAGCCGACAUCAAAUAAAACAGCAGUAAACGAUAGCAGCCAUAAGUACAGCACCACCCCCCAAAUCUGCAGCAUCAAGACAUAGAAAUAGUCACAAUACUGCAGACCAAAACACGCAAACAAUGCAGCAUAAGCAACAAACAGAGCAGCAAAUAGGUCUAUUUUCCUGCUUGUUUUCAAGGUUGUGUAGUAUUUAUUGUCAUUUUAGUAUUUUACAUAUAUGUCCAUUAUGGGUAAAAUAAGUUGUUUGGCAUGGGCAAUGAUGCCAGUGAAGGUUUUCUUUCUUCAGUGCUUGAUGGAAGCUCUCGAGCUGUAGUCACUACAAAGAUGAGGAGAUGCUGAAACCAUUUUCGAGCACAGUGAGAUAUAAUAGUUACAUAUAUGAAUAUGCCAUCUCAGAUGAUCAUGUUGGUGUAACACAGAAGCAUGUCUUCCAUGUGCUGGUACCAUUUCUCCUUCCUUUUCUGACAGUAGGCCUAUGAUUUCUUCUGGGAGUGCUGAGAAAGAGACUGCUAGACUAGAAUAUUGUAUACGGCACUAGAAAUAGGGCAGUCUUUCUGUAAACUGCAGAGCUAUGGUUCCUUGGAAUGAUCAUUGCUUUACAACGCAUUGAGUUUUUUUUUUCUACAUUUCUUUUUCCUGGAAAAGCCUAUUUGAGGGAGGAAAUAGGAGAAGUAGAAAUUUGUUGUGGGUAGAGAUGUUUUGGAUUUGUCCUUGGUUUCAGUAAUUAAACAUCUGCCAUUUUUAUUUGCGAUUAUAUCCGGAGGAAGCUUUUAUAUACUAGAUUCAUAAAUCAAGAAGUUCAAUAUAGGGAGCACCAGCUGCAACAGCAGCAGAGCAUGAGCAGCAACAUUAAUGUAGGUGGAAGCAUUGAAAGGACGUUCUAUUUGUUCAUGCCAUUUAAUCAUGGCAAUCAUUCUAUUUAUUCAUGGUAAUCAUUUUAUUUGUAUAUGCUUGUUCUUAUAUAGCUUAUAUUGACAGAAAAUUUAAAUGGAAGCUAUGAGAACCACAUUUUAUCAAGUCUUUCAGGUGGGUUAGCCUCUGCAUAGCUCUUACUAUUUCUUGCAGCUCGAGGAGCUAAAGCUUCCUAAAGUAUAGAAAUCACAAAACCAAGCAAAUAAGUUUAAAAAAAAAAAAGAACUAAAGAUAGAGUCGCAUGUCUUUCAAAUAUGUUUCAAAAAAAAAACACAUUCUCUAAAACACUGGUAACAGAGCUUCUCUAAAACUGAAUUUCAUGUCCAAGUUCAUGUUAUCAACUUAUAGUCUUAUAUGUAAUCAACAUAACUCAAACGACUUCCUCUUUUUCUAAUAAUUAAUAACAGGGAAAAAAUUUAAAAAUAUGGGUGAAUUGGAGAAAUAUAUCUUACAAUAACAAAGAAAAAGGGAAUCCUAGUCCAGAAACUUGUGCGCGCUCUCACGAAAGAUGUCUCAUGAGUAAGCCUGAAUCUUGACGGAUCUGCAUGUUCAUUGUAGGAGAAAUUUAACAUAAAGAGAUAGCCUCAUGUACACAAAUAUUAAAAUGAAUACUAAAUUCAAACUACAGAAUGAUAAAUAGUCAUUUCUUGAUCGUGCAGCGACAUAACAAUGGAAAACUCGGUCCUGAGAGGCAGUUUCCUGCUCCCAGACCUUCCAGCCACGAAUCUGUACAAGUUAAAAACUUAUUAGCAUUAUAUGUAGAAUCAAUCAGGUGAUAAUAUGAAGAGUGAUAGUGUUUUAUAGAAAAUGAAAAUAUUCGAAAAUUGUUUCGAACAUAUAUUAAAAUAAAUUAUUGUCCUUUUAUUUUAUUAAAUAAAAUAUUAAAAAAAUCAUUGUCUUCUUUAAUGCAGUUUAUAAAGAAACACGGGAAAAUGAAUAUAGGCCAAGUUAGUGAUAAAAGAAAGUGAAUGACAGACUUGGCAGGAACUCUAUUACUGUAGAAAAAUAAAGCAACAAUUGAAAGGAUUCUUAUUUCGAUAAUGAAAGGAAAUAAUAAUCGACUGAUAAUUAUCUGGAACAUGCCAACUACUAUAUAUAUAGGAAAACAUAACUAAAAAACUCAGCUACGUAGGCCUAAAUAUCAUCAUCUUCUUCUUCUUCUUCGAAAUAUUCAUCAUCAUUAAAAUAUUCAUUAUCAUCUUCAUCUUCAUCACUACAUUCUCUAUCUUCAUUUUCUGCUUCCGCUAAUGAUGGAUCCACUUCCGCCCACAUUAGGAUUACUCGUCAAUGGUUGAUCAAAUUUGAUAGAUUCGCCUUCUGAAACAAGAAGUUCUGGCCCUGGAGGGAUAAUAUCAACCACUUGACGUCCAUCCGAUGCAUCCGUUAUGGUUAUUUCGUAACCCCCCUUUUCUUUUCGUAUUAUUUUGCCUACUAUACCUGCUGCUGUAGCAUUAUAAACCGUAUUGUUACUCUUGCUCCCGUCGGGAUAAAUCUGACCCCUUCCCCUGUUUCCGCCUACGUAUAUAGGAUAUUUUAAGAAGUGAACAUCUUUCUUAGUAGCGGGGUCCGGGGAAAGAAUAGGAAAGGUGAUUUCACUAUAUUUUUGACCAGGAACAGGGCCUAUCACAAGAAUAUUUUUUUUAGUGGGGCGAUAGCUCUGAAAAGAAAGAUUGCCUAUCCUUUCUUUCAUCUCGGGAGAAAUCCGAUCAACAGGAGCUAAUUCAAAACCCUCCGGUAAAAUAAGAACAGCCCCUACAUUCAAAGCCCCCUUUUUACCAUUAGCAAGAACUUGUUUUAGUUGCAUAUCAUAAGGGAUUCGAACAACUGCUUCAAAUACAGUAUCAGGAAGUACGGCUUGUGGAACUUCAAUAUCCACGGGCUUAUUAGCUAAAUGGCAAUUGGCACAUACAAUACGCCCAGUCGCUUCUCGUGGAUUUUCAUAACCCUGCUGUGCAAAAAUGGGAUAUGCACUUGAAAUGGAUGUCCGAGUUAUGAUAUAUAUCAUGAGCGAUGCGGAAAUGGAUCGAGUAAUCUGUUCCUUUAUCCAAGAAAAAGUCUUUCUAGUUUGCAUGGUCCAACCAUUGAUCCCGAAAAUUUCUACAAUAAAUUGGGUAGGUCGCUAAUAUAGUUCCCUAUCCGCGAUUCUGCUAUUUACUGGAAUAAUAUAUNNNNNNNNNNNNNNNNNNNNNNNNNNNNNNNNNNNNNNNNNNNNNNNNNNNNNNNNNNNNNNNNNNNNNNNNNNNNNNNNNNNNNNNNNNNNNNNNNNNNGAGAAUCAUCAAGCAAUAUCAAAUUCUGAGUUUGCUCCUCAAUAUUAUAUAAGUCAAAAUCAUGAAACUCUUCCUCUUGAUAUGUCUCUUCAUUACUAUUUUCGGCAACAUCAUAUGUGUUUCUUGCUUUUGUUGUGAUUACAGUAGACCAACCUUUAGCUUUAGUCGACACUGGAUUAGCAUAGAACACUUGUACAACUUGUGAUGCAAUAACAAAUGGCUCAUACGGCUUGUGCCUUGAAUUUGUAUCAAUUGUAGUUAUCCCGUACUUGUUAAUAACUACCCUUUUUUCAGAAUCAUACCAUUCACAUUGGAACAAAAAUACUGAAUUCUCUUCUCCAUAGUAUUCUAGUUCAACUACUUUAAUUAAUUGUCCAUAAUAGUCUCGUUCUUGGCCUUCAAAAGUACAUCCCUAGACUAAAACACCACUAUUUUGAGUUACCUUUCUUGACUCCAAUUCUUUUGUAUGGAACCUAAAGCCAUUGACAAUGAAUCCAUCAUAACAUGUUACCUCUCUAGACGGACCCAUAGCGAGCGCUUUUAGACGCGUAUCAACGACAUCAUCAUUCUUGACUCUCUUUUCAAACCAUUUUAUAAAUGUCGAAUUAUGUUCCUUUUAUAGCACUUUAUCCGACAUGUUUGGACGUAAUUCUUUCAAUAAAUGCUUGUGCUCCCUAGAAGUAAUGAAAUAAAUUAGUAGAUAUAGAGUAAUGAUUUACAUAUCUAAAAGUAAUAAACUUUAUAAGAAUUAAAAUGUCAUACUCGAUGAAAUCAAAGACUUCCUCAUAAUUAGACAAGAUGUAUAAGGUUGCUGCCUCGAGUUCUUUAUCAGAUAGAUCUUCACGUUUUCGUUUUCCUCCAAUUGGACGACCAGGCCUAGGGUGGCUAAAUAUUGAUAACUUUCCAUUAGUUUCAGCUUGACCGCCAUCGUCAUUUCGAUCAGCUCGGUUGAACUUGGUUUGCACCCUAAGAUCAAAAUAUCGAGAAGAAAAGUAAACUAGUUCGUCUAUUAUGUAUGCCUCAGCUAUUGAACCCUCGGGGCAAGCCUUGUUACGCACCCUUUUCUUCAAAGAACACAUGCACCUAUAAUUAUAUUGAAGUUAGGUAAUCACUUUAACUAUAAAAAAGCCUUGGCAAGAAAAGAGAUAUAAUUUAUUAAAACAUCACCUCUCGAAAGGGUACAUCCAACGAUAUUGUACUGGCCCUCCGACCUUGGCUUUAUAUGCCAAAUGAACAAGUAGAUGCUCCAUUGAAUCAAAGAAAGAUGGUGGAAAAAUCAUCUCAAGAUUGCAUAAUAUUUCAGCAAUAAAUAGCUCAAGCUUCUCUAACUCAGCUAACUUAUACACCUUAGAGCAUAUGUCUCGAAAGAAUUUGCACAAAGCAUUUAUUGGUUCCCAUAUAGAGUUUGGUAAGAAAUCACGAAAGGCCAAUGGCAAGAAUCUCUGCAUGAGAACAUGGCAAUCAUGGCUCUUUAGCCCAAUUAUUUUGCAAUUGUCAAGGUUAAUACAAUGAGAGAUAUUUGAAGCAUAACCGUCUGGAACUUUCAACGAUUUAAGCCACUUGCAAACUUGCUUGACUUCUUCGCUUUUUAAAGAAUAUUUAGCUUUUGGCAAUUUAAAUUUCCCAUUACCACUCUCUUCAGGAUGUAAUUCAAAUCUUAUACCAAGCUCUUGCAAAUCUAAACGAGCUUUAAGGUGGUCUUUUGAUUUUCUAGUAAUGUUCAUCACAGUGUAAAAUAAAUUAUCAAAAAUAUUUUUCUCAAUAUGCAUCACGUCUAAGAAAUGUCUUAUUAGAAGCAAACUCCAAUAAGGCAAUUCAAAGAAGAUACUUUUCUUUGUCUAGUUAUGCUCGAUUCCAAACCCAGGAGUCUUAUCGGUACUAUUGUUUUUAUCCUUUCCAAAGAUGACCGAACUAAAUUGAGAUACAAAAUUUAACUCCUCAACACCUGUUAGUCGAGGCGGGGGAUUUCUCCGUUCGGUUUUAUUAUUGAACUUACUCUUCUCAGCUCGAUAUUUAUGAUUACGCUUCAACCAACGACGAUGGCAUCCAAAAUAACUCGGCUUCCUCCCAUGUUUAAGGUUAAAAGCUACACUUGGAUCCAUACAAGGACAUGACAAGGCCCCAUGUGUACUCCAACCCUUCAAUAUGCCUAGCGCAGGAAAGUCACUGAUUGUCCAUAUUACAGCUGCUUUCAUAUAAAAAUUUUGCUUUGAGAAAGCAUCAUAUGUAUCAACUCCAACAUCCCACAAAGUCUUUAGUUCUUCUAUAAGAGGUCGCAAAUACACAUCAAUCUCUCUUCCAGGUCCAUGUGGACCUGGAAUAAGCAGUGACAUAAACAUGUACUCCUCUUUCAUACACAUCCAAGGGGGGAGAUUGUAUGGAACAAGGAAAACUGGCCAUGUCGAAUGAGGUUUGCUAGAAUGCCCAAAAGGAUUAAAUCCAUCAGUAGCUAAGCCAAGUCUUAUACUACGAGCAUCUUCAGCAAAAGAUGGGUAAUUGAGGUCAAAAUAUUUCCAAGCCUCACUAUCAGCAGGGUGCCUUAGCUCACCUGGAAUAUCACAUCAUUUUUCUUUGUGCCACCUCAUAGGCUCGGCCGUUUUUGAUGACAAAUAAAGCCUUUGAAGCCUUGGUAUAAUUGGUAAAAAAACUUAAGACCUUCCUUGCUAUUGGUUUAUUCUUUUUCCCUUUAACACUGCCAUGGUUUUUAUACCUAGAUUCGUUACAAAUUGGGCAAGCAUCUAAAUCUGCAUAUUCUCCUCGAAACAAGAUACAAUCAUUAUUACAUGCAUGUAUUUUUUGUAGAGGUUGCCCAAGGUCCUUCAUUAAGGCCUUGCAGUGAUAAAAUGACUCGGGUAAUUUAUUCUUUUUAGGCAACAUUUCCUUGAAAGCUGAAAGAAAAGCAUCAAAUCCAGCAUUAGACAAACAAUACUUGGAUUUUAGGUGCAACAACAAAGUUACGGCUAAUAACUUGGUGUGAUUUUGACAACCAUCCCACAAGGGCUCGUCUGCAGCCUUUAGAAGGUCAUAGAACUUCUUUGAUUCGCUAUUAGGAUCCUCAUCAAAUUUAGGGCUAAUGCAGCUUGUAAUAUCCCUUAACAUGUCUUUAGGCCAAUUUGCAAUUCCCUCAUCAAUAUCGUCAUCUUAAUUCCCUACUUUCUUAAGUGACUCCCCAUGCUCCGUCCAUGUAGUGUAGUUUGGUACAAAUCCAUGCUUAUAAAGACACAUUUCUACAUCUUCACGUGAUUUAUAGUUUAUGAAAUCACACUUGGCACAAGGACACCGAAUCAUGCCAUCAUCUACGCACUCAGGAUUAGAAAAUGCAAAAUCAAGAAAUGUAUUGACCCCACUCAUAAAUUCAUGUAUAUGUUUAGACUUUUUCCCAACAUGCCUAUACAUCCAACUUCGAUCAUCCAUCUACCAUUUGUAAUUCAAAUAAUUGAAAAAUGUUCAUUUAUGGUGAUAAUUAACCCUUUUAUGAAAUAGAAAAGAAAAAAAAAACUGUACUGACUUUACAACUUAUUUUCUAGCACACUGUUCUUAACAUGGUCACAACUUAUAAUUAAAGAAAACAACAUAUACUACCUGAAUUCAAGAUAAUAUUGGUUAUGAGGUAGUAAAUCAAACAGAGAAAGCGUAAUCAGAGAAAGCAUAUUAGAUUUUCUAAUUAAUGUUCCUAAUUAGUUUUAUAUUAGAUUUUUUACAUGCUACACAGGAAUUGGGGCCAAAUUCGAACAGAGAAAGCAUAAUCAAAAUUCUAAAAUAAUUGGGGCCAAAUUGGAACAGAGAAAGUAAAGAGGGAGACAAUAAACACCCAAGGAAGAGAGGAUUUACCUUCAAAAUCACAAAGCUUAACUUGGAUCACAACUUUGGUACGUAGAAGAAAGGGAGAUGGUUUUAGUUACCGUCUAUGGAGAAGAUGGGAAGAGUUGUUUAGAGCCGCAGAGAGCACUGGGCAGAGGCCGUCGACUGAGAGGGAGUAGUCGACUGUCGACUUUGUCAAGAAAGAGGCAAGCAAGUAGCAACUGAAGCAAUCAAACAAAGAGUGAAGAAGGAGAACUGAAGAUAAGGGCUAGGGCAAAUGUCAAAUGUGAAAGUGAAAUCAGAAAUGGACCGCCGACUCGGUCACUUAGGAUUAUAGAUAGGAGUGAGAUAUAAUAAUAUUAUAAAAUUGUUUUUUUUAAGAAUUACGGUUCGGUUAUUCGGGUAUCCAAAUAACCAGUUUUUGAACACCGAAUCUGUAAUCGAAUACUAAAUAAUAAUUCGGAUAUAACUGAAAUUGUAAAAAAACCGAAAAACCGAAAUAAUUCGGUUAAAAAAUUUCGAUUCGGUUCGGUAAUUCGGUUUUAUUCGUUUUUUGCUCACUCCUAGUCACUGGACAUUUAAUUUUUGUUGGCUUGUUGUUGCUGACUUGCUGUAUUUUGGACAGUUAAUUAGGCUUGCAUUAUUAAGUCAUAAAUUUCAUGUUGGCUUGUUGUUGCUGCUGGACAAGUAAGUUAACAGUUGCUGCCUGCUGGGCAGUUAAUUUGCUAAAUAGUUAACAGGGAAUUUAUGUUGUAUGAUAUUUCGGUUAUUACCCGAAUAUCCGAAAUUACAAUUCGGUAUUCGGUAAUUCGGUUAUUUUCACAUUUCGAUUAGAAUUUUGGAUAGUGGAAUUGUCAUUAAUUCGGUUUUCGGUUAUAACCGAAUAGCUUAUUCGGUUCGGUUAUAACCGAAUGAUCACUCCUACUAAUAACUUGGUAUUUUGAAUCAAAUAUCGGCAUCGACACAUAAGGCUGUAAAAUGAGCAAACAGUUCGGGGUCGAUUCGUACUCGCUCGACUAAAAGUUCAAUUCGAGCUCGACUCUAAAUAUAAAUGAGUCAAAUAUGAGCAAAUUUUAAAGUUCUAUAAAUUACUCGAACCUCCUCAAAUUAUAAUUUUCUAUUGAUACUCGGAUCAUAUUCGUUCGAAAAGUUCAAACUGUUCAGGCUCGAUUCGGAAUCGUACUCGACUCGAUAGCUAAAUGAUCCUCAAUCAAACCUUAUAAUAUACUUGAUAAAAUUUGUGAACCAAAUCUGAUAGAAAUACAUUACGAAAAUUUAAAAAGAUUAUAAAAUGAGUUUUAGUUUUAGUUGGACCAGAUUAAGUAAUCUCAAGUACAUGAAAUUAAAAAUAAAAUAAAAUUAACAAAUUGAAAAAAACAACAACUAGUAGACUCGGGCGUAAAUUAACUUUUAAGGGUUUAAUACACUAUUUGUACGUUCCAAAUUUUAUAUUUGACUUUGUACCAUUGACAUUUAUUUUUUCGUGGGCAUAUAUUUUUAUUAUUAUUAGUUAUUGUCAAUUUUGGUGGAUAAAUUAUUUAAUGUUUGAAGACUAUUUGGGGGAUAUUAAAUAUAUCAUUACUCAUAAUGAUAUUAAAUAUAGUGGGUGCAGAUGAUAGUAAUGUUAUAAAAAAAUUUCAGGCUUCACAAAGAAGAAUAUAAGUUAUUGUAUUAAGCUUCAAUACUUUUUGUAAGAGUAAUAAUUGAUAUUAAAACAUCAUUUUUAUUAAUAAUAUUAUUUUAAAAUAAUAAAAGAGAGGAGACUUAAUUUGUAGCUUAAUCUAAAGAAAGUAUAUAAAUUUUUAAUAUUAUUUUAAUUUAUUUUACUUUUUUGAAUAACAAAUUUGUACUUAAUUACUAGUGGAUCAAUUAAUUCAUAUCUCACAAAUUUACUAAAAAUAAUAAUUAAAUGAUACUCUUUUUUUUGUAGAACAAAGGGUAUAUCAAAAGAUAAUUAAAUCAAAAGAAAUUUAAGCUAAUUAAAUUUAAUUAAAAGAUAAUUAAAAUUUAAACAAACAAAAAUAGACUAAUUUAGUGGCAUAUUCCACUCAUUUUGAAGAAAUGGCGGGAUCUCUGUUUCUAUCUUUAAUUUCAAGUACCAUUGUAUAAACUUCCCCAUCUUUUCCAUAGGCAGCAAACUGAAACCCUACAUCCAUCUUCUACCAAAAUUGUGAUCCCAGUUAAGGUUGUGAUUUCAAAGGUAAGUCCUCUCUUUGGGUGUUUAUUCUCUCCAUCUUUCCUUUCUCUGUUCUAAUUUGUCCCCAAUUCUUAUUUUAGAAUUGUGAUUAUGCUUUCUCUUUUCGAAUUUGGCCCCAAUUCCUGUUUUUAUAGAGAUGUUUUACGAACUGUUAUUGACAAUUUGAUUGUUCAUGUGUUUGUGGAGAUUUAAUAUAUAUAUAUAUAUAUAUAUAUAUAUAUAUGAUUUUGAUAGCGUAUUUACUAAUUUUAANNNNNNNNNNNNNNNNNNNNNNNNNNNNNNNNNNNNNNNNNNNNNNNNNNNNNNNNNNNNNNNNNNNNNNNNNNNNNNNNNNNNNNNNNNNNNNNNNNNNNNNNNNNNNNNNNNNNNNNNNNNNNNNNNNNNNNNNNNNNNNNNNNNNNNNNNNNNNNNNNNNNNNNNNNNNNNNNNNNNNNNNNNNNNNNNNNNNNNNNNNNNNNNNNNNNNNNNNNNNNNNNNNNNNNNNNNNNNNNNNNNNNNNNNNNNNNNNNNNNNNNNNNNNNNNNNNNNNNNNNNNNNNNNNNNNNNNNNNNNNNNNNNNNNNNNNNNNNNNNNNNNNNNNNNNNNNNNNNNNNNNNNNNNNNNNNNNNNNNNNNNNNNNNNNNNNNNNNNNNNNNNNNNNNNNNNNNNNNNNNNNNNNNNNNNNNNAUAUAUAUAUAUAUAUAUCCCUCGAUUUAUAUAUGUAUGUUAAUUAGGUACGUAUAUGUAUGCAUGAAUAUAUAUGAAACUUUGUUAGUUAAUUACUUUGGUUGAGAAUGGAUUGUAGUUUGUAAACAAAUCUAAUAUGAAACUGAUUAGGAAAAGACUUAAAUUGGAAUUCUUCUUUUGGUUGAAUGGAAGGGUUACUCAUUACUUCAUUAAUUUGACAUUAAUUUUGUAUUAUUUUGUUUAAUUAUGUUUUGGUUGGUUAUGUUUUUCAUUUAUUUUAUUCUAUUCCAAGUCAUUAAGAGCACAUGAUGUUUUAGGUAAAACACUGAUUCUACUGGACAGAUGAUUCAUGUACAAAACCAAAGUUAGUGCACACACCCUAUUAUUUAAUAUUCAAAACAUUGGGUUGCUGUUGGGGUGGGUCUGUAGGAGGGCAGGGGUGGAGUUGCAGGGGAGGCGAAUGGAAGAGGGCAAAAGUGCUGGAUGAAGGAGGGACGUUGGCAUGUUCUUGAAUGAUGGUAACCCAUUCUUUAUACAUUUUGAAUGAGAGUGGUUAAUUGCAAAAAAGCACUUGCAAUAGCUACAUUGAAAUUGGUUCCAUUUAUGAGGGACAAGAAAAGCAGCAGUGGGCAGUAAGGAACUGCUAUAACAGUUUUGGGUAUAUCAUUCUAGCUCUAGAAUCUAGUUUGAAGACUUAACCAUAGAGUUUUAGUUUUAGUUGGAGCUGUACAUUCUUUACCAUUAAUGAUUAGUGAUUCUAUUCAAAGUUACCAUGCUUUUUUAAGUUCUCACUUGGGUUUUUGUAAAUGGGUCAAGCUUUGCUUAUUGUGUGCAAGAAAAUCUGAUAUCGCUGUGAAAUCUAUAGUAAGAAAAUUAAAAAUGGUCACUUUGAUAUACUUGCACUUAAUUGAUGCCCACAAUUGUCGUCUUUAAUUGUACUAAUCCAUCAAAGGAGCAUGUCAAUAUUGUUCUAUUCAGCAGUACUAUGAUUUAAUUGAUGCCCUCAUAGUAUCCAUCAAAAGAACAUUUAAUCUUGAUGUAACCAGCAUGCCACGGAACCUGACAUGUGUAGCAAAAAAGCUUUUUACAGUUCAGACAUAUUAGAAAUGAUUGUUCCAUUGAAAUGAUUGUUUGGCAUAUUAGAGGAUCUAACAAGUGAUUACAGUCCAAAGUGGACGACAUUUAAUGCUGGCUACAUUGUCUUCAACUUUUACUUCGAUGUACUUGGUGAAGCAAUCCACACAAAAAGGAUGAAAACAUUCAUCAUUCUUCUUGAAAACAUUCAAUGCAUAUCUCACAAGUGAAAGUUGAACUCUCUUCUUCACCUGAUUUAUCCUCUUCUGUUUUCGCCAAACUCACCUCUUGUUUUUAGCUGUGUGUUCCCCAUUGUUUGUUCUGUUUCUGUUGCAAAAAAAUCAUCAGCUCAUGUGAGAAACAAUUAGAGAAAGUGGAAUUGUACAACAGAAACAUGCAUGAAGUUGUAUAUUAUUGCAAAAUAAAUGGCAACUCUUUCUACAAUUACAAAGAAAAUGCCAAACACAUUUUGAAUUUGCAGCUACAACUAUUACAUGUGUUAUACAAGAGAUGAGAAUACAUUUUGAACAUGCAUGUGUCAAUUUGUGAUCUACAACACAUUUUGAAAAUGCCUAACACAUUUUGAACAUGCAUGUGUUCUACAAUUACAUGAAUUAAUUUGCAUGUGUUGUACUUUGUGUUGUGCAUAUAGUAAUAGGUUCAAUUAAAUGUUGUGUCAAGUGAUAGUGCUAAUUUAUUUAUUUUUUGAUAAAAAAAUGUACAUGCUUGUGGUAUAAUUUCAAACUAGUUUUCCAAUGAGUCAUGAUUAAUUAUUGCUGAUUAAUAUGUUGGGUAUAUAAAUUGUUCUUUGUACGGUUGAAUGUUAUUGUCUUGACAGGUAAGAUGCUAAUUGAUUUUGGAGCUAGUAGAGUAGUGAAUAAUUUUGAAAUUGUAUUACAACAUCAUCUUGAAUAAUUUCUUUUAUUUAUCCUAUAUUUAAUUAUAAGUUUUUUUUCUUCUCCAGCUAUGGUGAGAACUAGAGGUGGGAGUAGUCUUUCCGGUAGGAGAUCAACUCUUCCUCAUAAUAGUGGCGAGACUGUUAACAUGAACAGAAUGAGAGAUGAGCCUAUUGUAUCUCAUGAUAGUGGUGAGAGUAUUGAUAGGGCUACACCGAAUACUACACAAGCCGAAAGGUUAUCUCGUAAGAAAAGGGGGCCAACUCUAGGGAUAAUAAAGCCUAAAACAGGCCAAACAAAGAUGCUUGUUAAUAUCAUUGGACAAAAGUAAGUUUUUACUAAUCUACUCGUGCUUGUCAAUAUGCAAGUUACAUACAAUCAAUUCUGGAUACGUUAAAGAUUCAUUUUCUGACACAUAAUAUAACGUCCGUUUUAACUAUAACAGGGUAAUCUAUGUAGCACAAUGUAAUCCAAAGAACAUAAAAGCAACUAAUCAUAUCAUGUUACUAUAAAAAGCAAUUAAUAGGGGUUCCAUUUAACAAGAUUUGAUUAAUCCUAUUGUGACAACUUUGUUUCUACUUUUCAUUAUUGUUGUACUAAUCAUAUCAUGCUAUGUUACCAUAUCUUGUAAUUAGCUUCCUUGAACCUGAAGCUCGAAGCAAGACUCACAUAUUAUUUCAAAAACGUUUUAAAGAAGCUCGAACCAAAUUCGAGCAAUGGCCAAAACAUGAAAUUGAACUUCUUUGGGGAGAAUAUUUGGUAUGUUUUAAUGAACACACAUUUUAAUUGUAGAAAAAAGUUUAUCAAAAAGUGUAUUAUUCAUUAUAUAUUAAUUAUUAUUUUUACUUGUGGAUGGUGUUAUAGAAAUAUUUUCGUUUCUCUUCAUCGAAGGAGGAGGGAAGGGGUCGAAUCAUAUGGGAGGAAAAUGCACGAAAAAGCUACCCAAACUAUUUAUGGAGAUGGAAAGAUGAUGCCAUUAAGAAGUUUGGCUCCAUUGAGGAAGCAAGGGAUAAAAAGCCUAAUUGGACAACUCUUGAUGUGUGGCAGGAGAUGUGUGAUUAUUGACUGAGUAAAGACUUUUUAGACUCUAGUGAGCUACAAAAAAAGAACAGAAACAUAACUACGUAUGUUCCUCACACAUCAGGCUCCAUAUCGUACGCCGUUAGGAGGGAACAAGAGGUAAAUUAUAAGUUGAUAAAAUCAAAUUAAUAAUAUGCGUAGUCGAUAAAUGCACAUGAUAAUGGUAAAAGAUUCAUAUCAUGAUGCUCUGUUUGGAGUUUUUAAGUGUUCAUGUGGUAUGUAUUGCUUAUUUUUAAUAUUAAUGUUUAUAAUUAAAAUAAUUAUUAUUUUGCUUGUUUUGUCUUAGAAACAAAGACUGCAUCGUCCGCCAACGCAAUAUGAGUUAUAUAAACAAACUCAUAUGAGGAAGGAGAAGGGUAGCGAGGAAAAAACGUGGGUUUGUGAUGAAGCAAAGAGGAAUUUGGUAUGAUUUUCUCUUGUAAAAUUAUAAACUUUGUUUACUCAUGCGAAAGUGAAGAUUGUUGUUCGUUCUUUUCAUAAUUAGUUAUGAGUAUUGUUAAUUAUAUAUACAUAUUUUAUGCAUUGUAUAGGAUGAUUAUGAGAGAAGACUCUUAGCCAAACAUGGUGAUACAGAUAAGCCCGUGAAUGAGUUAGAUGAUCCAAAUUUGGAGACAUGGCAGAAAACUGUUGGAGGCGUCAAAAAGGGUAGACUUGUUGGUCGACCAGGGGAAAAAUGGAGUUCUCGUCGUGGUUCGUAUUGUCCAUCUUUGGUUGCAGAUGAGAACUAUAUUAAAUUAAAGAAAAUGGAAAGCUACAUGACUUAUAUUCAUCAAUACACAAAAAAUAUGGCCGAAACACUUGCACUUGAUCCUCCUAUAGACUUUUGUGAUUUGUUUGCUUCAUCAAAUGCAUCAGCUGAUAUUCCAACGAAUAACUCAACCACGCAUGCUGAGAAUGACAACGGAGAUGAUGACGACUCUCAAGAAAACUUCAUGGAGAAUUCAGGAUGAUUUAGCUCUGCUUUACUUAUCAAUUUUAUUAGUUUAGGGUUCUUUGAUAGAUGUUGGGUUUGUUAAUUGUUUGAUGAACCUAUGACAUGUAGUUACCUAUUUAAGUAGUUGGUAAUGAAUUUAUUUUUAAUUAAAUGGAUCAGAUUUCUUCAUUUUAAUAAAUUUGUAUGAUUUUACGUUUCAAAUUUAUUGUAAUUUAUGUCAUUUAUAAAUUUGAAAUAUAAAAUUGGCAAUUAAAUAUAUUUUAAUAUAGGAAUUUGGUGAUGGCUUUACUAUCACCAAAACGUAUAAAAAGGUUACAAAAAUAGGAAUAAUUGUGAUUGCUUUAGCCAUCACAAGAGACUUAUGCCAUCACAAAAGAAUGUGAUUGUUUUGGCCAUCACAAAUAAUUGGUGAUUGUUUUGGCCAUCACAAAAAGAUGUGAUUGCUUUGGCCAUCACAAAUAAUUGGUGAUUGUUUUGACCAUCACACAAAGAUGUGAUUGCUUUAGCCAUCACAAAUAAUUGGUGAUUGUUUUUACCAUCACAAAAAGAUGUGAUUGCUUCGGCCAUCACAAAUAAUUGGUGAUUGUUUUGACCAUCACAAAAGAUGUGAUUGCUUUGACCAUCACAAAUAACUACUAUGCUAUCGAGAUUACUUUCGCCAUCACAAAUAACUUGUGUGAUUUCGUGAUGGUCAAACUAAUCACAAAAUACAUGUGCGCUAAUGUGACUGAUUUAGUCAUCACAAAAGGAUCGAAUGUUUUGGUGAUUGCCAAAACCAUCACGUAAAACCUUUCAUGAUGGACGUAUACAAAACGGCCAUCGUGAUGCUUAAAAUCAUCACGUAAACCUUUCGUGAUGGUUUUUUUAGUUUUUGUGAUGGAUUUUUGCCAUCACAAAUGACCAUUUUUUUAGUAGUGAUCGAAAGGACGUGGAAUUUAAUAUUGGAGAUCACGUGUUGUUACGUGUUGCUCCAUGGAAAGGAGUUACGAGAUUUGGAAAGAGAGAAGCUCAAUCCUCGAUUCAUUGACCCAUUUUUAAUCCUCGAGCGAGUAGGAACUAUGGCCUAUAGACUCGCCUUACCGCAAAGUAUGUCUCGUGUUCAUAACGUUUUUCACAUAUCUAUGUUACAUAAAUAUGUGAAAGACCCGAACCACAUUAUUGAAUUAGAACCAGACAAGAUAGAGGAAGAUUUAACAUAUGAAGAGUUACCUAUUAAAAUCUUGGAUAAGAAGGAUCAUAUUCUACGCUCCAAGGUUAUACCUCAAGUCAAAGUUUUAUAAGAGAAACCACGAUGUGGAGGAAAUGACCUGGGAGUUAGAAUCUGAGAUGAAGUCAAGAUAUCCUCGUCUCUUCGAUAUACCAGGUACGUACCCUAGUUUCGAGGAUGAAAUUUCAUAAGAAGGGGAGGUAGUAAGACCCCAACUUUUAUGAAUAAAGAAUAAUUUUCUCAAAAUAUAUUUUUGAAUAUUAUGGUGUGGAUUUGAUAUAAUGUUAUAGUUGUGGGUAUUAUUUACAAAUUUUGCAAAGUAAGCAAGUGGUUAUAUAAUAUUCGAUUGGUCGGGGAAUAUUCGUUUUAACAGGGAAUAUUCGUACGACGGUACAAUCAUUGGUGGACCCCACAAAGAAAGUAUUGUUGUAGUUAAAAAACGACAGAAUUAUCUUUUUAUAAAAAUAAUGGCGAAAGUGUUGCCGUUAAAACUGUUGAACUAACCGGUAAUAAAAGUACAGUAAUACGCGUGGUUGCAUAGUAGUACACAGUAUUGAUUAUUGAUGUUUACGUGAGAAGUCACUCAGUUAUACUCAAUUAUUACUAUAGUAAUUGUUGCAUCAUAUCUCUCAUAUUAUUGAUUCAAUUAUUGUCACAGUAUCAUCUGCAUAAUAUGUUAUAUUAUCAAAUCAAUAAUUGAGACGACAAAGUUAUUAAUAUUAUUAAAUUACAAUAUUGACAAUGUCUUGAAGUUCUGUCAAGGAGAGGUUAGAUAAUCUAAUUGCGCGCCAAUAGGGAGAAAUCCUCAUCGGAAAGCCCCCUCUUUCCUGGAAACUACCUGGUUGUUAAAUAUUAUGAGUUAUAAUAUUAAUGAUGAAUAAGUUUGUGUUGAUCAAAGAUGAAAUUAAUAGUUCCAUUGUAUGGAAAUUAUUAGUGUUAGUUGAAAAUCGACAUUUAUUUCGAUAAUAAUUGAUGUCUGGAGGUUUUAUUGACCAAUCGGGUAAUUAACCGGAUAAAUGAGCAAUUAAUUGCUAUUUAUUCACAUGCUUAUAACUAUGUGUUCACAUGUGUGUACUAUUGAUUCACAUGCAUGUACUGUUAGGGGAGUUGGUGCAAGAUUGAUAAUACUUGCAUGACUAAAUUAAAAAUUGAGGUAUAGAUGAAGGUACUAUACUAUACUUAAUUUUUUCACAUGUUUAGAACUAUUGAGUCACAAGAUUUACUAUUGAUUCACAUGAAUUACUAUUAGGGGAGGUGGUGCAAGUUUGAUAAUACUUGCAGGACUAAAUUAAAAAUAAAAAAAAAGAGGAAGGUAUUAUACUGUAAUAUUUUGAGCCCCAAAAUGUGCAAUUAUUGAAACUAUAUUUUCCUAUAAAUAGAAGCUCAUUCUUCCUUCAUUUCUUACCAAUUCACUAAAGCUAUAGAACAAUUAUUAUAGAGAGAAAUUAUAGAGAGAAAGAAGAAGAGAAGUAUGCUACCUCACUACUCCAGUAUCCAGUUUUCUUCUAAGGUAAGGGGUAUUAUUUCUUUCGUAUUCAUGAAGAGAGUUAUUUCUUUCAAUACUCGUAAGGGUUGUUAUUCCAUUCUUUAUUAUUCUGUUGGAAUAACCUGUAUAGGUGGAUUACCGAAUGCGGUGUGAAAUUCUUCUGUUAUUCCAUUCUUUAUUAUUAUGUUAGAAUAACCUGUCUGUGCAGAUUAUGCACGCCUGGUGAAUUCUUUUGUUAUUCCAUUCUUUAUUAUUUUGUCGGAAUAACCUGUCUGUGCGGACUACGCACGCCUGGUGAAUUCUUCUGUUAUUCCAUUUUUUAUUAUUCUGUUGGAAUAACCUGUCUGUGCGGUCUAUCGCAUGCCUAGUGAAUUCUUUUGUUAUUCCAUUCUUUAUUAUUUUGUUGGAAUAACCUGUCUGUGCGGUCUAUCGCAUGCAUGGUGAAUUCUUCUGUUAUUCCAUUCUUUAUUAUUCUGUUGGAAUAACCUGUCUAUGUGGAUUACCGCAUGCAUGGUGAAUGAUCCUUUGUAUUCAUUCCUUAUUAAAUUGUGGAAAUGAUAUGUCUACGUGGAUUACCGCAUGGCGGGCAAAAAUCCAUUUGCAAUUUUAUAUAUUCUAUUAUACUCAGUUGCUUAAAGUUUUGGCUUCUAUACUCCAUGAAAUUAGUAGAAUAUCCUGGAUAUUUGCGCUUCAUCCAAUAUCUUUUCAUGGACAUAUUCUUCUGAGCAUUCUUGAAUUUUACUCCACAAAGCAGUAUUAUGUUGACAAAUUGGAUGUUAUUAAUUUCUGGAUAAAUUAAAUUAUAAAUCUUUAAUAUUUAUCCUUGAACUUGUUUUAUUGAAUUAUUAUGUCAUUGUCAUCAUCCUCAUGCUUAUAUUGUGAUGAAAGUCAUCUUUGGCUUACGUGCAUAGAUGGAUUUGGUAUAAUUAUGACCAGGAAUUAUUCGGUAUAAUCAUGACUGUAAUGUGACGAAUGAUGUGGUGAAAGUCCUCAUUGGCCUGUAGUUCAUUGAUGGACAGUUGUUGGUAUGAUUAUGACCAGGGAUUAUUCGGUAUAAUUAUGACCAUUGAUGAUUACACGAGUAUCCUUGGCCAUAAUGCAUGGAUGAUUCGAUUUUAUUUAUUAAGCUGAGUCUCAGCGAUAAAGUUGAUGAAAAACUUUUUAAGUCAUAGAAGAUAGUAGAUUUUAUACUCUAUAAUUGACUCUUCUAAUGGAUUGCUUAUUCCGCUGUAGUUUUUUAUCUAAAACUUAUUGUCUAUUAUAUUCUUUCAGUUGUUAUACUGUUGAAGGCUAAGGAUAAUUUAUUUUGCAUUAUCUUAGUAAUAAUAUUUCUUACUGGGCUUGUUGAGCUCACCCUUUUCUUUCAUGGUUCUCUUCAAGAAAUGAGAACGUAGCUGGGACUAGUCGGGGAACAGAGUGACGGUCCAGAUGUUUGGAUUAGUAGUCCUCACUAUUCUGUGAAAUAGUGUGAUAAUAAAUGUAAUGAGGACUCCAUUGAGUGUGGAUAUUGUCUAGAUGACAAUAUUCUUAUUAAAACUCUUAGAUUAUGUUUUGUCGUAUUUUACACGACUGUUGUACAAUUAAGUUGUAUUUGAAUUUUGUACCAUGUAUCUGGCGACUCAAGAUGGCUGAUGUAUACCUAUUUUGGUGGCGUCACAUUAACCCUAUUGUUAUAUAUAUUAUAUCCGAUUAUUGUUUAUCAACAUAAUAUUAUACUAUAUAAUUCAGAUAUAUAUUCUGUUCAUUAAUUUCUAAAAAUGAUUAUACAAGUGUCUCCACCUGGAUAAUCAUUGUAUUUAAUCACAUGUUGAUAUAUAUAUAUAUAUAUAUAUAUAUAUAUAUAUAUAUAUAUAUAUACCUAUUGAACCCCAGUAUGUAUACAUUAAGUAAAAGUCGUCUAAGCUAUUCGACCAGCUAGACACAAAUUUAGUUAUAUCGUUUAAUAUGACAAAACUUUUUUGUAUCCAAUCAAAUUAUUUUGGUUCGGAUUCCAGACUAAGUAUGAACAUCCCGAACAUGAGAAAACUUUUAUGCGCCCAAGGCGGACAGAGUAAACGAUAAUAUCUUUCUUUCAUGCAGUAUUGAUCAAUACAGGGUCCAUGGGAUGUAUACCCUCGUGCCCGUAAGUUAUGACGGUUUGCAGAUGAAGUUCUGUUUAACCUUUUUGAAAAUAGAAAACAAUGUGUAUGUCACCCUAACCCUAUAUAUAGUCAAUACAUAGUUUCAAAAAUGUGAGAUAGAGUUGAUAUGUUAUUAUUAUCAGUUUAGUUUACUUCACAACUAUUGAAUCGUUGUAGAAGUAAUGUACAAAGAAAACAUUUAAUUCUUUCAGAUAAUUAUAUUUAUAAUUGUUAUUACUUGCUGGGCACUCAAAUGCUCAUCCUUGCUUAAUUUAAAUGUUUUCAGCUAAGCGUGAUCAACCUGAAGGUUUAGACAAUAAUAAGUGAAAAGGAAAGCAAACAGAAUAUGUUUAACGGUAUCUUUUGUAAUAGUUAAACUGUAUUAAGAUAAUGAUAUGUAUUAUCUAUCAUGUAAAGAAUUAUAGUAAAUGUUGCGUACUUGGGAUUAGACUAUGAUAUUUGUAAAUUAAGUUUGAUUUUUAUAUUAUUGUUAUUAUUAUUAUUAUUAUUAUUCUGCUCAUAAAAAUGGUAUCGUGAAGCACCGAGUUCGGGUUUCAAGUACCUAAAUUUGGGGGCGUCACAGUAUGGUAUUAGAGCUAUAGGUUAGAAACCUUAGGUGGGUUAAACCUUAGGCUAUAACCUUAGAACAGAGGGGAACGUUGAAAAUACAAAUAACUCAUAUAGAGUUUAUAAGGAGAUGAAUUUAAUAAAUUCAUCGUGAAACAAAAUAAAAGAUAACUAAUAAAACUAUUAUUUGCUAUGUGUUUAUACUUAGUGUUAAUCCGGAUAAUUUAUUUGUAUAGAUGUCAGAUAGAAAAAGAAUUAGAAUACCCUCAGAUCAUAAAGAAAGAGCAAAUCUCCAUGACCGAGCCAAUAUUAAAGCUAAUAGCUGAAAUAGAGGCACACAUUGAAAACUACCUCAAAGAGGAGGUUAUUUUGGAAAGUAUAAUACCAGAUCCAGAGACGAUAGUAUAACAGAUAGGUUGAGUGUAGUUAAAGAAUAUAUGGUGAAGCUUGAGUUCUUAAACUCAUUUAUUUGUGGUAAGUUCUUAAACUCAUAAUGUGUAGUAAGAAAAAGGGAAGUAUUUUAGAAUACCUCAUAUCAUUCUCGAAUUACUACUUCAUCUCCUCACCAGCUCUUGAACCCUUGACCUCUAGAAACUCAAUAAUCAAACGAGUACCAAAUGUCUACAAGGAGGACUAGUAUAGUUAUGUGUUAAUGGAUUAUUGAGGAUAAUAGAAUAUAUAGAAUGCUAAGCAAUUGAUCAUUAGUAAAGACGUAAGAAAUAGAUAGUGUUAGUAUUACUUGAAUAGGUAUGAUUCUAUGUGGUGUAAAUGAUAAGUAUGUCUGUGUAAGGAAAUAUUCUCAACUUUUGUAUAAGUUAUGGCUGCGAUUCCUGACUUGUGUGUUAUAAAGGAAUAGCGGAUGUUUAAAGCAGUAUGUGCUAUGGUAUGUCAAGUGAUAUGAAUAUGAGUCUAUGUUGGAUUAACGAAAUAAGUUGAUAUAAAGAUAGUAAUUAUUUAUCUGAACACUGGUUAAUACAGUAAACCGAAUUUUCAAAAUCUAAAAUUUUGAGUACAUGAUUAUUUGAAUAGAAAGUUUUGCGUUAUUUGAGAUGCAUGUACGAUAAGGCUUAGAAUGUAAGUUAAUAAGAAUAAUUUAUGAUAAUGCCAUCGAGAAGAAGAACCUGUCAAUAAAGCUAGAAGAUAACCAGACCCGCCAUAUAAUUUUGCGAAUGUGGACGCUCAAGCUAUGCAGAACGGAAUCCCAGCCGCGGGAAAUCGGCCAGAUAAUCGAUCGACAAACUUUAGAGACUUCAAGGCAAUCGUACUGCCAAGAUUUAGAAGAUCAACUGAUCCUGUUGACGCGUUUGUGAUAGUUAGGGUAACAUAGGGGCAAAAAGACAGCUUUUGCCACCUAUACGAUGAAAGGAGAUAGUUUUGAUAAUACCUGAAAUAAGCCAAGAGUGUGAUGGAAAGGAAAGUUUGUGUGUUGCAAAUGUGGACAGGAGGGAUAUAUCUCUCCUAACUCUCCCAAUCCAAAAGUGUAUAGUGGGUGUUUUAUUUGUGAGUUAAGGGAGCAUAAGGUGAAAGACUGUUUAAGAAAGAGAAGGGAGGCAAGGAAUGCGAAUACGAGGAGAGGCAGCAGGACAUUGACGACAACGAGACCAACUUCAACAAACAAACUGACGGAAUCAACCGCAAGAGUCAUCAACAUGACUGUUUAGGAUUCGGUAGCAGCCGGGGAUGCAACUCCAAGUAUUACUCGAACCAAUUUUAUUUUCUUAUAUAUGAUUUUCUUAUAUAUAUAGUAAAUUAUUUUAUAAAUUAUUUUGAAGGAGGAAUUUGAGUUCUUUUAGAAAUCAAAUUUCUGUUUAUGAAGAUAGAUAAGCUUUUUGCUGAAUAGUUAAAGAUCAGUUAGAUCAAUUAUGAUCGAGAUCUACUUGCAAUGAUUGUAUAGGUUAUGUACCCUUAUAUGUAUAGGUUUUAAAACGGUGAUUCCGGGGACGAAAUCUUUAUAAGGGAGGGUGAAUGUAAUAACCCGAUAUUUUCUAUAUAAUUAAAUCAGAAAUUUUGUGUAUGAAUUUAUUUAUUUAUUUAUUUAUUAAAGUUGGAAAUAUGUGCCAGGUAAUGUGUAUAUGUAUAUAUGUGAUAAAUAAAAUAUAUUUAUUGCAUGAAUAAUUACCAAUAGUUUUAUUUUAGAAUUAUUGCUCAUUAUAAAUUAUAUUAUAAUAAUAAUUAGUUUUAUAGUAGAAAUGUUUUUAUUAAUUCUAUUCUAUGAAAAUGUGUUUAUAUAUUAUUUAAAAAUUAUAUGAAAUGAUUAAAGACUUAUUAUAAUGAUUAUUCUGUUUUAUUAUAUGAAUUUUAGUUCAGAUUAUUUAAGUUAAUUAUUUUAACUUAAUUAUUAUUGUUAUGUAUGCAAGAUAAAUCAGAUAUGGAAUCCAAAUCCUAAUUUUGGAUUUUGAACAACGAAUGAGAAUAAUAAUAUAAUAUUAAUUAUAUUUUUAUUCUUCAGUGCUAUAAAUAUGUAUGUUAUGUUUGUAAGGUUAAUCUGGGGAGCAAUUUCCUUAUGACCUGAUAAAACCCUAAUUUGAAAGUCAAUUACGACUGUAAAAUCUGUUAAGUCAUUGUGAUAUGUGGUAUAUGAUUUGUAUUAUAAGUAUUAAUGUUAAUUAUAUAAAACCCUAAUUAGUAAUUUAAAACUCUAUUUUUCUUAUAUUAGAAACCCUAAACAGUAAUUAGCUAUCCGCUAAGUGGAAACCCUAAUUUAAAACUCAACUAUGAGUUUGAGACUAUUAUGUAACUGUGUUAUUAUGUUUAAGGUUAAGUAUUAUAGAAUUUUAUAUUAAUUAGAGAAACCCGAAUUAACAUUUAGAAAUCCUAAUUUCCAGAAACCCUAAUUUCUAAAUUAGUAAACCUAAUUUCUAAAUUAGUAACCCUAAUUUACUAAAAUAAAAUCCUAAUUGUUAAUUUAGCACGCUUAAUGAUAAUUAGUAAAAUCUAAACCUAAUUUUCAAGUCUAUGUAAUGAGGAAACCAAAUUAAUUACGAAACCUUAAUUUGUAUUUUUAGAAACUAAAAAUUUCAAUUUUUGUUUAAAUUAGAAAUCCUACAACACUUUGUGCUAAACCUUAUGGUCAAACCCUAAGGGUCAAACCCUAAGUGUUUGAUAAGUUACUAGUUUGCCCUUAAAUUGGUUAGCCAAAUGACAAAAAUACCCCUCUUGCAUUAUUGGACAUAACUUGUAAGACUAACCAAUUUUGAGUUGCUCAACAACUCUUACCAGCCCCAUUUGACUAAAAUGCCAGCAAUUAGCCAACUUGAUUUCAUGUUAUAUAUAGAGAGAUCAGGAAAGAGAAAUUUCAUUUAUUAGCCACAUUUGUACAAAAAACUCCUUACCAACUCUCUCUCUCCCAAAACCCACGAAAUGUUGUAGUAGAUCAGUCCCAUAUUAAAGCCCCACUAACACACUUAACCAAAUCAGCAGCCAGAAUCAAGAAUUGAUGUUUAAAGGUAUAAAAUCCUAAGUUAAAGUUUUGAUCUUGUAUGCUAUAUUGGAUUUAUGGUUUUUAUGUUUAAUCAUGUAGAAUAAGGUGUUAAUAGGUGAUCUGGGUUGGCACAUGUUAGAUCCAUAACAUCAAAGUGCUCGAAAUCUAAGUUUUUCAAAAUCUGGAAUUUUUUGUUUUUGUUGUCUGACAGCGAAUGUCAGGCCUUGUAGAUCUGUGCUUGUUUAUUGUUUUGAUGAUUUAAAGGUUUGAAGUGGUAGUUUGGUAUGAGGUCUUUCAUAUGAAAGUGGAAUCACUGUUAUUGGAUGUCUAGAUCGAAAGUUAUUGAUGGUCAAAAGUCGUUGACCAACCAUGACCGAGUGUAAAUCUGGGCAACCCAGAAAGCUUUUUCAGCGUCUGACAAUGUUUUGGAAGGCUUAGAUCUGUCAGUGUGUAAAUGAUUUGAUGAUGUUAUAAUAUACAGUUUAUAGCCUGUCAUAUGUACUUUAUAUUUGUGGCUUUAGAUCCUUUAAACAAACAAUUGAUCAAACUUAGUGGAUGGUCAAACUUGGCCCCUCGGUCACGAUUUCAUUUCUGGGAAUUUCCAGAAAAUCGGAAGAACAGCCCUCUGACAGGGUUUGACCAAGUUAUAUCUUGUAGAUCUGUUGAUGUUAAACUGAUUUGUUGUUAUAUUAUUGUUCCUGGACAUAAGGACUACAUCUUUGAGGCAUUAGAUCACUUGAAUCAUGAACGGAACCUAGAUUAAAUCGAGGAUGAAAGUGACUGGUCGACCACCUGGGUUUCUGGAAAACCCAGGAAUGCUCUGACAACAUAUUUGCAAGCCUAGAUCUCCUUGUGUGUUUGUUGUAUGACCUAGAUAUUGAUUGCUAGUUAUAGUGUUGUAUAAUGACUUCAAUAUUGAUGCUUAAGUUUGCCCAGAAACGAAUUAGACAGAGAAUUAUUAGUGGUCAAAGUUGACCCCUCAAACACAAAGCUAUAAGUGUUCUUGAGCUCAAGAACACCAACAGCGACGCUUACUGUCGCUAAAAGCCAAUAACGACGGUUUCUAAUACUUUUAAUUUCUGAUUUUUCGAAAAAUACUUAAAAAUAGAAAAUAAAUUAUAAAAAUUACAAAAAUGGUUUUAAAAAUUAUUUUCAAUUAUGAAAAAUAACUUUUAAUUAUUUGGGAUAUUUUUCAUUAAUAUUUAUAUAUUUUUUAAUAUUAAUAAUAUUUAAUUUAUUUAAUUAGUGUAUUAAAUAAACUAGAGAAAAAUGAUUUUAAUGUUAUAAAAAUCAAUUGAAAUAAGAAUAAAGUGUUUAAAAAUAUUUUUGAGUUAUAUAUGUAACUUUUAAUAUUUUUGUGAUGAAUUUCAUUAAUUAAUUAAUAUUGGUGAUAAUUAAGUAAUUUAAUAAAUGUAUUAAAUAAAUUAUGAAAAAUAGAAUUUGUGAUUUAAAAAUCAUAUAAAAGUGAUUUAAAGAUUAUAAAAAAAUAUUUAAAGUUAUAAAAUAUAACUUUUGAUAUUUUGUCAUGAAAAAUAUUAAUAAUUUAAUAUUAAUAAUAUUAGAUUUAUUUAAUGAUUAUAUUAAAUAAUUUAGUUUAAAAAUAAUUUUAUUAUUAUAAAAAUCAUUUUAAAUGAAAAUAAAGUGUUUAAAGAUAUUUUAAGUUAUAAAAUAUAACUUUUAAUAUUUAAAGGAUAAUUUCAUUAAUAAUUUAAUAUUAAUGAUAUUAAUUUAAGAUUUAUUGAUAUUAAAUUUAUUUAAUAAUUAUAUUAAAUAAAUAUUUUUAAAAUGGUUUUAUUAGUUUAAAAAUCAUUUAAAAGGAUAUAAUUGAAUUAAAAAUAUUUUAAGUUGGAAUUAAUGACGUUUAAUAUUUGGAUAAAUAGUAAAUUAAUAUUUUAAUAUUAAUGGUAAUUAUUUAAAAAUGAUUUUAAAUGUUUUAAAAAUCAUUUAAGGGUAGUAUUAGUACUUUAAAAAUAUUUUGAGUUAUUAUCAAUAACUUUAAUAUUUUGGUAAUGAUUAUAUUAAUAAUUUAAUAUUAAUUAAAUAUUAAUGAUAAUAUGAUUAUGUACUAUUUAAAUCAUUUAAUUAUGAUUCCAGUGUUUGAAAUUUCAUAAUAAAUUAUAAUAAAUGUUUAAAAAUUAUUAUAAGUCAUUUAAAAAUAAUAUGAUUGAUACUUGUAGAUAUUGAGAUACAAUAUAGAGUCUUAGACUCGAUAUUUACCCAAUAAAGCCGUCGGUAGACCGACAUAUUUUAAAAAUUGAUCUAGACUUAGAUAUUUGACUGUAUUAAUGUUUGUUUGUGAUUUAAUGAUUGUUGAAUAUGUGUGACAAUGUGAUUAGGUUAUGUCCUAACUGCAAUAAGAAGUGCUAUGUGUUAUAGUAUGUUAUUCUAAUCGAACAAAUGAUUUUAUUAAUGAUAGGUUUUGGUAUUAAAGAUAAAACUAAGUUGUGUAUUGUAAGUAGCAGACCAGACAAGUAUCCUAUCUUUGCAUUUUCAUUAUGCAAUGGACAUGAGUAAGAAGUUUAGAACUGUAUUACUACUGUAUCAGAUUAUUAACCCUAUUGUUAUAUAUGUUAUAUCCGAUUAUUGUUUAUCAACAUUGUGACGACCCCAAAAUAGUUAUACAACACCCAUUCUGAGUCGCCAUAAUACAUGGUACAGAAAGAAAACUACAACUUCACUAUUACAAUUGUCAUGCAAAAUACGACAACACAUACUGUGAGUUUAAAUACAAAUAUUGUCUUCUAGACAAUAUCCACAAUCAAAUAAGUCCUCAAUACAUUUAUUAAUACAUUAUUUUACAAAAAUAGUGAGGACUGCUAAAAUAACUAUCUUGAAUCAUCACUCCAUACCCCGGCUAGUCCCUGCUAUAUUCUCACCUCCUGAGAAGAAAAAUGGAACAACAAGAAAAAGGGUGAGUUCAACUAGCCCAGUAAAGAAUAUUAUGACUAAGAUAAUAUACAACAAAUUAUCAUUAGUCCUCAACAGGGAAAAAUCUGAUAGAAUAUAAUAGACAACAAGUUUUAGAUCAGCAAAUGCAGCGGAAACAACAAUCCAUUAGAAGAGUCACGUAGAGAAUGAGUUCUACUAUCUUCUAAGAUUUAAAAGUCCAUCAUCAAUAUUUUAUCCCUGUAACAACAAUCAAUAUACAUCUUUACACUACAGGCCAAAGAUAUUCAUUUAAAUCACCAGUCGGUCAUGUUCAUCUCAACACCUGUUCAUCUUUGCACUACGGGCCAAAGAUAUUCAUCAGUUUAUCAUUCAUCUUUGCACUACAGGCCAAAGAUAUUCAGUAAUAUCAUCAUUUAGGACUGAGGAUGAUGAAAAAUAUUUUUUUUUAAAGAAACGAAUCCAGUGAAACAAAAGGACAAGGAUUAAGAAUUCGUACUUUAGUUUGUCCAAAUUCAAAAAUACUCCAUAAUAAACAAUUAUGGGACAAAUUUUAAGAAUGAAGAUCAAAACAUGGAUAUAAUCAAAGCUAGUAUCAUAAUGGACAUUUUGGAUAAAAAGGAAAUUUUUUAUUUUUCGGUGAAUAAUGUCGUAUUCGUGAAUAGUGCUGUAUACGUGAAUAGUGCCGUAUACGUGAAUAGUAACCCCGACACAAAAAGUUCCAAAUUUGAUAAAAAGAUCAGAUCAAUAUUUCGACGUAAUGAUAUUGACGAAAAUAAUAUCAUUCAUGAAGAAAAUAAUAUUCCUUACCUCAAAGAAGCAGUACUUCGGAAUGAAAGGUCGGAAGUGAUGCUGAAUGAAACUUGUACUGAACAACAACUCUCAAAGUAUCUAAAUACUCACAAAAUACGCUCGAUAAUAUAGAGAGAAAGAGAGAAAGCUUAUGUUUCUUGUGUGAUUUUCAAUUCUAACUUAGCCAUCUAUUUAUAGAAAAAUGUUAACCCGCCGAAGCAGACUUGACCUGCUACCUGAUGGCUUUACCUGUUACUAUUGCCACCCACCACAUUUAAAAUUCAAUUUGAGCACAUUUCUCACCAACCACAAGUGGGGCCCAUUCAAUUCUAGAAUUUUCCACCAAAAUCAUUUAUAACCCUAAUUUCCGAAGCAGUCACCUCUUAAAAUUCAUAACAAAUCAUUCGUUCAUUUUUAACGGUUCAAAAUUUGUGGACAUAUACCCAACUUAUAUAUGUAUAACAUAACCAAAAAUCACAACAAUCCAACGGUCAGAGUAAAAAUUAUAACUCACGCAAUAUAUCGUAAAAAUACUGAUUUGAUUUUUAAUACCUCCAUUCCGACAAAAAUAUAGAUAAAACACCUCAACAUUAACUCCUUCAAUUAUAAUCACAUAAAAUAAACAAAUCCAUCAUUUAUAUAAAAUAAAUAUUUCCUUAUCAUAUAAAUCAAUAAUUAAUUAUUCACAAAUAAUAUUAUAGAAUCACAAUUAUGACAACCAAGCCGUUUCCAGGAAAGAGGGGGCUUUCCAAUAAGGAUUUCUCCUUACUGGCGCGCAAUUAGAUGACCUAACCUCUCCUUAACAGAACUUUCUAGACAUUGCCAAUAAUGCUAUCUAAUAAUAUUAUUAAAGCAAUAUGAAUUAUUGAUCUGAUAAUGGGAAAUACUGUGCAGUAACAAUAAUUGAAAUAAUAAUAAUAUAAAAUAUCAACGCAGCAAUUAUUGAAUCAAUAAAAUAAAAUAUUAAACAGUAACUACUGUAACAAUUAUUGAGUAGUGCCUUCUUACGUAAGAAUCAAUAAUUCAACUAUACUGUGUAAUACCGUGUGCUACUGUGCAACUACGCGUAUUACUGUAUUUUAACCACCAGGUAAUCCAACAGUGUUAACGGUAACAACUGCGCCGUUAUUUAUAAAAACACAUACUUGUCGUUUUCCUUCAUCCAACCAUUUUUCAUUAUGGGGCCCACAAAUGGCUGCGCCGUCGUACGAAUAUUCCCUGACAGCAAGAAUAUUCCACGACGAAACGAAUAUUCCCCGACAACAAUGAAUAUUUUAUAACCACUUGCUUAUUUUGCAAAAUUUGCUUAUCUCAUCCAUAACCAAAAUAUUAUAUCAAAUUAACACCUUAUUAUUCACAAUAAUAAUAAUUAGAGGAAAUUCAAUUUCAUUUAUAAAAAGUUGGGGUCUUACAAACAUGAUAUUAUAUUAUAUAAUUCAGAUAUAUAUUCUGUUCGUUAAUUUCUAAAAAUGAUUUAAUCACAUGUUGAUAUAUAUAUAUAUAUAUAUAUAUAUAUAUAUAUAUAUAUAUAUAUACCUAUUGAACCCCAGUAUGUAUACAUUAAGUAAAAGUCGUCUAAGCUAUUCAACUAGCUAGACACAGAUUUAGAUAUAUCAUUGAAUAUGAUAAAACUUUUUUGUAUCCAAUCAAAUUGUUUUGGUUCGGAUUCCAGACUAAGUAUGAACAUCCAGAACAUGGGAAAACUUUUAUGCACCUAAGACGGACAGAGUGAAUGAUAAUAUCGUUCUUGCAUGCAGUAUUGAUCAAUACAGGGUCCUUGGGAUGUACACCCUCGUGCCCAUAAGUUAUGACGGUUUGCAAAUGAAGUUCUACUUUACCUUUUUGAAAAUAGAAAAUAAUGUUCAUAAUAUGUCACCCUAACCCUAUAUAUAGUCAAUACGUAGUUUCAAAAAUGUGAGAUAGAGUUGUUAUGUUAUUAUUAUCGGUUUAGUUUACUUCACAACUAUUGAAUCGUUGUAGAAGUAAUGUACAAAGAAAACAUUUAAUUCUUUCAGAUAAUUAUAUUUAUAAUUGUUAUUACUUGCUGGGCACUCAAAUGCUCAUCCUUGCUUAAUUUAAAUGUUUUCAGCUAAGCGUGAUCAAUCUGAAGGUUUAGACAAUAAUAAGUGAAAAGGAAAGCAAACAGAAUAUGUUUAACGGUAUCUUUUGUAAUAGUUAAACUGUAUUAAGAUAAUGAUAUGUAUUAUCUAUCAUGUAAAGAAUUAUAGUAAAUGUUGCGUACUUGGGAUUAGACUAUGAUAUUUGUAAAUUAAGUUUGAUUUUUAUAUUAUUGUUAUUAUUAUUAUUAUUAUUAUUCUGCUCAUAAAAAUGGUAUCGUGAAGCACCGAGUUCGGGUUUCAAGUACCUAAAUUUGGGGGCGUCACAAAUAUGGCUCAGUUAUUGGAGCGCGAUAAUGAGUCAACCCAACCAAGAGAGAGUAGCCGACAAAAUGAUAAUACCAGUGGUAGCAGUCAUCGAAGCGGUGUCAACAAACGUGGAGGGAAUCAACAUGCUAGAAAUGGUAACCACUUCGGUAGUAAUCAUGGCGAAGAUAAUAAAAAUGGAAAUUUCAAGAAGAGGAGAAUCAACAAUGAUGGAAAGACGUCAGCACCAGAACCCGUUGGUAAGGAAGGAGAACGACCAGCGAUCGUAUGCUACAAAUGCGGAGGGGAGGGAUACAUCAGUCCAAACUGUGCGCAGCCGUCCAAAAUGUAUUAUAAUUAUGGAAGAGAAGGUCACCUAGCUCGAUUUUGUCUUGCAAGGAAGCCAAGUCAAGCUGGGAUGGAGGCACCAAAGGUCAUCCCAGAAAAGUCAAAACCAGUAGUUCAAGGGAGAGCGUUUUUCGUGACCUCCCAGAAAGCAAGGAACCUGAACGAGGUUAUCAUGGGUAAGCUAAUCAUAAACUCUAGCGAAGUAUAUACCUUAUUUGAUAACGGUUCUACCCAUUCUUUUAUUUUACUAUUGGCACUCAACGUUUAAAUUUAACUCUGGAGAAAUUAGACUUUGACUUAUCUGUUAAAACUCCGUUGGGAGAAACCUUCAUUACAUCCACUGUUUAUAAGUCUUGUUUAGUUCAAAUCGGUACCCUCACAUUACCUGUCGAUCUUAUUUCUUUAAAAAUACUUGCAUUUGAUGUGAUUUUAGGGAUUGAUUGGUUAACUACUCAUCAUGCAAAAAUUGAUUGUUUUCGUAAGGUUGUUAGCUUUCAUAUUCCUAACCAACCUAUUAUGCGAAUUCAAGCAACCAAACCACUAAAGUCAAUCACUGUCAUAUCAAGCCAUAAAGCUAUUCAUUUAUUGAAAAAUAGAUGUCAAGCUUUCUUAGCCCAUGUCACAAAUUUAAACAAAAAUACGUCAUAUUUGAAUGAUAUUUCUAUUGUUAAUAAAUUUCCAGAUGUAUUCCCUGAAGAACUUCCUGGCCUACCCCCAGAGCGUAAAAUUGAGUUUGUAUUGACCUCGAACUCGGUAAAAGACCCAUUUCCAAAGCCCCAUAUCGAAUGGCUCCUAUUGAACUUCAGGAGUUAAAAACCCAACUGCAGGAGUUGUUAGACAUCUGUUUCAUUUUUCCUAGUACGUCUCCUUGGGGUUCUCCUGUUCUAUUCGCAAAGAAGAAAGAUGGGAGUAUGCGACUUUGUAUUGACUAUCGGGAGUUAAAUCAUGUCACUAUCAAAAAUAGGUACUCGUUGCCUCGCAUUGAUUACCUGUUUGACCAGUUGUAAGGAGCCAAAUUCUUUUCAAAGAUCGAUCUUCGUUCUGGAUAUCACCAGUUAAAGAUUAAAACUGAUGACAUCCGAAAGACUGCUUUCAGAACUCGGUACAGGCAUUAUAUAUGAAUUCCUAGUCAUGCAUGUCCGUUGGAUUGACUAAUGCUCCUGCUGCUUUCAUGGAUAUGAUGAACCGAGUAUUCAAGGAAUAUUUGGAUCAUUUUGUGGUCAUUUUUAUUGAUGACAUCCUCAUAUACUCCAAAAUCCGUGAAGAUCAUGAGCAACACUUGAGGUUUAUACUUCAAAAGUUUCGUGAAAACAAGCUUUAUGCCAAGUUGAAGAAAUGCGAGUUCUGGCUUAAGGAAGUGGCAUUCCUUGGGAACGUGAUAUCAAUUCACGGAAUAUCUGUUGACCCAUUGAAGAUUAAAGCAAUUCAGAGCUGGGAGCAACCUAAGUCAGUGACCGAAGUACGUAGCUUUCUGGGCUUAGCUGGUUAUUAUCGGAGAUUCAUGGAUGGAUUUUCUCGAAUUGCUACUCUAUUAACUCAGCUGACUCGAAAAGAUACAAAAUUCGGUUGGAGCGAGGAAUGUGAGAAAAGUUUUCAAGAACUCAAGAGAAGACUCAUUUCAGCACCUGUUCUGAUAAUACCAUCUGGCUCGUAGGGAUUUAUCAUCUACAAUGAUGCUUCAGGCAAAGGGUUAGGAUGUGUUCUCAUGCAACAUGGGAAAGUCAUAGCCUAUGCAUCAUGACAACUCAAAGAAUAUGAGAGGAAUUAUCCUACUCAUGAUCUAGAGUUGGCAGCUGUCGUUUUUGCGCUUAAGAUUCGGAGGCAUUACCUGUAUGGAGAGAAUGUGGAGAUCUAUACGGAUCAUAAAAGCCUCAAAUAUUUCUUCACUCAAAAGGAGCUCAACAUGCGACAACGACGUUGGCUUGAGCUAUUGAAAGACUACGAUCAUACCAUUUAAUACCAUCUUGGAAAAGCGAACGUAGUAGCUGACGCAUUGAGUAGAAGAUCAUAUGCGGGUACGAGUGCGAUAUUGUUAACGCAAAGACCCAUUUUGUAUGACUUACAAAGGAUGGAAAUAGAGUUAAAGACUCUAGGGACCCAAGUGAUGAUGGCAAAUAUACGAUUAGAACCGACUUUAAUCGAUAAAGUUAAAGCUGCUCAACUUACGGACCUGGAGCUGAUGCGUAGUAGGAAGAAAGUACAAGGUGCUAUCCUGGAAGCAAGAAUCGAUGAAGAAGGAAUACUAUGAGUCAACUCUAGACUUUGUGUUCCUAACGACCCUAAUUUAAAGUAUAAAAUCAUGAUGGAGGCGCACAACACACCGUUUGCAAUCCAUCCUGGGAGUACCAAAAUGUAUCGUGAUCUUCGACAUAUAUUUUGGUGAAGUAAUAUAAAGAGAGAGAUAACAGAGUUUAUCUCAAGAUGUUUAACUUGUCAACGUGUCAAGGCGGAGCAUCAAGUGACAAAAGGUCCAUUGCAACCACUUGAAAUUCUAGAAUGGAAGAGGGAGCACAUUACCAUAGAUUUUGUUAUUGGUCUUCCCAAGGUUUCUCAAGGCAUAGUUGCAAUUUGGGUCAUUGUUGAUAGAUUGACCAAGUCUGCUCAUUACUUACCUAUACGAGAAACCUAUACACUUGAACGUCUUGCUCGUAUAUACAUAAACGAGAUUGUAAGACUGCAUGGUAUACCAGUAUCCAUAGUUUCUGAUCGAGACCUAAGAUUACUUCACGAUUUUGGGUCAGUUUGCAGAAAGCUAUGGGCACGGAUUUGCGAUUCAGUUCUUUGAUGCCCCCAAAAUAGGUAUACAUCACCCAUUUUGAGUCGCCAGAUACAUGGUACAAAAUUCAAAUACAACUUAAUUAUACAACAGUCGUGUAAAUACGACAAAACAUAAUCUAAGAGUUUUAAUAAGAAUAUUGUCCAUCUAACAAUAUCCACAAUCAAUGGAGUCCUCAUUACAUUUAUAAUCACACUAUUUCACAGAAUAGUGAGGACUACUAAUACAAACAUCUGGACCGUCACUCUGUUCCCCGACUAGACCCAGCUACGUUCUCAUUUCCUGAAGAGAACCAUGAAAGAAAAGGGUGAGCUCAACUAGCCCAGUAAGAAAUAUUAUGACUAAGAUAAUGCAAAAUAAAUUAUCCUUAGCCUUCAACAGUAUAACAACUGAUAGAAUAUAAUAGACAACAAGUUUUAGAUCAAAAACUGCAGCGAAAUAAGCAAUCCAUUAGAAGAGUCAAGUAGAGCAUAAAAUCUACUAUCUUCUAUGAUUUAAAAAGUUUUUCAAAAUUUUUAUCGCUGAGACUCAGCUUAAUAUAUAUAUAUAUAUAAAAGCAAUAAACGCACCGGAUGUAGACUUACAGUGGACUGCCAAAGUAGACUUCUUGGACUGCAAAUGGAUGAACACUCGUCUCUCGCCGGACUAAAAGUAGCUAUAUACGAGCUAACUAGUGUUUAAAGAAAAGGAAACACUCAAAAGAUGUGUAUGCAGAGCUAAACGGACAGGGCUUCCUCGCCUUUUUCCCUCUCUUCCUUCUCUCAAAUGGCUGACCCCCCCUCUAUAUUUAUAGACGGAUGGCCGCAGGUCUACCUGCGGCUGGUCGUGGUGGGCCCGGGCAUCGCGGGUCUCGUCGUCUUGUAGUACGUGCACUUGCGCACGGUAAUGUCCAAUCGAACUUUCAGAACUUCAAUCCUAGCAUCCAAACGAAGCGUGUCUGUACUUCUUCGGACCGCUGGUGUCGAGAGUUACGUAAUGACAUGGAUUAGAGGUUGUACGAAGUCAGGAAGCGGGGUAUAUGCCCAUGGUCUUCAGGCUUCAAAUUCUAUCCAAAGUAUUGUCACAGGUAAUAGUCACUCGGGAUUGUCAUUCCUCGGUUAUUUGGGACAUUGUUGUAUGUAUGUAUGUCUGAAAGGUUGAGACGACGUGCCAUUUGUUGGACGAACAAGAUGAUGUUUGACUCUUUGCCGGAGUUAUCGCCUGGUUGAGCUGAAAGUAACCGUUGCUCAGGUUACAUCUGAGAUUGGACUACUUGUUGGUAUGCUGCUAUAUCAUCUUGUUACGAGAUGACGUUGGUGACUCCUCACCGGGUUUAUCGCCGGUUUAAGCGGAAAGCAGACGUUGAUCAGGGUUACAGCUAAGAUUGGACCGCCUAUUUGUAUGCCUCACUGUCAUCUGUGAUUGAAGCUGAUUGCAUGUGUUUGCAACAAGCAAUUCUGGAGUUAUCGCCGGAACUGCGAUGGCAUCACUUGGGGUUAUCACCAAGGAUGGGACUACUACUCCCAAUGUUGUCUCUGGGACUGGAACUGAACGUCGCGGUGUCAUCACCGAGACAGGACUGUCCUCUCCGGUGUUGUUGCCGGUCUUUUGAUCUGCACAUCUCGGGGUUAUCUCCGAGAUUGGAAAUGACGUGCCCGGUGUGUGUUCCGGGUUUGGAACCGAUGCUCCCGGUUUGUGUUCCGGUUUGGAGCGAAACUUCCGGUAGUAUCUGGACUUGUUGUGAGCUGUCUUUCAGGGUUAUCUCCAAAAGACGAAUCUACCCUCCUGCAAUGUUAGUAAUAGGAGUGCAGAAAAUUUCGAGUGUCUACAACACCUAGCAACCCAGAUCAUCACUAUAGACUAAAAACAACAUAUUCUAACACCCAAACAUAACAUUUAACAACAUAUCAAAGGUCAGAUUUUUAGGUUUAGUGUUAUACCUUCUUGCUCAAUUUCUUGAUUUUAUGUUACUGAUUUGUUAUGGGAUUUCGUGGGGCUUGAAAAUGGGACAAAAAUGCUAUAGAUUUUCGUUGGUUCUAGUGAGAGAAGCUCUUGGUUGAGUGUUGUGCAAUUUUUAGUGAACAAAUGCAUUUUCUCUAUCCUUAAAUCUAUUUAUAGACAAAUUAGAUACAUGAAUGGCUGAGCUAGAACUUGUUGUUGUCAAUUUAGUGUCACAUGGCUACUCUAGGGUUAGCCAACCACUCCAUCUAGACCUAUUUCUACAAGCAAGCUUCAAUAAUACAAUAGGGCACAAAAGUCUUUUGGCUAGCAAUUUUAAGGGCAUUUUUAUAACUUGUCAAACCCUUAGGGUUUAACCCUUAGGGUUUAGCACAUAACACAAAUGAUUUUUAGCAACUUAGGGUUUGAAUAAAAUAAAAUUAUUUUAGCUUCUAAAAUUUGAAAAUCAAGAUUUGUUAAUUAGAUUAAGUUAGUAAUUAUAUUAUACAUGAACAUUAGGGUUUAGUACCACUAAUCAUAAUUAACCUUGCCAAAAUAGCAAUUAGGGUUUAAGAUUUUAAUAAUUAGGAUUUCUAAAACUCAAUUAGGAUUUUCUAAUUAUCCAAUUAGGGUUCUGAACAUUAGGGUUUUAAUUUAAUAAUUAUGUUUACCAUAAUUAGCAAUUAAAGUCUAUUGUACGUGUUAUUAAUCACAGUAACAUAAUUUUUGACAGAUAAAAUUCUUCAGUUUAAGUUUUGAUUUAGGGUUUCUAAUAUCAGAAAUUCAAAUCUAAUUAGGGUUUGACAUUUAUAAUUAGGGUUCCCUAAUUGGCAUAUCAUUAUGUAACACAACAUAUAACACAGUUAUAUAACAGUCUCAAAUUUCCCAUUUAAAUUGAAAAACAGGGUCAAACCAAUUAAUGCUAGGGUUUGGUCAAUAUACACCAUAAUUGACCAACCAUCAACAGUACGUACAUACAGUACAUAUUUAUGGCACUGAGAAAUUAAAAUAUUAUAAUAUUAUAUAUUAUUCUCAUGCCUUGAUCAAAACCCAAAAUUAGAGUUUGGAUUCCGUAUCUGAUUUAUCUGCCAUAAAUAACCUUAUUAAUUAAGUUAAAAUAAUUAACUUAAUAAUCUGAACAAAAUUCAUAUAAUAAAAUAAUUAUUAUAAUUAUUCUAACAUCAUUUCAUAUAUUACUUAUAUUUUCAAGGAAAAUAAUUAAUAAAACAUUUCUAAUAUAAAAUUAACUGUUAUAAGAAUAUAAUUUAUAAUAAUUAAUAUUUCUAAAAUAAAUCAAUUUGUAAUAAUUAAUGUAAUAAAUUUUAUUUAUCACACAUAUAAUUAUACACAUAUUACCUUGGCACAUAUCACCCAUAUUUAUUUUAAUAAAUAAUAAAAAAAAAAUUUAUACGCAAAAUUUAUGAUUUAUUUAUAUAGAAAAUAUCGGGUUGUCACAUUCUUCACAUUCAUCAGAUUCGGGUGUGUAGCUUGAGCGGCUUUAACUUUAUCGAUUAAAGUCGAUUCUGCUCGUAUAUUCGUUAUCUUCACGUGGGUCCUUAGAGUCUUUAACUCUAUCUUCAUCAUUUGUAAGUUAUACGAAAUGGGUAUUUGUGUUAACAACAUCGCACUUGUAAACACAUACGAUCUUCUACUCAAGGCGUCAGCUACUACGUUCGCUUUUCUACGAUGAUAUUGAAUGGUAUAGUCGUAAUCUUCAAUAGCCCGAGCCAACGUCUUUGGCGCAUGUUACGUUCGUUUUAAGUGAAGAAAUAUUUGAGGGUUUUAAAAAUGGGUUUUGUACUGGGGUCAAUACAAAAUUUGAUUUCACGCUCUAGGGGUAGGCUAAGAAGUCUUCAGGAAUACGUCAGGAAACUUAUUAACGAUAGAAAUAUCAUUCAAAACUGUGACUCUCAUCCCAAGACUUGGAUAGCCCGUCAUAUUGAUACCUAUCAACUUGCCACCGUUAUUCACGGCGUCCCCUACGGAUAGUCUGGCUUCGGUGUAUUCCAAGACUUGGAAGUCAUCAGCGAAAGGCUUAGGUCUCUUUACUUAUGGCUUGAUAUGACAAUGAUUGGCUUUAGUGGUUUGGUUGCUUGAAUUCGCAUAACAGGUUGGUUAGGAAUAUGAAAGCUAACAACCUUACGAAAAGCAUGAUGAGUAGUUAACCAAUCGACUCCUAAAAUCACAUCAAAGGCAAGUAAUUUCAAAGAGAUAAGAUCGACAGGUAACGUGAAAGUGUCGAUUUGAAUUAAACAAGAUUUAUAAACAGUGGAUGUAAUUAACGAAGGUUUCUCCUAACAUAGUUUCAACCGAUAAGUCAAAGUCUAAUUUCUCCGGAGUUAAGUUCAAACAUUGAACACAACUAGGUGAAAUAAAAGAGUGAGUAGAACCGGUAUCUAACAAGGUAUAGACUUCGCAAGAGUUUAUGAUUAACUUACCCGUGAUAACUUUAUUCAGGUUUCUCGUCACGAAAAACGCUCUCUCUUAAACUACUGAUUUUGACUUGUCUGGGACAUCCCAGUUGGACUUAACUUUGCUGUAGAGUACAUUCCACCCUUAAUUGCUUCAUCACAUUCCUGAUCCAUGAUUCGAAUCAUUACUCUCUGAUCCAUAUCGAAUUGGGGUUAACCGCUCUGCACAGGGUAAUUUCGAAUUCGAUGUUGGAUUCUCCCAAUUGUUGUCCAAAAAGCAAAAUCCAUUUCAUCUAUUUUAGCCUUAUUGGAUCUGACGUCUUUUUCUACAAUAUCUACACGUCGUGCGACUUUUACCCAUGCAUCAUCUAUUCUCAUUCGUUCAGUUGUUUUUUCUUUCAUCAGAACUUUGAUCAUAGCAUUCUUAAAUUCCAGCUCUAAUAUCUUAUACUCUGCCAAAGAGUGCUUCUGUUCGAGCAUCGUACAUCGGGUAACACAAUUUUGAAUUGCUACAUCUCUUUGCUCCACGACCGCCUGUCGUUCUUCAGCCUGCUCUUCUAGCUCAUGAAUACAAUUUUGUAAUUCUAAAUUUCGAUCAUAAAAUUCUUCUAAUAAAUUCACCUCAGGUUCCUCUUCUUCCUCACUCUCAGCUGCUACCUCUGCAACUAGCUCGAGUGCAACUAUUAGUUCUUCACUCACCAUGUAGAUAUCUCUAAUUUCUUCUUCGUUUGACAUCACAUUAACCUGGUUAGUGAUUAAAGGUGUCUCAACGAUCUCAUUCACUGCAUUGUUAAUAUUUUUAGCCGCCAUUUUUAAAUACUGUCAUAAAACAAGGGUGAAUUAACAUAUCACAUAUUAUCAAUAUAUUAUGACCGACCAAUUAAAUACCAAAUAAACUUAGGUAGGUCAUACUAGCAAAGGAAUUCCCCGUCUCUCCCCUCCUAGUUCUUGUCUCACAUCUCAGCCAGGGAUCAUAUCCCUAAGCUUUGAUACCAACUGUGACGCCCCCAAAACAGGUAUUCAUCACCCAUCUUGAGUCGCCAAAUACAUAGUACAAAAUUUAAAUACAACUUAAUUAUACAACAGUCGUGUAAAAUACGACAAAACAUAAUUUAAGAGUUUUAAUAAGAAUAUUGUCAUCUAGACAAUAUCCACACUCAAUGGAGUCCUCAUUACAUUUACUGUCACACUAUUUAACAGAAUAGUGAGGACUACUAAUGCUAACAUCUGGACCGUCACUCUGUUCCCCGACUCGUCCCAGCUAUAUUCUCAUUUUCUGAAGAGAACAGUGAAAGAAAGGGUGAGCUCAACUAGCCCAGUAAGAAAUAUUAUGACUAAGAUAAUGCAAAAUAAAUUAUCAUUAGCCUUCAAUAGUAUAACAACUGAUAGAAUAUAAUAGACAACAAGUUUUAGAUCAAAAACUGCAGCGGAAUAAGCAAUCCAUUAGAAGAGUCAAGUAGAGCAUAAAAUCUACUAUCUUCUAUGAUUUAAAAAGUUUUUCAUCAUUUUUAUCGCUAAGACUCAACUUAAUAAAUAAAAUUGAAUCAUCCCUGCACCACAGCGAAGUUUAUUCAUGUAAUCAUCAAUGGUCAUGACUAUACCGAAUAAUCCCUAGUCAUAAUCAUACCAACAACUGUCCACCAAUGAAUUACAUGCCAAUGAUGACUUUUACCACAUCAUUCGUCACAUUACAGUCAUGAUUAUACCGAAUAAUCCCUGGUCAUAAUCAUACCAAGUCCAUCUAUGCACGUAAGUCAAAGAUGACUAUCAUCACAAUAUAAGCAUGAAGAUGAUAACAAUGACAUAAUAAUUCAAUAAAACAAGUUCAAGGAUAAAUUUUAAAGAUUUAUAAUUUAAUUUAUCCAGGAAUCAAUAACGUCUAAUUUGUCAACAUGAUACUGCUUUGUGGAGUAAAAUUCAAGAAUGCUCAGAAGAAUAUUUCUAUGAAAAGAUACUGGAUGAAGUGCAAAUAUCUAGGAUAUUCUACUAAUUUUAUGGAGUAUAGAAGCCAAAACUUUAACCAACUGAGUAUAAUAGAAUAUAUGAAGCUGUAAAUGGAUUUUCGCCCGCCAUGCGGUAAUCCAUGUAGACAGAUCAUUUCCACAUUUUAAUAAGGAAUGAAUACGAAGGAUCAUUCACCAUGCAUGCGAUAAUCCACAUAGACAUGUUAUUCCAACAGAAUAACAAAGUAUGGAAUAACAGAAGAAUUCACCAUGCAUGCGAUAGACCACACAGACAGGUUAUUCCAACAGAAUAAUAAAGAAUGAAAUACUAAAAGAAUUCACCAGGUGUGCGUAGUCCGCACAGACAGGUUAUUCCAGCAGAAUAAUAAAGAAUAGAAUAACAGAAGAAUUUACCAGGCGUGCUUAAUCCGCACAGACAAGUUAUUCCAACAGAAUAAUAAAGAAUGGAAUAACAGAAGAAUUCUCCAGGCGUGCGUAAUCUGCACAGACAGGUUAUUCAACCAGAAUAAUAAAGAAUGGAAUAAUAGAAGAAUUUUGCCACGCAUACGGUAAUCCGUGUAUACAGGUUAUUCCAACAGAAUAAUAAAGAAUAGAAUAACAGAAGAAUUUCACCACACAUACGGUAAUCCGCGUAUACAUGUUAUUCCAACAGAAUAAUAAAGAAUGGAAUAACAACCCUGACAAGUAUUGAAAGAAAUAACUCUCUUAAUAAAUACGAAAGAAAUAAUACCCCUUACCUUAGAAGAAAACUAGAAUAGUGAGGUAGCAGACUUCUCUUCUUCUUUCUCUCUAUAAUUUCUCUCUAUAAUAAUUUCUCUAUAGCUUUAGUGAAUUGGUGAACAAUAAUGAAGGAAUGAGCUUCUAUUUAUAGAAAAAUAUAGUUUCAACAAUUGCACAUUUUGGGGCUCAAAAAAUUACAGUAUAAUAUCUUCUUCUUUUUCUUCAUUUUUAAUUUAGUCCUGCAAGUAUUAUCAAACUUGCACCACCUCCUCUUGGAAGUCCUUGAAUCAAUCAGCUCGAAACAAUCCUUCUUGGACUCAAAUUCUAGUUAAAAUUACCUUUUCUACGCGUACCCAAGCCCCAGCUUGGGUAUUGCCUUGUAAAUAGUAAGCCCCGGCUUGCUAUGCUUCUGAUUUUGAACUCAGGACCCCAAGCCCCGGCUUGGGUAUAAAGCUUAAAAGAGCAAGCCCCGACUUGGGUGCAAGCUGCUAAUAGUUUUUUCUGCUGCAGUGUCCUCAGGUAAAAUGGCCAUAACUUUUGAUCCGGGAGGAGUUACGGGGCCUGCCACCUAUCAAAUCAAAGAUAUCGACGAGAUCUACAACUUUCAUUCUUUGAGAAUUGAGUAAUAACGAACGAAUGAAGGUAGAAAUUGGACUAGAAAUGACUGUUAUGCAAAUGGCCACCCAAAAUAGCGAAGUUAUUCAACAGUCUCCUGUGCUCCAUUGAUAUUCUCAACAUUCUCGGUUGUCAUUUUCAAAUACUGCCACAAAACAAGGGUUAAAUAACAUCACAUAUUAUCUCUAUACUCUGACCGACCAAUUAAAUACCAAAUAAACUUAGGUAGGUCAUACUAGUUCCCCGUCUCUCCCCACCUAGUUCUUAUCUUACAUUUUAGUCAUGGAUCAUAUCCCUAAGCUUUGAUACCAACUGUGACGCCCCCAAAAUAAGUAUACAUCACCUAUUCUGAGUCGCCAAAUACAUGAUAUAAAAUACAAAUACAAUCUUAAAUAUACAACAUAAGUUGUGAGUUUUAAUACAAACAUUGUCUUCUAGACAGUAUUAAAACUCAAAAUAAGUCAUCAAUACAUUUAUUAACACACUAUUUCACAGAAUAGUGAGGACUACUAAUGCUAUCCUCUGGACCAUUACUCCAUUCCCCGACUCGUCCCAGCUAUAUUCUCAUUUCCUGAAGAGAACAAUGAAAGAAAGGGUGAGCUCAACUAGCCCAAUAAGAAAUAUUAUGACUAAGAUAAUGCAGAAUAAAUUAUCAUUAGUCUUCAACAAUGUUAAACUGAUAAAAUACAAUAACUGCAGCGAAAUAAGUAAUCCAUUAAAAGAGUCAAGUAGAGAAUAAAAUCUACUAUCUUUUAUGAUUUAAAAGGAUUUUCAUCACUUUUAUCGCUGAGACUCAGUUUAAUAAAUAAUCCACAUCAUCGAAUCACCCCUGCACUACGGCCAAGGAUAUUCUUUAGUAUUACAACCAUAAAUAUCCAUGCACUACGGGCCAAGGACAUUCGUGUAUUCAUUAAUGGUCAUGAUCAUGCCAAAAACUGUCCAACAAUACACUACGGUCAAUGAGGACUUUUACCACAUCAUUUGUAACAUUACGGUCGUAAUUAUACUGAAUAAUCCCUGGUUAUAAUCAUACCAAGUCCAUCUAUACACUACAGGCCACAGAUGACUUUCAACAGAAUAUAAACAUGAGGACGAUGACAAUGAUAUAUGAAUUCAAUAAAACAAGUUCAAGAAUUUAUUUGUCCAGGAACCAAUAACGUCCAAAUUGUCAACAAGAUACUGUUUUGUGGGAUAAAAUUCAAGAAUGCUCAGAAGAAUAUUUUCAUAAAAAGAUAUUGGAUGAAGCGCAAAUAUCAAGGAUAUUCCACUAAUUUCAUGGAGUAUAGAAGUCAAAACUUUAACCAACUGAGUAUAAUAAAGAAUGAAAUAACAAAAGAAAUCACCAUGCACGUGGUACUUCGCAUAGACUGGUUAUUCCAACAGAAUAAUAAAUAACGGAACCAGGUUAGGCAAAAUUCGCACCGAUAGGAUGUUCCAACUGAAUAAUAAAGAAUGGAAUAACAACAGAAAUCACCAUGCAUACGGUACUUCGCAUAGACAGGUUAUUCCAACAGAAUACUAAAUAACAGAACCAGGUCCGGCGUAAAACGCACAGACAGGAUAUUCCAACACAAUAAUAAAGGCGGAACCAGGUCCGGCGUAAAAGUCACAGACAUGAUAUUCCAACAGAAUAAUAAAUACGGAACCAGGUCCGGCGUAAAACGCACAGACAGGAUAUUCCAACAGAAUAAUAAAGAAGAAAAUAACAGAAGAAUUUCAUCAAAUAUAGGGUAGCCCGCGUAUACAGGUUAUUCCAACAGAAUAAUAAAGAAUGGAAUAACAGAAGUUCUCUUCAUGAAUACAAAAGAAAUAAUACCCCUUACAGUUACAACAAAUAAUAUCCAUUACCGUAAAAGAAACUGGAUAUAGGAAAAUAAAGUUAGCAGACUUCUCUUCUUCUUUCUCUCUAUAAUUUUCUCUCUUUAAAGUUUCAGUGAAUUCGUAAGAAAUAAUGAAGGAAUGAACUUCUAUUUAUAGAAGAAUGGACUGCAUAGUAACUAAUUCAUGAACGGUCCAGAUUGAUUUACUUUUAAUCGAACGAUCCAUAAUUAAAGCAAAGUUUUUUAAAUAAAAUAUAAUAUAUUAUAUAUAUAACAUGUGCAAGAAAAGAAAAAUCACGGGUGGAAGACCCGUGAAUUCAUCUUACUCCCUCUGUCCAUUUUUUCAAACUUACAUAUAUAUAAUAUAAUAUAAUAUAAUAUACAUAAUAAUACUCCUCCCGUCCAUUUCAUCCAUACCCCCCCACCCAAGACUUUUCAUCACAUAUAUAAUAUAAAACAUAUAUAUAUAUAUAUAUAUAUAUAUAUAUAUAAUACUCCCACUAACUUUUCCUUCAACCAACCCGUGACAAACAUAACAUUUCACCCAAGACUUUCCUCCACAAAUGGGCCCCACCCGUGGCCCUCCUAAAAUAACUUCUAUCGAUUAUUUUGAAAACUGGAUAAAUAGGGAUCCAUAAAAUACGUCAAAAUUCACAACAAUUACUAUAACAAUAAUUGAACAAAACUGAGUAGUUCAACAGUAUUAACGGUAAAACUUCCGCCGUUACUUUCAAUAAAAUAUUUUUGUCGUUUUCUCAAUCCGACAAUAAUUCUGUUGUGGGGUCCACCAAUGAUUGUACCGUCGUACGGAUAUUCCCUGACAAAAAGAAUAUUUCCCGACCAAUCGAAUAUAAUAUGACAACUUGCAUACUUUGCAAAAUUUAUAAAUAUUACCCACAAUUAUAAUAUUAUAUCAAAUUAUUCCAUAAUAUUCAAAAAUGAUAUUUAUUGAAAAUUCAUUUUUAUUCAUAAAAGUUGGGGUCUUACAGUAGUUAAAUUCUUAUUUUUGACAUUUUUCAAAUAUUUCAUCCAUGCUUUUACAAUAGACAUCUUUCACUUUGAUGGCGUUUGACAUGCUUACAACAAGUAAUAGAAAUCAUUUUACAGUCAUUAUUUGCAUUAAUCAAGCAUGUUAGUCACAUAGUCAAGUCGUAGUUUCAAUGGUAAUGAAUAGAUUUCUUAUAUGUAAUACAUUUUUCAAAUAUCUCAUCCAUGCUUUUAUCAUCACCAUUUUUCUCUUUGAUGGGGUGUAGUAUGAUAAUAACAUGCAACCAUACAUAUGUAUAGUUACACCAUAUUAAGAACUUAGUUACAUGAAGUUUUCAUGCUUUGCUUAGAGACUUCUAGCAUACAAGGUGCUUUUGUAACUUAUUUUAUGCCUUUGAAAAUAUUCACAACUUGGUUGAGUAAUUUAUAGUUCUUAUAACACUUUUUAGCUUUAUUCUUGUAUACAAAAGUGUAUCAUUCUUGAUUUUCCUCUCUUUCCCAAAAUAGUCCUAACAUGAUCUAUUUGGGGCAAUCAAGCUAGCUUCUCUUGACCAUUUGGGCUUAGUCAGGCUUGGGGUAGCCUAGAUUGGCCUUGCAGUCCCAAUUGGCCUCUAUCUAUGGCAUGAUUUUAUUAAUACCCUCUUCUAUUAAGGUUUACUCUCACCUAUAUCACCAUUUGAUUCUGUUAUUUAUAGGUGAGGAUUUCUUUGAACUGCUACAUGUUUGCUACUUACUUGAUUUUGUUUUCUUUCCGUUUGUAGCUAACUACUCACUAGUAGCAGCUCUCUACUUUAGAUACUAAAUUUACUAGCUUUUAAUCUCCCACUAAACUUUUGGGUCAGCAGCUAGGGGACACAACUCCCUAAUAAUAGAGCAUAUUGGUUAAUUAUCUUAAGCAAUAUAGUUGUAUUGUCUGAAGGUCUAAAGGACAAGUUCAUUACCCAGCUCAGCUACUGUUGCUAUUAGUUGUUAUUUUUCAGUAAUAGAUUGACAGUCUUCAAACUUACCAUGUUUCUUCUUUAAUAACUUUUGUCUAGAAAAUUUCUAUUGCACUAUGUGCACCUUUGAAUACUUGCUUAAAUAAGUAACAAUUACACUCUAUUUAAUUCUGCAGUUUGCAUUUCAAAUCCAAACUACGUUGCCUAUAGCAGUUUAUUGAGGAUGUUUAUUAUUGCCUUAUAGCAACAACCCCCCCUAUUUUGUAAAAUUUCCCAAAUCACAAUUUUAGAUUAACCUAGACUGCCCAAAACCAUUUUAGUAAUGGCUCAUAGCUACAGUUUUAAGCCAACUGUUGCUGCUCCUAGGUAGCAGCUACAUUUGAUUUUGUUUCAUGCCUUGAACUCUCCCUAAUUUUGGUUUACUUGCACUUUAUUUGAAAGUUAUAUAACUAACAUUUUCAACUAAUAGGGAAACUUUAAAUCAAUAGUGAAAUUAUAAUCUAUAUGAUCCAACAUGUUAGCUAAACUGACCCUAGCGAGUCCAGAACAAUGGUCUACAGUCUUCUUUUGUUUUUCUAUGCCAGCAACCAAGCUUGGCUUGGCCCUGUAAGGCUGAUCACCUAAGCUUGGUGUGGCCCUGCUUGGCCUCACGGUCCCUAAGUCAAAUCCAAAGUUGUUAUAGCAGCUGCUAUCUUGGCAACUGCUGCCAUCAAGGAAUAACAGCCCUGCCACUCUUCUUUAAUUCUUAUACUUGCAAACCCCAGAGGAAUGUUUAUACACUAACUUCAACCAUACAUCCUAGUUAGCUCUUAUAAAGUUAUAUUAAUUUGUUAAACAGACUGCCCAAAACUGCUUUAGCAGUCAUUCACUUGUCGACUGUCGCUGCUUGUUUCUAUAACCAGUAGGCAGCCGUCCCAAGUCUUAUGCCACUAAAAGCUUUUACCUCUUAGAUUGAUAUGAAAUCUUGGCAUGUUAUAGGUGAUUCAAAUUCUGAUUAUUUUUAGCUACCAACUAGACUAGGAGAAAAGCUUGCUAGUGCCACUAAAGGUUAAUAUUUCUGCUGCUGCGACAUGCUUUUUGCUGCUGCUUGCAGCUAAUUGCUGCUGCCAAUGGGCAGCUGCGCCCCUUACUUCAGGCCAUUUUUGGCUUCACAUCAAUUAGCCUAUUCACAACCCACUUUCAUUGAUCAAUAAAUGGUACACCUGCCUUCUAAGCUAACUUAGCAACUGUGGCCCAAAUGUACUAUAUGUAAAUCAAAAUGGUGUGCUAACCUUCCUGCUCGGCUCUGCAGAGCAGUGCAGCACAACGCUGGGCGUUUACUGCCAAUGCCUGCAGUAGCCUCAGCUAGCUUUGCCCAAGCUCAAACAUUUUUUUUUCUUAAAAUUUGUUUUUCUUUCCAUUAAUAUGUCAAAACAUAUUUCCUAAUCUUAUAUAAGACGUCCAUAUAUAACCCCAACUUUAAUUCCCUCUAGAAUUCUCUUUUUAGCCAAAACAGUCCACUUGGGACUUUUAACAAAUAUAUGGUGUGCACAGUUUUAAUUUACUCUUUCCAUAGCCAUUUACUUGUGUUAUAAUCUCAUGUUAGCCUCCUUAUUACUCCACAGCCACCUAUCUCCUUGUGCCUAAAUUACAUACAUCUAGCAUGCUAGUGAAUAACCUUUACAACAAUAAAAAAGUAAAAUAAAUGCUAUGUGACUUUACCAGGCCAUUCGGCCAUAACAGUCCAUCACAACUUGCACGAAAUAGUGUUAAACAAGAUAGUUUAUUACUUGAUAACUUUUCCUUAAAAGUUUGAUAUCACAACUUUUACAGAAGAUUACAAUUACCCAUGACAAGUAUAAUUUACUAACACAUCUACAUUACAACAUUAAUAAUACUAACAAUAUAGCAGCCCCUUCUUUUUUCUUUUCAGGCCAUUCGGCCACUGUAGAUUACUAGCAGCAAGAAACUAAAGUGGAAAAGGAUUGGAAAUCUUACCUUAUUGAUUCGAAGGAAACAAAGAAGUUAUACUGCCCAGCUUCUCCACCUACUCUUAGCCGAACUCUUCCACCCUCUCUCUAUAUGACCGAAUUGCUAUAGCUAUUUUGUCUCUACUAAGUGAUGAAGCUAAACUAGUUAAUAAGCUUGGCCCCUUUUUUAUGGCUGAGCUUGGUUCCUUCUACUGUUAACUGCAUCACCUCCUAGUUGGCCCCUACACAGUCAUCAUUCCUAACCUAGCUUCACAGCCACCCUAGCAGACUCUACUUACCUGCUAAGCCUUAUCUUCUGCAAGCUUAUCUAACAUAUUCUUUGUCUGUUAUACAAACUAACCUACCUGUUAACUAGAACCAACUUAGAAACCAUAUGCUUACAGCCUGACUAUGUACUCACGUUAUGCCACUGCUUUUCUUAUUUAGUCUGAAACAGUUAGCUUGUUAUACACCACUGGGUUUACAGGAUUGGUUUAGGUAGGAGUUUGAUAAAUACUUAAUUUGGGCUUAAACCAAUCCUCAAUGGUGGCUGCCGAAAUUGGGCUAGAAAAUGAGUUAGAAUUGGCUUUAUAUUAGACCCAAUACCAUAACCCUUAUUCCUACAUUAAUUAAAGGAGACUUGCAAACAUACAAUUGCAAAAAUUUAUUAUGGCCUAAUAUUUUAAUAUGGACUCUUGUUAAAUUAACACAUGGACUUUUAUAUAUUAUUUUCUCUAGCAACAAUAGUUAACACAUAUAUCAUUAAAAUGUCUAUUCCAUGUAAUCUUAAAUAAUUCAUGGUGGUACAAUAUUUCUUUAUCCUUCAUAAUUUAAGAUGUUUAAUAACCUAUUAAAUAAAUAAUAGUUUUGUCACAAUGAGAAAUAACAUAAUUAAAAUAAAAUAAAAAAUAUACUCACAAAUUGACAUUAUAAUAAUUAAAUAUUACAUAGGAUUUUUUGAGUCAUUACAUACGCGAUAACUCUGCCGUUCUGCAAAAGCACACAGCCUUGUCCUUUAUGCGAUGCAUCAUUGUAUACCACAAAAUUCCCUGUAUCAUCAGGCAAUGACAACACAGGUGUUGAACUCAACCUUUUCAUUAAUUCUUGAAAACUUUCCUCCCACUUCUCUGUCCAAACAAACUUAACCGUUUUCUAGUUAAAUUCGUCAACGGAGUUGCGAUCUUGAAAAAGUCUUGAAUGAAACGCCUAUAGUAACCCGCCAAUCCUAAGAAACUCCUUACUUCUGACGGUAUCUUCGGCUGAUCCCAGUUUAUUACAGCUUCAACCUUUGAUGGAUCUACCGAAAUUUCGUCCUUAUCAAUAACGUGUCCGAGAAACUGUACACGUUCCAACCAAAACUCACAUUUUGAAAAUUUUGCGUACAACUUUUCUUUUUUCAACGUCUCUAACGUCAAUCUCAAGUGUUCAACAUGUUCCUCUUUGGUCUUGGAAUAUACCAAUAUAUCAUCGAAUCAAAUCCAUGAUAUAUUGGUAUGAACAGGGUGUUUAUAUCAUUUGUCUAAGAAUGGUUUAAACACCUUGUUCAUCAAAUCCAUGAACGCUGCAGGUGCAUUGGUUAAACCAAAAGACAUAACCAGAAACUCAUAAUGACCAUACCGAGUUCUGAACGCUAUUUUUGGUACAUCCUCUGGCCUCACCUUUAACUGAUGAUAACCACUCCUCAAGUCUAUCUUUGAGAAAUAGCUUGUUCCCUUCAGUUGAUCGAACAUGUCAUCGAUUCUAGGUAAUGGAUACUUAUCUUUAAUCGUGAUCUUAUUCAAUUCUCGAUAGCAAUGCAGAGCCGUAUCGAUCCAUCUUUCUUCUUAACAAACAACAUCGGCGCUCCCCAUGGCGACACACUCAGUUGAAUAUACUUUUUGUCGAGUAAUUCUUGCAAUUAUACCAUCAACUCCUUCAUCUCUACUGGGGCCAUUCUAUAUGGUGCAUUAGAUAUCGGGGUCGUUCCUGGUAAUAAGUCAAUUACGAACUCGAUUUGUAGAUCCGGCGGAAGACUCGGCAAAUCGUCUGGAAAUACGUCUGCAAAAUCUCUUAUGAUUGGUAUCUCUUCUAACUUCGCACUCUUCUUUUGUGUAUCGACUAUGUAGGCUAAGUAUCCUACACAUUCUUGUCUCAACAACUUCUUGGCUUGCAUCACCGUUAGACAACUUGCUUGUCGAGGUGACUUGCUGCCGUAGAACACAACCUUUGAUGGAGUCAUAAGGUUAACACAUUUCCUUUCGCAAUCAAUUACUGCUCCGUAAUUGAAUAACCAAUCCAUUCCCAGUAUAACAUCAAACUCACAAAGUCUAAUUGGUAUCAAAUCUACCAUCAUCUCGUGACCUUUUAUAACCACCCUACAAUUCCUAUAUAUAAAUCUAACAGGAAUCACUUCCUUAUUCGCAAUCUCUAUGCUUAAGGGAAAUUCUAAUUCUUCCUGAGGCAAAUCUAAAUUUUGAGCAAAUUCAUUGGAUAUAAAUGAAUAAGUAGCACCCGAAUCAAAUAGUACAUAAGCAUUAAUACCAUUAAUCUAAAUGAUACCUGAGACCACAUCCUUAGACUAUAUAACAUCCUGCACGGUCAUAUUAAAAGUCCUCGCAGUAGGUCGACUUUGUGACGCCCCCAAAAUUAGGUAUACAUCACCCAUCUUGGGUCGCCACUUACAUGGUACAAAAUACAAAUACAACUUAAUUAUACAACAGUCGUGUAAGCUACGACAAAAUAUAAACAAUGAGUUUUAACUCGAAUAUUGUCAUCUAGACAUUAUUCAAACACAAAUAAGUCCUCAAUACAUUUAUUGUCACACUAUUUAACAAAAUAGUGAGGACUACUAAUGCUAUCAUCUGGACUGUCACUCCGUUCCCCGACUCGUCCCCGUUACGUUCUCAAUUCCUGAAGAGAAUAGUGAAAGAAAGGGUGAGCUCAACUAGCCCAACAAGAAAUAUUAUGACUAAGAUAAUGCAGAAUAAAUUAUCAUUAGUCUCCAACAAUGUUAAACUGAUAAAAUACAAUAGACAUCAAGUUUAACUGCAGCGGAACAAGCAAUCCAUUAAAAGAGUCAAGUAGAGAAUAAAACCUACUAUNNNNNNNNNNNNNNNNNNNNNNNNNNNNNNNNNNNNNNNNNNNNNNNNNNNNNNNNNNNNNNNNNNNNNNNNNNNNNNNNNNNNNNNNNNNNNNNNNNNNNNNNNNNNNNNNNNNNNNNNNNNNNNNNNNNNNNNNNNNNNNNNNNNNNNNNNNNNNNNNNNNNNNNNNNNNNNNNNNNNNNNNNNNNNNNNNNNNNNNNNNNNNNNNNNNNNNNNNNNNNNNNNNNNNNNNNNNNNNNNNNNNNNNNNNNNNNNNNNNNNNNNNNNNAAUAAUUAAAACGGAACCAGGUCCGGCGUAUAGCACAGACAGGAUAUUCCAACAGAAUAACUGAAUAAUUAAAACGGAACCAGGUCCGGCGUAGCACAGACAGGAUAUUCUAACAGAAUAACCGAAUAAUUAAAACGGAACCAGGUCCGGCGUAUAGCACAGACAGGAUAUUCCAACAAAAUAACUGAAUAAUUAAAACGGAACCAGGUCCGACGUAUAGCACAGACAGGAUAUUCCAACAGAAUAAUAAAGACAGAAUAAUAGAAGAAUGUCACCAAGUAUAGGGUUGCCCGCGUAUACAGGUUAUUCCAACAGAAUAAUAAAGAAAUGGAAUAACAGAAGUUCUCUUCUUGAAUACAAAAGAAUAAUAUUCCUUACCAGAAAAGAACUUAAUAUAAGAGUAGUUUCAGUAGCAGAAUACUUUUCUUCUUUCUCUCUUACAAUUUAUCUCUCUAGAGUUUCAAUGAAUUUGUAAGAAAAUAAUGAAGGAAUGAGCUUCUAUUUAUAGAAAAAUGGAAUGCAUAGUAACUAAUUCAUGAACGGUCCAGAUUGAUUUACUUUUAAUCGGACGGUCCAUAAAAUAUAUUAUAUAUAUAUAAUAUAUAUAUAUAUAUAUAAUAACAAUAAUACUCCCUCCGUAUAAACCAAAAAAAUAAUUUGACAACUUUGAAAAAAACUCCCAACCUUUCAAUUUUCAAUACCGUGGGCCCCACAUGUUCCCCUCCCCCCAACAUGUCAAUAUCACAAGGGUCUCAUUAUAUGUAAAUAACUUUCUAUCAAUAAUAUUGAAAAAUAGGUAAAUGGGGGUCUAAAUAAUACGCCAAAUUUACAACAACUACCUCAUAAAAAUCCCUUCAAUAUUUUUAACAAUAUUUAUCAUCUUUAUUACAAUUCACAAUAUUAAUCGACCAGGUCGUUCCCAGGAUAGAGGGGGCUUUCCAAUAAGGAUUUCUCUCUAUUGGCGCGCAAUUAGAUUAUCUAACCUCUCCUUGACAGAACUUCUAGACAUCGUUAAUAUUGCAAAUAAUAACAUUAAUAACUUUGUCGUCUCAAUUAUUGAUUUAAUAAUAUAAAGAAUAUCAACAAUAAUUGAAUCAAAUAACGUGAGAUACUAUGCAACAAUUACUAUAACAAUAAUUGAAUAAAACUGAAUGACUUCUCACGUAAGCAUAAAUAAUCAAUACCGUGUGCUACUAUGCAACCACGCGUAUUACUGUACUUUUACUACUGAGUAGUUCAACAGUAUCAACGGUAAAACUUCCGUCGUUAUUUUCAUAAAAAUAUUUUUGUCGUUUUCUCAAUCCGACAAUAAUUCUGUUGUGGGGUCCACUAAUGAUUGCGCCGUUGUACGAAUAUUUCCUGCUAAAACGAAUAUUCCCCAACCAAUCGAAUAUAAUAUAGCAACUUGCAUACUUUGCAAAACUUAUAAAUACUACCUUCAACUAUAACAUUAUAUUAAAUUUAUUGCAUAAUAUUCAAAAAUGAUAAUUAUAGAAAAUUUAUCUUUAUUCAAAAAGUUGGGGUCUUACAACCCCCCCUUCUUAAGAAAUUUCGCCCUCGAAAUUAGGGUACGUACCUGGUAUAUCGAAGAGGUAAGGAUACCUUGAUUUCAUUUUAGAUUCUAACUCCCAGGUCAUUUCCUCAACAUCGUGGUUUCUCCACAAAACUUUGACUUGAGGUAUAACCUUGGAGCGUAAAAUAUGUUCCUUGUUAUCCAAGAUUUGAACAGGAACCUCUUUAUACGUUAAAUCUUCCGCUAUUUCGUCUGGUUCUAGCUCAAUAAUGUGGUUCGGGUCUUCCACAUAUUUACGUAACAUGGAUAUGUGAAAAAUGUUAUGAACACCAGACAUACUAGGCGGUAAAGCGAGUCUAUAGGCCACAGUUCCUACUCGAUUGAGGAUUAAAAAUGGGCCAAUGAAUCGAGGAUUGAGCUUUCUUAUCUUUCCAAAUCUCGUAACACCUUUCCAUGGAGCAACAUGUAACAACACAUGAUCUCCAAUAUCGAAUUCCACGUCCUUUCGAUGAAGAUCAGCAUAACUCUUUUGUCGAUCUUGUGAGGUUUUUAUACGUUGUCGAAUCGUUUGAAUCUUUUCCGUAGUCAUACGUACCAACUCCGGUCCCAACAACGUUGCUUCACCCACCUCAUCCCAGCAUACUGGAGAACAACACUUUCUCCCAUACAACGCCUCAAAUGGAGCCAUGCCAAUACUUGCUUGAUAACUAUUGUUAUAGGAAAACUCCACCAAUGAUAAGAACUUAUCCCAACUUCCAUUGAAGUUAAGGACACAGAGUCUUAAUAAAUCUUCUAGAGUUUGAAUAGUCCUCUCUGAUUGUCCGUCCGUCUGAGGAUGAUAUGCUGAACUAAAUCGUAAAUCUGUGCCCAUAGCUUUUUGCAAACUAACCCAAAAUCAUGAAGUGAAUCUUGGGUCUCGAUCAGAAACUAUGGAUACUGGCAUACCAUGCAGUCUUACAAUCUCGUUUAUGUACAUACGAGCAAGACGUUCAAGUGUAUAAGUUUCUCGUAUAGGUAAGAAAUGAGCAGACUUGGUCAAUCUAUCAACAAUGACCCAAAUUGCAUCUAUGCCUUGAGAAACCUUGGGAAGACCAGUAACGAAAUCCAUGGUAAUGUGCUCCCACUUCCAUUCUGGAAUUUCAAGUGGUUGCAAUGGACCUUUUGGUACUUGAUGCUCCGCCUUGACUCGUUGACAAGUUAGACACCUUGAGAUAAACACCGCUAUCUCUCUCUUCAUAUUGCUCCACCAAAAUGUAUGUCGAAGAUCAUGAUACAUUUUGGUACUCCCAGGAUGGAUUGCAAACGGUGUGUUGUGCGCCUCCAUCAUGAUUUUAUACUUUAAAUCAGGGUCGUUAGGAACACAAAGUCUGGAGUUGACUCGAAGUAUUCCUUCUUCAUCGAUUCUUGCUUCCGACAUAACACCUUCUUGCACUUUCUUCCUCAUACGCAUCAGCUCCAGGUUUGUAGUUUGAGCAGCUUUAACUUUAUCAAUUAAAGUCGAUUAUACUCGUAUGUUCGCCAUCAUCACAUGGGUCCCUGGAGUCUUUAACUCCAUCUCCAUCCUUUGCAAGUCAUACAAAAUGGGCCUUUGUGUUGACAAUAUUGCACUCGUACCCACAUAUGAUCUUCUACUCAAUGCGUCAGCUACCACGUUCGUUUUUCUAGGAUGGUAUUGGAUGGUAUGAUCAUAAUCUUUCAACAGUUCAAGCCAACGUCGUUGUCGCAUGUUGAGUUCCUUUUGAGUGAAGAAAUAUUUAAGGCUUUUAUGAUCCGUAAAGAUCUCCACUUUCUCCCCAUACAAGUAAUGCCUCCAAAUCUUUAGUGCGAAGANNNNNNNNNNNNNNNNNNNNNNNNNNNNNNNNNNNNNNNNNNNNNNNNNNNNNNNNNNNNNNNNNNNNNNNNNNNNNNNNNNNNNNNNNNNNNNNNNNNNNNNNNNNNNNNNNNNNNNNNNNNNNNNNNNNNNNNNNNNNNNNNNNNNNNNNNNNNNNNNNNNNNNNNNNNNNNNNNNNNNNNNNNNNNNNNNNNNNNNNNNNNNNNNNNNNNNNNNNNNNNNNNNNNNNNNNNNNNNNNNNNNNNNNNNNNNNNNNNNNNNNNNNNNNNNNNNNNNNNNNNNNNNNNNNNNNNNNNNNNNNNNNNNNNNNNNNNNNNNNNNNNNNNNNNNNNNNNNNNNNNNNNNNNNNNNNNNNNNNNNNNNNNNNNNNNNNNNNNNNNNNNNNNNNNNNNNNNNNNNNNNNNNNNNNNNNNNNNNNNNNNNNNNNNNNNNNNNNNNNNNNNNNNNNNNNNNNNNNNNNNNNNNNNNNNNNNNNNNNNNNNNNNNNNNNNNNNNNNNNNNNNNNNNNNNNNNNNNNNNNNNNNNNNNNNNNNNNNNNNNNNNNNNNNNNNNNNNNNNNNNNNNNNNNNNNNNNNNNNNNNNNNNNNNNNNNNNNNNNNNNNNNNNNNNNNNNNNNNNNNNNNNNNNNNNNNNNNNNNNNNNNNNNNNNNNNNNNNNNNNNNNNNNNNNNNNNNNNNNNNNNNNNNNNNNNNNNNNNNNNNNNNUCAAAAUCCAAUUUCUCCGGAGUCAAAUUUAAACGUUGAGCGCAAGUAGGAGAAAUGAAAGAGUGGGUAGAACCAGUAUCAAAUAAAGUAUAAACUUCGCUAGAGUUUAUGAUAAGCUUACCCGUGAUGACCUCGUUCGGGUUCUUUACUUUUUGGGAGGUUACAACAAAUGCUCUUCCUUGCACUACCGACUUUGACUUUUCUGGGAUGGCCUUUGGUGACUCUAUCCUAACUGAACUUGUCUUCGGUGCACGACAAAAUCGAGCCAGGUGACCUUCUCUUCCACAGUUGUAACAUGCUUUGGAUGGCAUCGCACAGUUGGGACUGAUGUGUCCCUCUCCUCCACACUUGAAACAUAUGAUAGGUGGUCGUUCCCCUUCCUUAACGACAGGUGCUGAUGUUGACGUCUUUCCAUCAUUGUUGAAUCUCCUCUUUUUGAAAUGUCCAUUUUUAUUGUUUUGGCCAUGAUUACCACCGAAGUGGUUACCAUUUCUGGCCUUUUGAUUUCCUCCACGCUUGUUGUCACCGCUUUGAUGACUGUUCUCACUGGUAUUAUCAUUUUAUUGGCUGCUCUCUUUUGGUUGGCUUAACUCGUUAUCACGCUCCAAUAACUGAGCCCUAUUAACAACAUCCGAAUACAAACACAGUUUAUGAGAGAUAAGAUAUUGACGUAUCUCAGGUUUCAAACCUCUUAAAAACAUUCGCGUCAUUCUCUCCUCAUUAUCAACCAAAUGGGACGCAAACUGGGACAACUCGGCAAACUUGGCUUUGUACUGCGAUACUGUCAUGUUGUUUUGUUCCAGCCUGAUGAACUCUACCUCUUUCAUGUGACGAAUACUUUUGGGAAAGUACUUGUCGUUGAACAAUUCUUUGAACUUCUCCCAAGUCAUCUUCAGUGCGGCAGGUUGAGUACGCUUUACAGAUUCCCACCAGUAAUCUGCCUCUCCUCGCAACAUGAAGGUGGCAAAGGAAAUCUUUUGUUCCUCGGAGCAUCCCAAGACAUCAAAUAUCUUGGUAAUCUACUUUAUCCAUGUCUCCGCCUUAAGUGGUUUUGGUUCUCCAAUAAACUUCGGUGGUCCCAGCUCCUUGAACUGUUUGGCGGUGACCAUCCGAGAGUUGCUAGUGUUUUCACCUGCAUUUUGGACAGGAGCCGCUCCUGCCUGAUGUUGUAUGAAUUGCAUGAAUCCUCGAAACAUUUUGUUGUUCAAUAUUUGGUCAGUGUUGUUGUUUGCAUGAGGAUUUUUGCCUUCCUGAUGCACAUUGUCCUGAUUGUUGAUCUGUGGAGACUCAACGGUCUCCUGUGCUCCAUUGAUGUUCUCAACGUUCUCGGAUGCCAUUUUCAAAUACUGCCACAAAACAAGAGUUAAUUAACACAUCACAUAUUAUCCCUAUACUCUAACCAACCAAUUAAAUAACAAAUAAACUUAGGUAGGUCAUACUAGCGAAGGAAUUCCCCGUCUCUCCCCUCCUAGUUCUUAUCUCACAUCUUAGCCAGGGAUCAUAUCCCUAACCUCUGAUACCAACUGUGACGCCCCCAAUAUUAGGUAUACAUCACCCAUCUUGGGUAGCCACUUAUAUGGUACAAAAUACAAAUACAACUUAAUUAUACAACAGUCGUGUAAGAUACGACAAAAUAUAAACAAUGAGUUUUAACUCGAAUAUUGUCAUCUAGACAGUAUUCAAACACAAAUAAGUCCUCAAUACAUUUAUUGUCACACUAUCUAACAGAAUAGUGAGGACUACUAAUGCUAUCAUCUGGACUGUCACUCCAUUCCCCGACUCAUCCCCGCUACGUUCUCAAUUCCUGAAGAGAACAGUGAAAGAAAGGGUGAGCUCGACUAGCCCAGUAAGAAAUAUUAUGACUGAGAUAAUGCAGAAUAAAUUAUCAUUAGUCUCCAACAAUGUUAAACUGAUAAAAUACAAUAGACAUCAAGUUUAACUGCAGCGGAACAAGCAAUCCAUUAAAAGAGUCAAGUAGAGAAUAAAAUCUACUAUCUUUUAUGAUUUAAAAGGUUUUUCAUCACUUUUAUCGCUGGGACUCAGCUUAAUAAAUAAUCCACAUCAUCGAAUCACCCCUGCACUACGGCCAAGGAUAUUCUUUAGUAUCACGACCACAAUUAUCCAUGCACUACGGGCCAAGAAUAUUUGUGUAUUCAUUAAUGGUCAUGAUCAUGCCAACAACUGUCCAUCAAUGCACUACGGGCCAAUGAGGACUUUUUCCACAUCAUUUGUAACAUUACGGUCAUGAUUACACCGAAUAAUCCCUGGUCAUAAUCAUACCAAGUCCAUCUAUGCACUACAGGCCACAGAUGACUUUCAACAAAAUAAUAACAUGAGGAUGAUGACAAUGAUAUAAGAAUUCAAUAAAAUAACUUUCAAGAAUUAAUUUGUCCAGGAAUCAAUAACGUCCAAAUUGUCAAUAAGAUAUUGUUUUGUGGUGUAAAUUAUUCAAGAAUGCUCAGAAGAAUAUUUUCAUGAAAAGAUAUUGGAUGAAGUGCAAAUAUCAAGGAUAUUCCAUUAAUUUCAUGGAGUAUAAAAGUCAAAAUUUUAACCAACUGAGUAUAAUAACGAAUGGAAUAACAAAAGAAAUCACCACGCAUGCGGUACUUCGCAUAGACAGGUUAUUCCAACAGAAUAAUAAUAACGGAACUAGGUCAGGUGAGAUUCACACCGACAGGAUGUUCCAACAGAAUAAUAAAUAAUUAAAACGGAACCAGGUUCGGCGUUUAGCACAGACAGGAUAUUCCAACAGAAUAACUGAAUAAUUAAAACGGAACCAGGUCUAGCGUAUAGCACAGACAGGAUAUUCCAAAAAAAUAACUAAAUAAUUAAAACGGAACCAGGUCCGGCGUAUAGCACAAACAGGAUAUUCAAACAAAAUAAUAAAGACAGAAAAAUUGAAGAAUGUCACCAAGUAUAGGGUUGCCCGCGUAUACAGGUUAUUCCAACAGAAUAAUAAAGAAAUGGAAUAACAGAAGUUCUCUUUUUGAAUACAAAAGAAUAAUAUUCCUUACCGUAAAAGAACUUAAUAUAAGAGUAGUUUCAGUAGUAGAAUAAUUUUCUUCUUUCUCUCUUACAGUUUAUCUCUCUAGAGUUUCAAUGAAUUCGUAAGAAAAUAAUGAAGGAAUGAGCUUCUAUUUAUAGAAAAAUGGAAUGCAUAGUAACUAACUGAUGAACGGUCCAGAUUGAUUUACUUUUAAUCGGACGGUCCAUAUUUAAAGUAAAAUCUUUUAAAUAAAAUAUAUUAUAUAUAUAUAUAUAUAUAUAAACAAUAAUACUCCCUCCGUAUAAACCAAAAAAAUAAUUUGACAACUUUGAAAAAAACUCCCAACCUUUCAAUUUUCAAUACCGUGGGCCCCACAUGUUCCCCUCCCCCAACAUGUCAAUAUCACAAGGGUCCCAUUAUAUUUAAAUAACUUUCUAUCAAUAAUGUUGAAAAAUAGGUAAAUGGGGGUCUAAAUAAUACGCCAAAUUUACAACAACUACCUCAUAAAAAUCUCUUCAAUAUUUUUAACAACAUUUAUCAUCUUUAUUAAAAUUCACAAUAUUAAUCGACCAGGUCGUUCCCAGGAUAGAGGGGAUUUUCCAAUAAGGAUUUCUCCCUAUUGGCGCGCAAUUAGAUUAUCUAACCUCUCCUUGACAGAACUUCUAGACAUCAUUAAUAUUGCAAAUAAUAACAUUAAUAACAUUGUCGUCUCAAUUAUUGAUUUAAUAAUAUAAAGAAUAUCAACAAUAAUUGAAUCAAAUAACGUGAGAUACUAUGCAACAAUUACUAUAACAAUAAUUGAAUAAAACUGAAUGACUUCUCAUGUAAGCAUCAAUAAUCAAUAUCGUGUGCUACUAUGCAACCACGCGUAUUACUGUACUUUUACUACCGAGUAGUUCAACAGUAUCAACCGUAAAACUUCCGCCGUUAUUUUCAUAAAAAUAUUUUUGUCGUUUUCUCAAUCCAACAAUAAUUCUGUUGUGGGUUCCACCAAUGAUUGCGUCGUUGUACGAAUAUUCCCCGCUAAAACGAAUAUUCUCCGACCAAUCGAAUAUAAUAUAGCAACUUGCAUACUUUACAAAACUUAUAAAUACUACCCACAACUAUAACAUUAUAUUAAAUUUAUUCCAUAAUAUUCAAAAAUGAUAAUUAUAGAAAAUUCAUCUUUAUUCAAAAAGUUGGGGUCUUACAGACUUGACUGUGCUGAUCCAGAGAUAGUUAAUGUACCACCAACGUUGUUGUUUCCUUUUCCACCACUUGCACUUCCUGCUGGCUUCUUAGGGCAAUCACGAGCCAUGUGAUCCUACGAACCGCAGGUAAAACAUGCUCCUUUAUUUGGACUAAAACAGUUCAGUGUAAUGUGUCCCUCCUGACCACAGUUGAAACACACCCGCUUUCCCUUCAAACAUACUCCAUUAUGAUUGUUUCCAUAAGUCGCAUAAGCUUCAAACUUUUUCUUCUGCUGAUUUCCUUGUUGUCCUCCCGCAGUCGAAUUUUCACUCCACUUCCUCUUCUGAUUGUUAUUUCCAACGUUACUUCCACCAGCCUUAUUUUCAUUCUCAGUCUUCCUCUUCUUAUAUUCUUGGUUGUACUUGGUCAAGGCAUCGCUUUCACCUUCUGCGAUAAUUGCCUUUUCCAGUAUAACCGCAAAUGUAUUUAACUGAAAUAUUGAAACCUUGCUAUACAGCCAGGGUUUCAAUCCAUGUUCGAACCUUAUCGCCUUUCGUUCAUCAGUAUUGACUUAAUAAGUGGCAAACCUUGCCAAUUCAUUAAACUUCGCAGCAUAUUCUGGCACCGUCAUAGUUCCUUGUUUCAGUUCCAGAAAUUGCAUUUCCAACUUAUUCUGAGAACUCGCUGGAAAGUACAUUUCAAAAAAUAUCUCCUUAAAUCUAUCCCACGCUAUCACUCCUUGUCCCCCACGAACCUUAUUUGCCUGCCACCAGUAGCUAGCUUCAGACUUCAGCAUGAACGUUGUGAACGCAGUCUUCUGAUCCUCGUUGACUCUAGAAACGUUGAACACUUUCUCCAUUUCCAUGAUCUAGGUUUGGGCUUCUACUGGAUUCAUAGACCCUUGAAACUCUGGCGGUCCAACCGCUUUGAAUUCCUUAAAGGUCAUGACUUGAGCUUGCGGUUGAUUCGCAAGUGCACCUGUUAACAAGGUUACCAACUGCUGAACCGGGUUAGCAUUGGCCUCGUUAUUAUUUUUAGUAGACCCCUCAGGAGGUGGUUGUUGACGUGUUUUUCUUCUUCUAGGAGGCAUUUUCUGUUAAGAUAUACGCUCAUUAGUUCAUUACUCAACUUCUUGAUUAUUUGAAGUUUAACUUAAAUAUUCUAAGAUUAAAGUUAUAACACAUAACAUUUCAAAUAAACUCUGGUAUUUUAUUCAUUCAUAAUGUUUUAAAACAUAUUAAAGAUAGCAUAACCGCUAUUAACAUUCACUUUCCUGAACUAAGCAAGUUUUAGGAUUACAUAUUCAUACUACCCCUUUAUUUAUCUCAAAAUAAGGGAUUCACAGUUUAUAUACUCACUUACUUAACCACGUAUUAUUAUUCUCAUUCUUUCUAUCUAGACAUAUUAAGAUGUCGUAAGGCUUCUCUAUGUUCUUCCUCCAUAAUUCGAUACAUCGUUCUACGAUCCAUCAUGAACUACAACGAAUCUUCAAAUUGAGGUGGAUAAUAAAAGACUCGAUCCUGGGCCCUAUCAAUUGCAGAAUUAAAGGCAUAAUCCAUCCCAUUCAUCUUGGCCUUCUUCACUUGAACUUUAUCCUCGGCACGGUCUGCACGUUAAGUCACCUUUAUCCAAGCGUCCUCUGCUCUCGUACGUUUAGUUGAAUCCUCUUUCAAGUCAUCUUUUAACUUCUCCACAUCAGUCUUCAUCUUCUUGUUCACUGCCAACAAAUCUUCAUGCUGACCCUUGGUAUGAAAUAGGUCCCACUCCGUGUUUCCAAGUCUUGAGUCGAGUUCUUGAAUCUCCGCAUCCUUCUGCUCUAUCGUAGCGUGAUGCAUCUCAACCAACUCCUUCAGCUCCUGAACUUUGUCUUGUAAUUCUAUGUUACGAUCGUACAGAGCAUCAUACAUCUCAGCUGAUAUGGAGCUUUGUGGAAACGCCACAGGAUCCUCUUCCUCAUCAUCCAACUCUAUCUCUUCAGAACUAUCCUCCUCGGGAUCGGUCACAGGUUCAUCCUCCUGGAUCAACUGUUCACGCAUAACAUGAAUAUCCCGGGGUUCCUCAUCUCUAGGUAUCUGAGGUAUUACUUCCCUAGCUGGAAUGGAUCCUCCUUCAUUAGACAUCCUAACAACAAAAUAUUUUAAGUUUACUUAACAUUUUUCGAUACUCGCGAGCACAUAAGUUAUUACACAUAGCACAUAAUGUCUUUUAUUAUUUAUCUUCAAUGGAUAGCUUAAUCCAUUCAUUAAAACUCGAUAAGAGUUAGACACCUCUAUAUUUUCUGUCUUCUUAAAGGUUACUUCCUAAGGUUUCCCCACCUAAGGUUCAUAACCUAAAGCUCUGAUACCAACAUGUGACACCCCCAAAUCUGGGUAUUCCUUUUCCACAGGAUUUGGUGCUCACUAUCCAAAACCAUUACAUCUAACUACCCAUAACAAAGGAUAAAGACAUAAUUUAAAUAACUUAACAAUAAUCUUCCCAUUAAAGGGUUACAUCGUCAUAAAACAAUCCCAAAUAAUUUAAUCUUAAAUUAUUACAUAAGUUUGCGGAAUACAUCAUAAAAUAAAACAAGUCUUAUAACAUAAACAUUUAAAUAAACUUUCAUAAAUCUUCAACACUUGGACAUCUUUCCCUUUUCUUUGCUAGUAGAUGGCUCAUCGACUUUCUCAACUUUAGCUGCAGUGUUAAAUGCAAGAGUGAGCAAACAAUUGCUCACUGAUAUAGAGAGUAGUAAUGAUAACAACAUAAGAUUAAACAACGAAUGCUGAACAAUAAUGAAAUUGUUCUAUGAAUAAAAAAUAGAAAACAAGUUCAAAUUUAAUAUCUGAGGGUCUUAAGACCACGAACUAUGUCCCCGAUAUUUAGGUAUUAUUACCCAACCUUAACAGUCAUUUAGACUAUACAAACCCUUCUUAACGUACUUAGGGGGAUCAGCCCUUUGUACCAUGUAUUGUGCACAAACAUCUAAACGUUACACGUACAAAAUCCCCUAUGUUAGGGUUGUUCGUCUCAGCUUGAAUUUAGAAUUUCUGCACUAAAGAGAGUUUAGCUCGGAACUAACUUAUCAAUGGUUCUAGAAUUUUAGAACACUACUCAAUUAUAGACUAAUUCAAUCAAUAAGAGUUUGCUUGCUACUUGAAGAUUUAAUAUAACAAAAAUAGAAUUGAACAAGGCUAUCAAAGUCAAAGAUCGAAUAUCAACAAUAUACAGUUGAGCACUACAACAAAAAAGCUUAUCAGCGACCGCCUAUCAGCGACCGCCUGUGGUCGCUGAUAUCUAUCUGCGACCGUCUACUCGAGUAAACAUGAUAUACAUGCAAAGUACUAUAUCCAAAAGAGUUAGAAUAAUCUCCUUUGAAUCAAUGUAUUAGAACAAUAUAUUCUUUUGAAUAACAAUAUCAAGAUUUAGGAAAGUGAAACUCGCUCAAUGUAACAAACUAGAUUACAAGAGAUUGUACGAUACACGAGAUAGAAUCAAUAGGCUUGCUGAACUUUAAUGUAAAAUUUAGAAUUAGAAAGCUUGUUUGACAUAAAAGAUAACAUAGCUAUGAAACUUGCAUUCAUUAAUAAAAGAAUGAAGUUAGAAAACUUGCUCAAUAAAAGUUUAGGAUAAGAAACUUGCCUUGUAUGUAAGCUACACAAGUGUAAUAAUGUUCGCCAAUUACCCUACACAUAUCAUUGGAAUCGCAAUAACAAUUAGUUGUAUUAUUAUUAGCUUUAAGGGUUUAAACCACCAUUUAGGUCAUAACCUUAACUUAACAUCUAACCAUGUUGGUUAACACCUUUAACAAAUCUAAAAUCCCUCUAUAAACUAACAUAAACUUUAUCAUUCAUUUCUUACUUUCAUAAACAUUAUUUUUUUAUUCAUUACAUAACUUAAUUAAAUAAUCACUUAAAAUCUUCAUACUUUAUAUUACAUCACGUUGAAAUAUGUUAUUGUAGUUCACGUUAACAUGUAUGCCAAACUAGAUUAAGUCCAUUAAUCAUAACCUAUAAAUAAGCAGAAGUCAUUGCCUAGGCUCAGGGCACGGCGCAGCUGCGCUGUCCCAAGCCUUGGCAUCGGCACAGCUGCGCCGUACACGGACAGGAACUGCAGCAGCAGCUCUGUUACACAGCACACACCAAAACUCAAUCAAAUUUCACAGAAAUCAUAAAACUCAACAUCUAAAACUUUGUGAUAACAUUAAUAAUGAUGUUAUUCAUCAUUCUCACUACCUAAACAUUAUAUAUAUUAAAUUUUAAAAGAUCAAAACCCCAAUUUUUCCAAUUUCAUCAUUUUUUUACGCUUUUAGCGAAUUCGAUUGCUACGAAUUCAUUUCUUAAUCAAUUGACACAAUUCAAACUACGUUGUUUUCGUUUCUUAACAUACUAACACAUUCUAACAUCAAAUUACAGAUUAUAGCAAGUAUUGAUCAUGAAAUUUCGUACUUUCUAAAGCCAUUUUUCAAAAAUAAACACUAUUAUUAUAACUUCUUCCUUACAAAGCCAAUUCUCACAUGUUUGGAAAUCAAAUAGCACUCACAUAUAAUGAUUAACAGAUUAUAAACCAUAUAUACAUGUAUUUGUAUUAAUCCAUCGUAAUUAUCAAUAGAAAUUUCAAACAUAAAAGUUAGAAUUAGAGUUAUACCUUACUCCUUUGAUUGUUUGCUAGCAAAAAGAUGGUGACUAGGUUUAGAAAUCCCUCUCCUUGACAAUCAUAAAGAAUUCAAACUCACUGUGUUUUCCUCUCUUGCUCUCUCUCCAAGCUCUCUGUUCUUCACUAAUAUCUAGCCUUAGGGAAAGGAAUAAUACGCGUAAAAAAAUAUACUAACUCCCACUUUCCCCACUAAUGUCAGGUCACAAACCCAAAAGUUUGUGUCAGUUAGAAAUAAGCCAAAGGCCACAGGGCCUUGUUUGGCUAACCACAAUUUCUCCUCUACUAGAUUAUUUUUAUAUUAUUUUUAUUAUAUAGUUUUUAUUUGUCACACUUGCCACCAAUUUAAAUAGCUUACAAUAAUAAUUAUAAUAAUUAUAAUUUUUAUUAUAAUUAUUCUGAUGAUUAAUAAAUAAUUAUAUAUAUAUAAUUUAAUUAAUAAAUUUGACUUAAACAUUACUUUAUUUAAUUUACCUAUUUUCUUUAAUAUAAAAAAAAAUUUAAUUUAAUUUAAUUAUUUCAUUAAAUUAAAUCUUUCAAAUAAAAAAUAGCAUUAUUCAAUUUAAUUAACAUUAAUCAAUUUAGUCACUAAAUUAAUGCACCACAAUUCAUCAAUUAUUUAUUUUUCUCAAUAAAUAAAUUAUUUAAAAUAUUUAUUUAAUUCAAUAAAUAUUUAAAUUAAAUUACAAAUUUCUCGAUCGUUACACUAUUCAUUCGGUUAGUAUUUACCCGGGGUACUAUUCAUGACAAAAAUUGAUUUCUUUUAUGUCCAAAUUAUUUUUGAUACAAUAUUAUUCUUGAAUUUUACUCCACAAUUGGUGAUCAUGUUGACAAUUUAGAUAUUCUUAAACUCUGGAUAAAUUUAAUUAUAAAUAUUUAAUAUUUAUCCUUUAUCUCGUUUGAUUGAUUCUUUAUAUCAUUGUCAUGAUCCUCAUGCUUAUAUUGUGAUAAAAGUCAUCUUUGGCCCGUAGUGCAUAGAUGGACUAUUGGUUAUUGGUUUUACAGUUGUUUUUCUUUGGCCCGUAGUGCAAAGAAGAACUGUUGAUUGAUAUCUUUGGUCGUAGUGCAAAGAUGAAUUGUUGAUUGAUAGCUUUGGCUCGUAGUGCAAAGUUGGACAGGUGUAUGACAUGAUCAUGACCACUGGUGAUACUAACGAAUAUCCUUGGCCGUAGUGUAUGGAUAAUUCAAUGAUGUGAUUGGCAGGAUCAUGACCAUUAGUUAACAGUUGAAUGUCUUCGGCCGUAGUGCACUGACAGACAAUUGAUUGGUAUGAUCAUUGUUAUUACACUUGAAUGUCUUAGCCUUUGGGGUAAGGAUAUUGAGUAAACGUUCUAUUAAGCCUUUGUGGCAAGGAGAAACUGUUGAUUCACAUUAUUAUAAACAUGAAUUGUGAAUUUAUCUAAAAUCUUUGGUGGUUCAGGUGAAGACAGGUGAUGAAAUUUCUCUUUGUCUUGGUAUAAUAAAGAACUGUUAAUGGGUAUUAUAGGGAUAAAAUUGAUGAUAAACUUUUAAAUCAUAGAAGAUAGUAGAUAUCAUGCUCUACUUGACUCUUCUAAUAGAUUGCUUAUUCCACUGCAGUUGUUGAUCUAAAACUUGUUGUCUAUUAUAUUCUAGCAGUUGUUAUACUGUUGAAGGCUAAUGAUAAUUUAUUCUGCAUUAUCUUAGUCAUAAUAUUUCUUACUGGGCUAGUUGAGCUCACCCUUUUCUUUCAUUAUUCUCUUCAGAAAAUGAGAAUAUAGCUGGGACGAGUCGGGGAAUGGAGUGAUGAUCCAAGAUAAGUGGCUUUAGUAGUCUUCACUAUUCUGUGAAAUAGUGUGAUAAUAAUUGUAAUGAGGACUCCAUUGAGUUUGGAUAUUGUCUAGAAGACAAUAUUUGUGUUAAAACUCUCAGCUUAUAUUUUCUCGUAUUCUACACGACAGUUGUAUAAUUAAGUAGUAUUUGUAUUCUGUACCAUGUAUCUGGCGACCCAAGAUGGGUGAUGUAUACAUAUUUUGGGGGCGUCACAUCAACAACCACCACAAAUAUAAAACCUUUGAAGCCAAGCCUGUGAGACCCCAAAUUUUAUGAAUAAAGAUUUAAAUUUCUCGAAAUAUUUUUUUUGAAUAUUACGGUGUGGAUUUGAUAUAAUGUUAUAGUUGUGGGUAAUAUUUAUAAAUUUUACAAAGUAAACAAGUUGUUACAUAAUAUUCGUUUGGUCGGGGAAUAUUCUUUUUGUUGGGGAAUAUCCGUACGAUGGUGCAAUCAUUGGUGGACCCCACAACGGAAGUAUUGUCGUAGUAAGAAAAUGACAAAAUUAUCUUUUUAUAAAAAUAAUGGCGAAAGUGUUACCGUUAAAACUAUUGAACUACUCCGUAGUAAAAGUACAGUAAUACGUGUGGUUGCAUAGUAGCACACGAUAUUGAUUAUUAAUACUUACGUAAGAAGUCACUCAGUUAUACUUAAUUAUUGUUAUAGUAAUUGCUGCAUCUAUCUCUCAUAUUAUUGAUUCAAUUAUUGUCACAGUAUCAUCUGCAUAAUAUGUUAUAUUAUUAAAUCAAUAAUUGAGACGACAAAGUUAUUUAUAUUAUUAUUUGCAAUAUUGAGAAUGUCUAGAAGUUCUAUCAAGGAGAGGUUAGAUAAUCUAAUUGCGCGCCAAUAGGGAGAAAUCCUUAUCGGAAAGCCCCCUCUUUCUUGGAAACUACCUGGUUGUUAAAUAUUGUGAGUUAUAAUAUUAAUGAUGUAUAAGUUUGUGUUGAUUAAAGAUGAAAUUGAUAGUUCCAUUGUGUUGGGAUUAUUAGUGUUAGUGGAAAUCGACAUUUAUUUCGAUAAUAAUUGAUGUUUGGAAGUUAUAUUGACCAAUCGGGUAAUUAACCGGAUAAAUGAGCAAUUAAUUGCUAUUAAUUCACAUGCUUAUAACUAUGUGUUCACAUGUGUGUACUAUUGAUUCACAUGAUUUACUAUUAGGGGAGUUGGUGCAAGAUUGAUAAUACUUGCAUGACUAAAUUAAAAAUAGAGGUAUAGAUGAAGGUACUAUACUGUAAUUAUUUUUUUCACAUGUUUAGAACUAUUGAGUCACAUGAUUUACUAUUGAUUCACAUGAUUUACUAUUAGGGGAGGUGGUGCAAGUUUGAUAAUACUUGCAGGACUAAAUUAAAAAUGAAGAAAAAGAGGAAGGUAUUAUACUGUAAUAUUUCGAGCCCCAAAACGUGCAAUUAUCGAAACUAUAUUUUCCUAUAAAUAGAAGCUCAUUCUUCCUUCAUUUCUCACCAAUUCACUAAAGCUUUAGAGCAAUUAUUAUAGAGAGAAAUUAUAGAGAGAAAGAAGAAGAGAAGUCUGCUACCUCACUAUUUUAGUAUGCAGUUUCUUCUAAGGUAAGGGUAUUAUUUCUUUCGUAUUCAUGAAGAGAGUUAUUUCUUUCAAUACUCGUAAGGGUUGUUAUUCCAUUCUUUAUUAUUCUGUUGGAAUAACCUGUCUGUGCGGACUACACACGCCUGGUGAAUUCUUUUGUUAUUACAUUCUUUAUUAUUCUGUUGGAAUAACCUGUCUGUGCGGACUACGCACGCAUGGUGAAUUUUUUUUUAUUCUAUUCUUUAUUAUUCUGUUGGAAUAACCUGUCUACGCAGACUACCGCAUGCAUGGUGAAUGACCCUUCGUAUUCAUUCUUUAUUAAAUUAUGUAAAUGAUCUGUCUACGUAGAUUACCGCAUGACGGGUAAAAAUCCAUUUGCAGUUUCAUAUAUUCUAUUAUACUCAUAUGCGAUAUCAUUUCUUUUGUACUCGUCAUAUAAUAUCAUUUUCUUUGGAAUUUUUCUUUUACGAGUUACUAUUGACAGAUUACUAUUCACCUGAUUAUUAUUCACUCUAGUAUUAUUCACUCAGGUAUUCGGGGCACUUUUCGUGUCAGAGUAUUAUUCACGGGUUACUAUUCACCCGAUUACUAUUCACUCUAGUAUUAUUCACUCGGAUAUUUGGGACACUUUUCGUGUCGAGGUACUAUUCACGGAGUACUAUUCCUGAAGUACUAUUCAUGAAAUACUAUUCACCCAAAAAAUAUAUUUCUUUUCAGUCCAAAUUAUUUUUGGGUACAAUAUUAUUCUUGAAUUUUACUCCACAAAACAAUAUCAUGUUGACAAAUUGGACGUUAUUGAUUCUUGGAUAAAUUAAAUUAUAAAUCUUUAAAAUUUAUCCUUGAACUUUUUUUAUUGAAUUAUUAUGUCAUUGUCAUCAUCCUCAUGCUUAUAUUGUGAUGAAAGUCAUCUUUGGCUUACGUGCAUAGAUGGACUUGGUAUGAUUAUGACCAGGGAUUAUUCGGUAUAAUCAUGACCGUAAUGUGACGAAUGAUAUGGUGAAAGUCCUCAUUGGCCUGUAGUUCAUUGAUGGACAGUUGUUGGUAUGAUUAUGACCAGGGAUUAUUUGGUAUAAUCAUGAACAUUGAUGAUUACAUGAGUAUCAUUGGCCGAGAUGCAGGGAUGAUUCGAUUUUAUUUAUUAAGUUGAGUCUCAGCGAUAAAGUUGAUGAAAAACUUUUUAAAUCAUAGAAGAUAGUAGAUUUUAUGCUCUACUUGACUCUUCUAAUGGCUUGCUUAUUCCGCUGCAGUUGUUGAUCUAAAACUUGUUGUCUAUUAUAUUCUGUCAGUUGUUAUACUAUUGAAGGCUAAGGAUAAUUUAUUCUGCAUUAUCUUAGUCAUAAUAUUUCUUACUGGGCUAGUUGAGCUCACCCUUUCUUUCACUGUUCUCCUCAAGAAAUGAGAAUAUAGCUGGGACGAUUCGGGGAACGGAUUGACGGUCCAGAUGGUUGUUUUAGUUGUCCUCACUAUUCUGUGAAAUAAUAUGAUAAUAAUUGUAAUGAGGACUCCAUUGGGAGUGGAUAUUGUCUAGAAGGCAAUAUUCUUGUUUAAACUCUCAGUUAUGUUUUGUCGUAUAUUACCCGACAGUUGUAUAAUUAAGUUUGUAUUUGAUUUAUGUACCAUAUAGUUGGCGACUCAAGAUGGGUGAUGUAUACCUGUUUUUGGGGUGUCAAAGUUGGUAUCAAAGCUUAGGGAUAUGAUCUCUGGCUGAGAUAUGAGACAAGAACUAGGAGGGGAGAGACUGGGAAUUCCUUCGCUAGUAUAUAUGACCUACCUAAGUUUAUUUGGUAUUUAAUUGGUCGAUCAGAGUAUAGGAAUAAUAUGUGAUAUGUCAAUUAACCCUUGUUUUGUGACAGUGUUUGAAAAUAGCAUCUAAAAAUGUUGAGAUCAGCAAUGAAGCACAUGAGACCGUUGAGUCACCAACGAUUAAUACCUAGGAUAAUGUGCAACAGGAAGAUAAUAAUCCUCAGGUAAAUAACAACACCGAUUAGAUGAUGAACGAUGGGAUGUUCAGAGGCUUUAUGCAAUUCAUGCAACAUCAGACGAGAGAGACUCUUGUUCAAAAUGCAGGUGGAAACACUGUCAACUCUCGGAUGGUCACCGCUAAGCAGUUUAAGGAGUUGGGACCACCAGAGUUUUUGAGAGAGCCAGAACCACUUAAGGCGGAGACGUGGAUAAACAGAUCACCAAGAUAUUUGAUGUCUUGGAAUGCUCAGAGGAGCAAAAGGUUCCCUUUGCCACCUUCAUGUUGCGAGGAGAGGCAGAUUACUAGUGGGAAUCAGUAAAACGUACUCAGCCUGCCGCACUGAAGAUGUCUUGGGAGAUGUUCCAAGAACUGUUCAACAACAAGUACUUUCCUGAAAGUAUUCGUCAUGUGAAAGAGGUAGAGUUCAUCAAGCUUGAGUAAAACAAUAUGACCGUGGCGCAGUACGAAGCUAAGUUUGCCGAGUUAUCUCAGUUUGCGUCCCACUUGGUUGAUAAUGAAGAGAGAAUGACGCGGAUGUUUCUAAGAGGUUUGAAACCCGAGAUACGUCAAUAUCUAAUUUCUCACAAACUGUGUUUGUAUUCAGAUGUUAUGAAUAGGGCUCAAUUAUUGGAGUGUGAUAAUGAGUCAGCACAACCAAAAGGCAACGACCAACAACACGAUAAUAAUCAUACCGGUGGCAACGGCCAUCGGAACAAUGAUAACCAUCGUGGGGGAAAUUAUUAUGCCAAGAAUGGUAACCACUUCGGUGGUAAUCAUGGCCAAGUUAAUAGAAGCGGAAAUUUCAAGAAGAGAAGGUUCAAUAAUGAUGGAAAGACGUCAUCACCAGCACCCGUUGUUAAGGAAGGAGAACGACCGCCGGUCGUAUGUUACAAAUGCGGAGGGGAGGGACACAUAAGUCCAAACUAUUCACAGCCUUCCAAGGUAUGUUUUAGUUGUGGAAAAGAUGGUCACAUAGCUCGAUUUUUUUCUUGUAGCGAAAUCAAGUCCAGUUGGGACAGUGGCACCAAAGGCGGAUACGGACAAAACAAAGUCGGUGGUUUCAGGAAGAGCGGUUUUUAUGACUUCUCAAAAAGUGAGUAACCCGAACGAAGUUAACACGGGUUAGUUAAUUAUAAAUUCUUGCGAAGUCUAUACCUUAUUAGAUAUCGAUUCUACCCAUUCUUUUAUUUCUCUUGCUUGCGCUCAGCGUUUAAAUUUGACUCCAGAGAAAUUAGACUUUGACUUAUUGGUUGAAACUCUGUUAGGAGAAACCUUCGUUACACCCACUGUUUAUAAAUCUUGUUUUAUUCAAAUCGACACUUUCACGUUACCUGUCGAUCUUAUCUCUUUGAAAAUACUUGCCUUUGAUGUGAUUUUAGGAAUCGAUUGGUUAACUACUCAUCAUGCCAAAAUUGAUUAUUUUUGUAAGGUUGUUAGCUUUCAUAUUCCUAACCAACUUGUUAUGCGAAUUCAAGCAACCAAACCACUAAAGUCAAUCACUGUCAUAUCAAGCCAUAAGUAAAGAGCCCCGAGCCUUUCGUUGGUGACUUCCUUGUGUGGAAUGCAUCGAAGCCGAACUUUCUGUAGGGGACGUCGUGAAUAACAGUGGCAAGUUGAUAGGUAUCAAUGUGACGUGUUAUCCAAGUCUUGGGAUGAGAGUCACAGUUUUGAAUGAUAUUUCUAUUGUUAAUAAAUUUCCUAGCGUAUUCUUGAAGACUUCUUAGCCUACCCCUAGAGCGUGAAAUCGAAUUUUUUAUUGACCCCAAUACAAAACUCAUUUAUAAAACCCUCAAAUAUUUUCUUUACCCAAAACGAACGUAUAAUGUGCCAAUGACGUUGGCUCGAGCUGUUGAAGGUUACGACUAUACCAUUAAAUUCCAUCGUGGGAAAAGCGAACGUGGUAGCUGACACAUUAAGUAGAAGAUCGUAUGCGUUUACGAAGUGUGACGUUGUUAACACAAAAACCCAUUUCGUAUAACUUAUAAAUAAUGAAGAUGGAGUUAAUGACUCUAGAGACCCACGUGAAGAUAACGAAUAUACGAGUAAAAUCGACUUUAAUCGAUAAAGUUAAAGCCGCUCAAACUACACACUCGGAGCUAGUGAAUACGAAGAAGAAGGUUCAAGAAGGCGUUAUUCUAGAAGCAAGAGUCGAUGAAGAGAGAAAAUCUCAAUCCUCGAUUUAAUUGGGCCAUUUGAAAUCCUCGAUGGAGUAGGAACUGUGGCCUAUAGACUUGUUUUACCGCCAAGUAUGUCGCGUGUUCAUAACAUUUUUCAUGUAUCGAUGUUACGUAAAUAUGUGGACGACCCGAACCACAUUAUUAAAUUGGAACUAGACGAGAUAGCAGAAGAUUUAACAUAUGAGGAUAUACGUGUUAAAAUCUUGGAUAAGAAGGAUCGUAUUCGACACUCAAAUUUUAUACCUCAAGAGUUAGAAUCUGAAAUAAAGUCAAGGUAUCCUUAUCUCUUCGGCAUACCAGGUACGUACUUAAAUUUUGAGGGCGAAAUUUCAUAAGAAGGGAAGAUUGUGAGAUCCCAAAUUUUAUGAAUAAAGAUUUAAAUUUCUUGAAAUAUAUUUUUUGAAUAUUACGGUGUGGAUUUGAUAUAAUGUUAUAGUUGUGGGUAAUAUUUAUAAAUUUUGCAAAGUAAGCAAGUUGUUAUAUAAUAUUCGUUUGGUCGGGGAAUAUUCUUUUUGUCGGGGAAUAUCCGAACGACGACACGAUUAUUGGUGGACCCCACAACGGAAGUAUUGUCGUAGUAAGAUAAUGACAAAAUUAUCUUUUUAUAAAAAUAACGGCGAAAGUGUUACCGUUAAAACUGUUGAACUACUCGGUAGUAAAAGUAUAGUAAUACGCGAGGUUGUAUAGUAGCACACGGUAUUGAUUAUUGAUGCUUACGUAAGAAGUUACUCAGUUAUACUCAAUUAUUGCUACAGUAAUUGUUGCAUCAUAUCUCUCAUAUUAUUGAUUCAAUUAUUGUCACAGUAUCAUCUGCAUAAUAUGUUAUAUUAUUAAAUCAAUAAUUGAGAUGACAAAGUUAUUCAUAUUAUUAUUUGCAAUAUUGACAAUGUCUAGAAGUUCUAUCAAUGAGAGGUUAGAUAAUCUAAUUGUGCGCCAAUAGGGAGAAAUCCUUAUCGGAAAGCCCCCUCUUUCCUGGGAACGACCUGGUUGUUAAAUAUUAUGAGUUAUAAUACUACUGAUGAAUAAGUUUGUGUUGAUUAAAGAUGAAAUUAAUAGUUCCAUUGUGUUGAGAUUAUUAGUGUUAGUGGAAAUUGACAUUUAUUUUGAUAAUAAUUGAUGUCUGGAAGUUAUAUUGACCAAUCGGGUAAUUAACCGGAUAAAUGAGUAAUUAAUUGCUAUUAACUCACAUGCUUAUAACUAUGUGUUCACAUGUGUGUACUAUUGAUUCACAUAAUUUACUAUUAGGGGAGUUGCUACAAGAUUGAUAAUACUUGCAUGACUAAAUUAAAAAUGGAGGUAUAGAUGAAGGUACUAUACUAUAAUUAAUUUUUUCACAUGUUUAGAACUUUUAAGUCACAUGAUUUACUAUUGAUUCACAUGAUUUACUAUUAGGGGAGGUGGUGCAAGUUUGAUAAUACUUGCAAUUAAAAAUGAAGAAAAAGAGGAAGGUAUUAUACUGUAAUAUUUUGAGCCCCAAAACGUAUAAUUAUUGAAACUAUAUUUUUCUAUAAAUAGAAGCUCAUUCUUCUUUCAUUAUCACCAAUUCACUAAGCUAUAGAGCAAUUAUUAUAGGGAGAAAUUAUAGAGAGAAAGAAGAAGAUAAGUCUACUACUUCACUAUUCCAGUAUCCAGUUUCUUCUAAGGUAAUGGGUAUUAUUUCUUUCGUAUUCAUGAAGAGAGUUAUUUCUUUCAAUACUCGUAAGGGUUGUUAUUCCAUUCUUUAUUAUUCUGUUGGAAUAACCUGUCUGUGCGGACUACACACGCCUGGUGAAUUCUUUUGUUAUUAUAUUCUUUAUUAUUCUGUUGGAAUAACUUGUCUGUGCGGACUACGCACGCCUGAUGAAUUCUUCUAUUAUUCCAUUCUUUACUAUUCUGUUGGAAUAACCUGUCUACGCGGACUACCACAUGAUUGGUGAAUUCUUCUGUUAUUCCAUUCUUUAUUAUUCUGUUGGAAUAACCUGUCUACGCGGACUACCGCAUGCAUGGUGAAUGACCCUUCGUAUUCAUUCUUUAUUAAAUUAUAGAAAUGAUCUGUCUACGUAGAUUACCGCAUGGCGGGUGAAAAUCUAUUUGCAGUUUCGUAUAUUCUAUUAUACUCGUAUGAGAUAUCAUUUCUUUUGUAUUUGUCAUGGAAUAUCAUUUUUUUUGGUAUUUUUCUUUUACGAGUUACUAUUCACGGGUUAGUAUUCACCUGGUUACUAUUCACUGUAGUAUUGUUCACUCGGGUAUUCGGGACACUUUUUGUGUCGGAGUACUAUUCAUGGGUUAUACUAUUCACGGGUUACUAUUCACCCGAUUACUAUUCACUCUAGUAUUAUUCACUCGGGUAUUUGGGACACUUUUUGUGUCGGGGUAUUAUUCACAGGGUACUAUUCUCGAAGUACUAUUCACGGAGUACUAUUCACCAAAAAAAUAUAUUUCUUUUCGAUCCAAAUCAUUUUUGGGUACAAUAUUAUUCUUGAAUUUUACUCCACAAAAUAGUAUCAUGUUGACAAAUUGGACGUUAUUGAUUCCUAGAUAAAUUAAAUUAUAAAUCUUUAAAAUUUAUCCUUGACUUGGUAUGAUUAUGACCAGGAAUUAUUCGGUAUAAUCAUGACCGUAAUGUGACGAAUGAUGUGGUGAAAGUCCUCAUUGGCCUGUAGUUAAUUGAUGGACAGUUGUUGGUAUGAUUAUGACCAGGGAUUAUUCGGUAUAAUCAUGACCAUUGAUGAUUACAUGAGUAUCCUUGGCCGUGAUGCAGGGAUGAUUCGAUUUUAUUUAUUAAGUUGAGUCUCAGCGAUAAAGUUGAUGAAAAACUUUUUAAAUCAUAGAAGAUAGUAGAUUUUAUGCUCUACUUGACUCUUCUAAUGGAUUGCUUAUUCCGCUGCAGUUGUUGAUCUAAAACUGUUGUCUAUUAUAUUCUAUCAGUUGUUAUACUGUUGAAGGCUAAGGAUAAUUUAUUCUGUAUUAUCUUAUUCAUAAUAUUUUUUGCUGGGCUAGUUGAGCUCACCCUUUCUUUCACUGUUCUCUUCAGGAAAUGAGAAUAUAGCUGGGACGAGUCGGGGAACGGAUUGACGGUCCAAAUGGUUGUUUUUGUAGUCCUCACUAUUCUGUGAAAUAAUGUGAUAAUAAUUGUAAUGAGGACUCCAUUGGGAGUGGAUAUUGUCUAGAAAGCAAUAUUCUUGUUUAAACUCUCAAUUAUGUUUUGUCGUAUAUUACCCGACAGUUGUAUAAUUAAGUUUGUAUUUGAUUUAUGUACCAUAUAUUUGGCGACUCAAGAUGGGUGAUGUAUACCUAUUUUGGGGCCGUCACAAAGCCCAUACACUCCCAUUUUAGAUCAUAGCUCCUAUGCCCAGACCCAUUAAGAGCAUACCCAGCCCCUACUAAUAUGCACAAUCUAAGCUCCCAUGAUCUAAAGCCCCUGACUUUGCAAAUAUAGAUCGAUAGAUAGAUUUUCGGGAAGGAUCACAUUUUGGUAGAUAGAUGGUUUAAUUUGUUUAACUAUUUAUUAUAAAAUUGAGUAUAAUUUAAUAUAAUUAAUUAUUUAGCUUACCUUCUCUCUCCUUGUCUGCAUUGACACAUAGAUUUAUUGAUUGCCACGUCCUUCUUCUGUUAAAUGGUUAACAGACAUAGACGACAAAAUUAAUUUUUGUAAAUAAAGUAUAGUUCAAUGAGUUGACCGUAAAAAAAUUUAGUUUAGUGAUGCAUUUGUAAACCGAUGUUGAGUAGAGUGGAGAAAAGUGUAUUUAAUCCGCUCCAAAAGUCACCACUUUACAAGUCUCGUCAACAAUCAGCACCAUGUAAACACUCACCCUCUUUGGUGAACUUGAAGAGUUUGAAAAUCAACUUAGGAGGUAUGAUGAUGAAAAUGAGGCACCAAUAAAGAAGACAUUGACACUUCAAGCUGAGAGUAACAAUGAAUGUGAUAACGAAGAUUUUGAUAAAGAAAUUGAAAUGCUCUCAAGAAACUUGAGAGACUAUUUCAAAAGAAAAUAAAAAAGGUAGCUCAACUCCAGUGGGUAAGUUCAAAACAGAACAAGAAGAAGAAAUUGUCCAACUCUAUUUCAUAGGACUAGAAGAUGAUGAUCAACUUGAGGUAACAAAUUUUCAUGAAGCUUUUGAAAUAUCUAUGCCUGAUUAUAUUGCUUUACAAAAUGAAAAUCAACAACUCAAAAAAAAAACUGUUUAUUUUAAGAAUUGCGUAAAUGCUAAUGAAUGAAGUUAAGUCAUUUAUUAAAGAGAGAAAAGAAAAUGAAUAUCUUAAAAAUGAAAAUGAAGUUUUAAAAGAAAAUUUAAAAAUGAGAGAUGAAUGCAUAAAUGCUUUUAAUGAUGGAAAAAUGAUGAAUGUGCAACAUGAUGAUAAUGUCACAAAUGCAAAAAUAACAUCUUUAAAAAAUGAUCUUGCUAAAUUUGUGCAAUGAGAAGAGAACCUAAAUGUUAUGUUAGGGGCACAAAGGUCUAGUCUUGAUAAAUAAGAAAUUGGGUAUAAUCCUAUUAAAAUGUGAAAAAUAGAACUAAUAAUAAUAUUAUAAUGAUUAAUAGAAAACCAAUGCAUAAACCACUUUAUUGUUCACCGUUUGUUACUUGUAAAAAAUAUGGUUUUAAAGGUCAUUUUAAAAUGUGGCUUUAUUAGAAUAAAGCAAAUUUGGGUAAAGAAAUGUGAUUUAUAUGCUACUAACCUAAUAGGACCCAAGAAGAUUUGGGUACCAAAAUGGUAGAGACUAUUUGUUCAUUUUGUAGAUGUCUCAAGGUCAAAAAGGAGACAGAUAAUACUUAUAAAUUAUUUGGCAAAAUUCGCAAGUACCUUAUUUUUUUAAAUAGAUUUUUAAUUAGAUAUAUUAUGAAAACUCUAUGGAUUUCGUAUCAUAUGGCUUCAUAACAUCAUUUAUUAUAAAGUUUUUAUUGUGCUAAAUGCUCCAUAUUUAAUACAAACGACAAUCUUGAUGAGGAAUAAGUGAAUAUUAUUUUUGAUGAACUUAACCAUGAUCUGUUAAAGGAAGAGAAUGAGGUUUCUGCUGGAAAUGACUAUCUGAAUUGUGGAACCCAAACAGUUCAAUCCGGAUAGUCUAAGCCGUCUCUAUCAGAAGGAAAGAUAGAUGAAAUCAGACAAUUUGACCCGUCUGUUUUAGAAGAAAACUCAAAUUUACAAACACCUAAAUCCAAACAGAUCGAGUCGUCUACUUUAGAAGACAAAACAUAUGAAUAUUCGGAUGCAGUAACUUAUAUUCCAGAGGAUGAAUCUCAAAAGCAAAUGACUACUGCCAGGCUUCCUAAAUCUUCUAGAACUAUGGGAAAUCAUCAUCCAAGUCUGAUCAUCAGAAAUUUCAACAUUAGGAUGUCCACAAGAAGAGGUUUUGAAGAAAUUUGUUUGCUACACUAAGGAGCUUAUCUAUUAAGCUUAUUGUUGGUAACAAAAUUGUGGAUAUAUAGGUAACAAAUCACAAAGGUAUGGUCAUUUUAUUUAAUUGCUAUAUGUGAUAUUGUUAUAAGCUUGCUCCCGUGUCUUUAUUUUAUGAAUUAUUUUUUGUUUGUCACAAAUGGGAUAGAGAUAUAACUAAAUUGAUGAUUUUUUUUUUUUUGAUAAUAACAAAGGGGAGAAAUGUUUAGAAAAAUUGAUGAUUAUGAUAUCUGAUGGUUAUAUUGAUUAUAAUAUGUUUAGAUUUUUUUGAUAUCAUAUUGAUGAUAAUGGUUGGAUAUUUUGAUUCAUUAUCUGUUAUAGCUUAUCAUUAUGCAUUAUUUAUCAUAACAGUUAUGUGAUCUUUAUAUCUCCUAUAGGCAUAAAUUUAUGGGGAGCAUGAUUGCAAGGAAUAAUAUAUUGUCAUCAUCAAAAAAGAGGGAAAUUGUUAGUUUUAUUAUUUGUGAUUUUAAUAAUGACAAUAUAUUUGUAAAUAUAAUUUAUUUAAUGUAUUGAAUUAAUUUUGUAAUGGUUUGUUGAAUAUGAUAUAUAGUAAGUUUGGUUCAUGAUAAUUUAAUUUGGUUAUAAUUCAAAUUGUUAUUACGUGCAGGAUUGAAUUGAAAUAUUUUCUUCCAGGUUGUUAUUUUGUUAAAACAGGUUGUUUCAAUUUUGAAUUGGAAUAUGUUAAGGAGUUUGUUUAGCAGUGUAAUCUAUCUAUUAAAUAUAUUAAAAUGCAGUACAUGAUAUCAUAGCUUGACAUAUGUCAUUCUCACAAUUCAACACGUGUCCUGUCUAAUUAAUAUUCCUUAAGACCCUUAACAAAAGUGCCCAGCUAACAUAACAAAUGAGGAUGAAAACAAACUUUAAUUCAUUCCCCUAAAUUUUAGAUUUAUAAUCCCCUAAAUCAUGCUACAAAUCUAAACUAUUUUGAUAAUAUCAACUGUUUUGAUAUUAUCCUUUGUAAUUUAAUUAUUAUUUAAUAAAAUUACUUUUUUAUGCUAUUAAUUAAUUUUUUAGAUUUAUAAUCUUCUAAAUAACUACAAAUCUAAACAGUUAAUAACAUAAUGUCAUUCUCUUAAUUUUUUAAAUUUACAAUCCUCUAAAUCACUACAAAUCUAAACUGUUUUGAUAAUAUCAACUGUUUUGAUAUUAUCCUUUGUAAUUUAAUUAUUAUUUAAUAAAAUCAUUACUUUAUCUCAACACCACCCCCUACAAUGUAUAUUCAUUUGUUUUUCUGUGUAAAAUUUGAUCAUCGCACAACAAUCUACCAUCUUCUUAUUAUAUUUUAAUUUAUUAAUUAUACAUACAUAUUUAUUGAAUAAUUCCGCCCGCAACGCACGAGUUUGUAUCUAGUGUGGUCUAAUUUGGAGUCUUUAAAUUAACUGGUUUAGAUAUUUGUGUAGAGUAUGGGCUCUAUCUACUCGUUAAUUUUAGCCUAUGUUGAUUACGUAUCUUUGAUUUUCUAAUUUUGAGAAUAUUUUAAGCUGUUAGCUAUAUCUAUAGUUCUGAAAUAUCAAAUUCUCGAAAUGAAAGACCAAGUCAUGCUAACCAUUUCAUAUAGUCGUUGGACUGAGUUCUAUAUAUUUUCUUCAUGUUUGUCUAUAGUGAGCAGGACUCUUGAAGCUUAUAGCAGCCAUAUUACACAGAUUAAUCAAGAGCUUUUCAAAGUUAUUUUCAGCUACUCAUUAUAUUGUUAAUUUAUUUCAGUUAAAAAUUAAGAGUCUAUUAUAAUCUAUAUUUAUUGUAUUAAAUUUUAGUUCAAGUCUUGUUUGGCUUGAUCGAUCCAAUAGUGGAUAGGUUUGUUCGAAGAAAACUUUUAAGGUUGCAGAGGUGCAAAUGUCUCAGUGGUGAGAAAGGUUGCAAUGAUGCAAAGGGGCAGAGGUGUUCAUCGCAGUGGAAAAUUUUAUUUGAACAGGGAGUUCUUUUUAUUAUACUUAAUGGAGUCUUAAAAGUUUAAUAAAAAGAGUCCAAUACCGGUUGGUUUUGAACGUGGAUUAAGCCGUUAGAGUUUAAGGGCAGAACCACGUAAAAAUUCUUGUCUGUGGUUUGUUAAUUCUUCUGGGUUGAUAAUUUAUUUCUCACGUUGCAUCUAAUCUCAUUCAUAUUACAUUUUAUUGUUGGUAGGAAAAGUAUACUAAUCUAGACACUAUCUUCUGUCUUUAUAACAAAAGUAAAAUUGACUCUAAAGCAGACACUUUUAUUUGUCUGUUUUAAGUUUAGCAGCAAGUUCAGCAGCAGGAAAAUAAAAUUAGUCAUUGUUAGUGUGCUUAUUUAUAGAAUUACAUCCACAUCUGUAAUUCUACUGAGAUUUAAUGAAUGUUUAUUUUGCCGAUUAAAAAACAAAGGAAAAAGAAUAAAAGUAAUAAGAUGUUCGAAACAUUUGAUUGUAUUAUUAUAUUUUUGUGAGCCAAGGUGAAAGCAAAGCCACCUAGUGGUAGUUGUUUUAUUUAUAAUAUGGUAAUAACAACCAUGAACUGAUAGUUGAUUUAUUUAUUAUAUGCUAAUAACAGCUAUCAGCUAGUGGUUGAUUUAUUUAUUAUAUUCUAAUAAACAGCCAUCAACUAGUAUAUAGUUUCUUGAUCAACUGUUCAUAGGAAGAUUACUGAUCGUUCAUUUAGGCGUUGGGGGGACUAAUUUGAACACCAUAGAUAACUAAACCCGUCUCCAUAGUCGUGUUUUCACUCCCGUCGAGAGCAAAUUUGAAAUCUCCAGAGUCAAAGCUAUUCAAGAAUUCCCCAGCUUUGAGUGAAAUCGGUGUGUUCCUCGGACAAUCCAUCAACCUAUAUCCAUUCACUUGCGUGGACCCAUCCGGAGGAGUAAGUGUAAGACUCACCGGACUUUCUAUGUUAAGGUUGUCUUUCAGCAGCACCACAAAAGACACCUCAUAAGUUCAUUUUUCAAGAGUUUCUGUCGGAUAUUUUCCAUCAACAUGUAGGACUAAGCUACCAAUUAAUUCAGCACUGGCAUCACUGAAAAAAAAUGAUAGUAGAAUUAAAGUCAGAAACUUUUGAUAUAAGGAGCUUAAAUUCAUUAAGGUGAUUUUAUUGAUUUUUUUUUCUGGAAAAUUUUUAAUGUUAAGUCCUUCUAUCUGACUAGAGUCUAGACUUCAAUAAAAUUUCUAUAGUCCUUCUAUCACUUUAAUUUAAUGACAUAGUUGCUUAUAUAUCCCUAUUUUUAACUGAAUAAAAUUCAGGUGUUUAAACACAAAUCUUGACCUUUGACAUCAAUUAAGUUAACUAAGUCUUAUUUCUACUUACGUAAACUUCCAGCCUGAAGGGUUGGCAUAAUUGAGUUCCUUUGCAUGCACAAAAGCCCAACUGCUCUGAAUAAGUCAACAGAAAUUUACAUUAUUAUAUGGAUAGAUAAGGCAAACCAGCGGUGACCAAUAAAUGAUAUGUCGAUGCCUUUAUAAAUAUAUAUAUAUAUAUAUAUAUAUAUAUAUAUAUAUAUAGAAUAUUGACGGUUGACAUUGUCAAAAUAACAAUUAUAAAAGUGUUGCCAAAUGUAUAUUUACUCUGAUAGCGAUGACAUUAUCAACCACCUAUAUAUAAAUAGCAAAUGUUUCAUAGCAAAAGUUUAUUACAGAAUAUGUAUCACUCAAACCAUCUUAUAUCAAUCAUGCAUUACAACAUCAGAUAGAUGAGAUCUUAAAAUUUUUGAACACUCCGCGACAUUAUGUUGCAAAUGGUACCAAAUUUUAAAAAUCCCAAAGGUGUAAGAUGGUCUAAAUUUUGCAAAAAUGUAUCACUUGCAAAAUUUACAAAUAUUAAGGAUUAUUUUUGUUCUGUAGACAACUUUAGUGUGUAUAUAUAUUUGAUGUUUGUUUCCAAUUUCAGUGGACUUACCUUCUGGCCCGGGUCCUUUUUGAGCAACGCAUUUUCCUUAGCUUGAGACAACAAUGUCUUGAGGUCAACCUUGUGAUACCUCACUACUUGUGCCAUUUCGCCUUUAAUUCUGCUAUAUAUAUUUUUUGUUUUUGUUCUUGAUGUCUAUAUAUCUCUCUUCCAAAGGCUAGCUCUAUUUAUAGAUAGCACAAAAGAGGGUAUAUUCAAUAAUAACCUAUCUUCAAAUAUUCCUUCCUUUUUCACAGUGGGGAUCCUGAUAAGUUUAACAUCAUCAUCAUCAUCGCCAAGGAUAUAGAGCAUCAGAUUCUGUUUAAUAAUUUUGUUGGAAUAUUUCUUUUCCAUUUCUCAGUUCAAUAAUUCUUUCUUUAGCUUGUUGCGCUGGCAAAAUUCGAUGAAGGCGAAAGGUACGUAGGCAUUCAAGUAAGUGAUGAUUUUCUUCUAACCAGAAGUAUGAGCAGGUUGAUGAUACAUAUGUCAUGCCAACAUAACAAACUUUAGAGGAGCCGAGUUCGAAAAAGAGAGGGUACUGGUAUAAUUGCCUUAAUUCGAUCUUAUCACCCAAGCACGGGUGCCAUCUAUUUUGGUUCAAUAUAAUGGAGUAUAUAUUCAAAUCAACAAAACAAGGCAAGAACAAAAAAUAAAUUUAAAGUGCAUAUUUUAAUAGGAAUAUCUAUUAAUAUAUAUAGGUAUGUUACUCAAAUAUCUAUACCAUCUAUACCAAUUUAUAGCAAGAUAAAUACGAGUUAUUUAAGUUGGUCUUGAGCCAAUUUAGUAAUCCAAUUUUGGUGACUCCGUAACUCAAAAUGUUUUUUUUUUGUUUUUUUGUUUGAUUUUUAUGUAUUCUUGGUCAUAAAUUUUGAUAUUCCCAAAAGUCAACUAAAACACUCAAAAGUUAUAUAUUUUCACAAAAUUUUAGUACACAUUUAUUAUUAAAGAUGGAAUAUAUUAUCUAUCAUUAAGAAUUGAGUAAAUAUAUAAAAAUAAAAUAAAAUUAAUGAAAUAACUUUUGAGCUAUCAAGUCAUCAAAUUUGGAGAGCUGAGUUGACUUGAGUUAUAUUAAAAUGUCAUUCAAAAAUAUUAUAUAUAUAAUUUACCAAAUAAAUCGUUUUUAAACUUAUCCGUACUUCGUACGGAUUAUUAAUUUUGUUUGUAUUAAAAGUAGAAGUAUAAGCAUCUCGCAGGCCAAAAAUAAAAAAAGAAAAAAAAAAAGAAAAGAAGAGCAAGACUACUUCUUUUUCUUCCUUUUUAUCUCCUUUCUUUCUUUGUUUCUUUUUAGACGGAGGACUUCAUUUCAUCUUUGAAAAUAAACAUAAGAAUUUAUCAAAGGAAAUACAAGAUAGACGAUACAAAUAUUGAGAUCUAAUGGAACUUUUGUUGUCUAAUUAUUAUUAUUUUUUAUUUUCAAAUAUACGCAUACAUGAUAAAGAUUCACAAUUAUAUAUAAUAGGCUAAAAUCAACAAUCCGCUAAAAAAUUUGCGGUCUGUCAAAAUGUUUAGUUGUCGAGCUAGUAUAAAUUACCGUCUACCAAAUCGUUAUUAGUUAACAAACUAGUGUAAAAAUUUCACUUUGGAAGCUAAUAUAAACUAUCAUCUAUCAAAUUGUUAUUAAAUGGGGAGCUACGAAUGUAAACUAUCGUCUAACAAACUUUAUUAGCUGAUGAGCUAGUGUAAAAUAUCAUUUAUCAAACUGUUAGAUAGAGUGUUGGUUACAGUUAAAUGUGUCUUUGGAUCAAUUCCUAUACAGUCCGCUUCUCCAACGGACCGGUUUGUCAGCGAACCAACUAUAGUGACGGUUCAAUCCGUCGUUAUAGCAUAGAAAAAUGUUAACGCCAAGAUUCGUCCACGUGCAAAAACGAAAUCACACAGAGGAACUUGUCGGCUUGGGCCGCCAGGGGAUAGCUCUGGUAUAAGAAUAAGUACUGACUGAAUAAAGUUAACAAUGGAGGCUUAUAAUUUUAGUGCUGAAAAAAUAAUAAGAUAUUGUGUGCAUGUGAACCAGGGUAUAUAUAGCCUUGUAUUUAUAGUGAUCACACCUCUUUAAAACGCAUCAUCUCGUAUAGGAGUAGAAUUCCUCAUUAAGAUGGAUACCUUAAUGGGACAUGAUUGAAUCUCCUUAAAAAAAGAAAGUCGGAUACUAUCCUGACUCUUUCCUUAGAAGUUAGAAAUUAAAUAUAAUUAGGAAUCCUAGAUUCCUUAAAAUUCUCCCACUGCCCGUGGGGAGACUUCCUCCACGUGGACUAUGGCCCACCGAAUUCUGUGGUCCCAAAUAAUCAUGUUCCAACAUUGUCCCCCAUUGUAAUACCUAGAAAAAUAAUUAAAAAAAUAAAAAACAUUUAAGUUUAUAUUUUAAAAUAUAUUAGUUGGAUUUUAUUAUUUAUUUGGGUCAAAGUGGUCAUUAAUUUAUGUGGGCUAAUAAAUAUUAAUAAAUUAGGGAUAAAUUAAUUUGAUAAAAUUGAGCCUUAAAACUAAUUGGGUCUAAUUUAUAUUUGUGUAAUAAUAAAUCUUAUUAAAAUUUUAUUAAAAUUAAAAGAAUUAAUAAAACAUAUUAAUUAAUGAAUAAAUAACAAACCUAAUCUUACUUUUAUUAUACAAACUGAGGGAAAGAAAAAGAAGAGAAGUAGGUGAGGCGACUUAAGAGUGAAGAAUGAAAAUUUGUCACUCUUGAUAUUUGGCAAGACACAUUUAGUAAGUUGUUACUAUUUGUUUUUUAAAUUGUUAGAUCCAUCAUGUAGAAAGCCAGUGAUUCAUAAGAAAGUUAAAAUACAUUAUAUAUGAAGUAUACUUUUAGAAGUUUGAUACAUUAUUGGUUAAUGUGGAUAGCCUUUAAGGCAGAGUAUCCAUGUGAAUUGGAUAUCGUGAAUGGCAUACUAAAAUAAUAUACGCUUAGUAUAUGGCGUGAAUCAGAUAAGAUCAAAAGGUAUUUACUGAUUAAAUGUAUCUGAAUAUAUCUAAAUAUAUCUGAAUGUAUCUGAAUUGUAUGUUCUCCAAAAUCCUAGCACCCAUAUUUAUAGGCCAUAGAAAAAUCCAUAACCAAUUAAAUAGGAUUUUUAAUAUAAAAUUGAGUAUAGAUAGAAACGAUAACUUUUCUAAAACAGAUUCUAGGUAAUACCUAAACCCAAAUCCAAUAAGGAUUCAUGUUAUACCCAACAAAUGUCCACCUUGACUUGAAUCCUCCGAAUAUUGCACAAACAGUAAACUUUUUCCUCUUCUCAAAAUGCACAACUCAAGUGCAUCGAACACUAACCACGUCCAAGCAAUGUUUGAACUUGGUAUGUGUUAACGGCUUCGUUAACAUGUCAUAUGGAUUUUCUGCUGUACCAAUCUUCAAGACCUUAUUGUCACCAUCUUCAACAAUGUCUCGAACAAAAUGAUACCUGACAUCAAUAUGUUUCCCCCGAGGACAAUACUCACAGAAGUCAAACUUUAUUAUUUUUUGUAUAGACAACUCGCUAGAUUUCUUCGUCUCCUAAUCCGUAUCAGACAUAUCUACAGGCUUCAUUGGCUUCCCUACAAUGGCUUUCUUCAAGCCUUGCUGAGUAAAAACAGCCUUCAUCCGAACCUGCCAAAGACUGAAACUAAUUUUCCCAUCGAAUUUGUCAAUAGAAAAUUUUGUUGAUGAAGUCGAACUCAACGUCAUAGUAUAUAUCGAUAAUAACCAAGCUCUGAUACCAAUUUAUUAUGACAAACUAUGACAAACACAAUAAAUCAAUGCAGAAAGAUAAAGACAAUAACACAAGGUUUUACAUGAAAACUCAAAUUGGAAAAAAACUACGGAGAAGGCAAAAGAAAUCCACUAAAUAAAUAUCUGAAGAGUACAAGAUAAAAAAAGAGAAUACUAAAUUGAGUAUAGGUAAAAAAGAUAACUUUUCUAAACCAAAACAGAUUCUAGGUAAUACCUAAAUCCAAAUUCAAUAAGGAUUCAUGUUAUACCCAACAAAUCUCCACCUUGACUUGAUCAUUCCUCCAAAUAUUGCACAAAUAUUGAACUUUCUCUUCUUCUCAAAAUGCACAACUCAAGUGCAUCGAACACUAACCACAUCCAAGCAAUGUUUGAACUUGGUAUGUGUUAAUGGCUUCGUUAACAUGUCAUCUGGAUUGUCUACAGUACCAAUCUUCAAGAUAUUAAUGUUACCAUCUUCAACAAUUUCUUGAAAAAAAUGAUACCUGACAUCAAUAUGUUUUCCCCGGGACAAUGCUCACAGAAGUACAACUUUCUUACUUUCUGUCCAGAUAACUCGCUAGUUUUCUUCGUCUCCCAAUCCGUAUCAGAGAUAUUUACAGGAUUUAUUAGUUUCCAUACAAUGGCUUUCUUCAAGCCUUACUGAGUAAAAACAGCCUUCAUCCGAACCUACCAAAGACUGAAACUAAUAUUCCCAUCGAAUUUGUCAAUAUCAAAUUUCGUUGAUGAACUCGAACUCAACGCCAUAGUUUGGAUCGAUAAUAACCAAGCUUUGAUGUGACGCCCCCAAAACAGGUAUACAUCACCCAUCUUGGGUCGUCAAAUACAUGGUACAUAAUACAACUACAAACUUCUUUUAUACAACUGUCGUGUAAAAUACGACAAAACAUAGCUGAGAGCUCUCAAUGGAGUCCUCAGUACAUUUAUUAUCACACUAUUUCACAGAAUAGUGAGGACUACUAAAACAACCAUCUGGACCGUCAAUCCGUUUCCCAAUCAGUCCCAGCUAUAUUCUCAUUUCCUGAAGAGAACAGUGAAAGAAAAUGAUGAGCUCAACUAGCCCAGUAAGAAAUAUUAUGACUAAGAUAAUGCAGAAUAAAUUAUCCUUAGCCUUCAACAGUAUAACAACUGAUAGAAUACAAUAGACAACAAGUUCUAGAUCAACAAAUACAGCGGAAUAAGCAAUCCAUUAGAAAAGUCAAGUAGAACAUAAUGUCUACAAUCUUCUAUGAUUAAAAAGUUUAUCAUCAAUUUUAUCGCUGUAAUACCCAUCAACAGUUCUUUAUACCAAAGACAAAGAGAACUUUCAUCACCUGUCUUCACCUGAACCACCAAAGAUUUUAUUUAAAUUCACAAUUCAUGUUUAUAAUAAUGUGAAUCAACAGUUCCUCCCUGCCACAAAGGCUUAAUAGAACGUUUACUCAAUAUCCUUACCCAAAGGAUAAAGAUAUUCAAAUGUAAUAACAAUGAUCAUACCAAUCAGUUGUCUAUCUUUGCACUACGGGCCAAAGAUAUUCAACUAUAAAACCAUUAGUCAUGAUCAUACCAAUCAAUUGCAUGUCGGUGCACUACGACCAAAGACAUUCAACUGUUAACUAAUGAUCAUGAUCCUGCCAAUCACAUCAUCGAAUUAUCCCUGCACUACGGCCAAGGAUAUUCUUUAGUAUCACCAGUGGUCAUGAUCAUGUCAUACAGCUGUCCAUCUUUGCACUACGGGCCAAAGCUAUCAAUCAAUAGUUCAUCUUUGGAUUACGACCAAAGAUAUCAAUCAACAGUUCUUCUUUGCACUACAGGCCAAAGUCAUACAACUGUAAAACCAAUAACCAACAGUCCAUCUAUGCACUACGGGCCAAAGAUGACUUUUAACGCAAUAUAAGCAUGAGGAUCAUGACAAUGAUAUAAAGAAUCAGUCAAAUGAGAUAAAGGAUAAAUAUUAAACAUUUAUAAUAUAAUUUAUCCAGAGUUCAAGAAUAUCCAAAUGUUAUCAAUCACUUAAUAAUCUCAUAAUCUAAUAUCAUUAAUAUUAUAACAAUAUUUUAAUCAUUUCUUAAACUUAAUUAUAAACAAUUUAUUUUAAUUGUUUACACUUUACUAAUUAAUGCAUUUAAUCAGCCUAAAAUGCCAAACUCAUAAGAUUUCAUCACCAAUAACCAAAACUCUCAUAAAAAAUCUGCAUAUACCUUAUAUAGGAUUUUCAAGCCAUAAAAUCCUAUUUAUCAAUUUUUUAACUUCACAUAACUUAUUUAAUUUAUAUGUUCGUAACUAAACUAUUUUCAUGAAAAAUAUCAAAUCAGUCUAAAAAAGUUUUCUUUUCUGAGAUUUAGCAGAAUAUAGUCCCAUAUUGAACAUAUAUUUUUCUCGAAAUUUUUAAAAUUCAUUUACUAUUUUUCAUAUGGCCAAAAUUACCGAAUAUUUAAACAUUUAUCAUAAACUAUACUUUUGUCCAAAAAUUCCAAAAUUUACAGGGUAUACUCCUUUGAUAUAUAUGUACGCCCAAUAAAUUUUUUAUCAAUUUUGGAGUUAACCACAAGGAUUUAUAAAGGUUUACUUUUAAAAUAGUCUUUUCCCAUAAAAUUCAUAACUUCUAAUCUAUACAUCCAAAAAUCACCAUUUUUGGACACAAUCUAGAAAACUCAUCAAAUUAUCAUUUCAAAUUUUUCCAGAAUUUUUGACGGUUAGAAAAAUUACGAAACUGCAAAUGGAUUUUCACCCACCAUGCGGUAAUCCACGUAGACAGAUCAUUUCCACAAUUUAAUAAAGAAUGAAUACGAAGGGUAAUUCACCAUGCAUGCGGUAGUCUGCGUAGACAGGUUAUUCCAACAGAAUAAUAAAGAAUGGAAUAACAGAAGAAUUCACCAUGCAUGCGGUAGUCCGCGUAAACAGGUUAUUAAUUCCAAUAGAAUAAUAAAAAAUGGAAUAACAGAAGAAUUCACCAUGCAUGCGGUAGUCCGCGUAGACAUGUUAUUCCAAUAGAAUUAUAAAGAAUGGAACAACAGAAGAAUUCACCAUGCAUACGGUACUCCGCGUAGACAGGUUAUUCCAACAGAAUAAUAAAGAAUGGAAUAGCAAAAGAAUUCACCAUGCAUGCGGCAGUACGCGUAGACAAUUUAUUCCAACAGAAUAAUAAAGAAUGGAAUAACAACCCUUACGAGUAUUAAAAGAAAAUAACUCUUUUCAUGAAUACGAAAGAAAUAAUACCCCUUACCUUAGAAGAAAACUGGAUAAUAGUAAGGUAGCAGACUUCUCUUCUUCUUUCUCUCUAUAAUUUCUCUAUAUAAUAAUUGCUCUUGUGAGACUUAGUGAAUUAGUGAGAAAUGAAGGAAGAAUGAGCUUCUAUUUAUAGGAAAAUAUAGUUUCAAUAAUUGCACAUUUUGUGGCUUGAAAUAUUACAGUAUAAUACCUUCCUUUUUUUCUUCAUUUUAAUUUAGUCCUACAAGUAUUAUCAAACUUGCACCACCUCCCUAAUAGUAAAUCAUGUGAAUUAAUAGUUCAUUCAUGUGACUCAAUAGUAUAAUCAUGUGAAAAAAAAACUAAUUAUAGUAUAGUACCUCCAUCUAUACCUCCAUUUUUAAUUUAGUCAUGCAAGUAUUAUCAAUCUUGCACCACCUCCCCUAAUAGUACUUGCAUGUGAAUCAAUAGUACACACAUGUGAACAAAUAGUUAUAAGCAUGUGAAUUAAUAGCAAUUAAUUGCUCAUUUAUCCGAUUAAUAAUCCGAUUGGUCAAUAUAACAUCCAGACAUCAAUUAUUAUCGAAAUAAUUGUCGAUUUCCACUAACACUAACAAUCCCAACACAAUGGAAAUAUUUUUAUCAACAAAUUUAUUUUUGAAAUUUUGAAGUUUGACUUUUUCUGCAAAAGUCAAAUGUUGACUUUUUGACCAAAAAGUCAACCCCAGUAAAUUUUGUGUUUAUAGUCUAUUUUUACUAAUUUUAUCGUUCUGGACUCAAAUAUCACGUUCGCGUCUCCAAAUUUAAUUCUGAACUCAAAUUCUAGUUUUUAAUAACAUUCAUAAUUAAUAUUAUAACUCACAAUAUUAACAACCAGAUCGUUCCCAAGAAAGAGGGGGCUUUCCGAUAAGGAUUUCUCCCUAUUAGCGCGCAAUUAUAUUACCUAUCCUCUCCUUGACAGAACUUCUAGACAUCGUCAAUAUUGCAAAUAAUAAUAUGAAUAACUUUGACGUCUCAAUUAUUGAUUUAAUAAUAUAAAAUAUUAUACAUAUGAUACUGUGACAAUAAUUGAAUCAAUAAUAUGAGAGAUAUGAUGCAGCAAUUACUGUAGCAAUAAUUGAGUUUAACUAAGUGACUUCUUACAUAAGCAUCAAUAAUCAAUACCAUAUGGUACUAUGCAACCACGCGUAUUACUGUAUUUUUACCACCAAUUAUUAUAUGACAACUUACUUACUUUGAAAAAUUUUCACAUAUCACCCUUAACUUUAACAUUUUAUCAAUUUAACUAUUUACUAAAUAGAAUAAUAAUUAUAAAAAUUGAAUACUUUCAUUUCGUAAAAUUCGGGGUCUUACAAUCUCAUCUCCUUAUGAAAUUUUGUCCUCGAAAUUUACGUACCUAGUAGUUCGAAGAGAUGAGAAUACCUUGCUUUCUUUUUCGUUUUGUACCUUCCCGGUUAUUUCCUCUCUAUCAUGAUUUUCCCAUUUCUCAUCUCCUGUAUUUCAGAUAUCAUUCUAGAAUAUAGAUUCAAAAUAAGGGUUAAUUAACAUGCCACAUAUUAUCUCUAUAUUCUGACCAACCAAUUAAAUAACAAAUAAACUUAGGUAGGUCAUACUAGCGAAUGAAUUACCCGUCUCUCCCCUCCUAGUUCUAGCCUCACAUCUUAGCCAGGGAUCAUAUCCCUAAGCUUUGAUACUAAUUGUGACGCCCCCAAAACAGGUAUACAUCACCUAUUUUGAGUCGCCAAAUAUAUGGUACAUAAUACAACUACAAACUUCUUUUAUACAAUUGUCGUGUAAAAUACGACAAAACAUAGCUGAGAGUUUAAACAAGAAUAUUGCCUUCUAGACAAUAUCCACUCUCAAUGGAGUUCUCAUUACAUUUAUUAUCACACAAUUUCACAGAAUAGUGAGGACUACUAAAACAACCAUCUGGACCGUCAAUCUGUUUCCCGACCAGUCCCAGCUAUAUUCUCAUUUCCUGAAGAGAACAGUGAAAGAAAAGGGUGAGCUCAACUAGCCCAGUAAGAAAUAUUAUGACUAAGAUAAUGCAGAAUAAAUUAUUCUUAGCCUUCAACAGUAUAACAACUGAUAGAAUACAAUAGACAACAAGUUUUAGAUCAACAACUGCAGCGGAAUAAGCAAUCCAUUAGAAGAGUCAAGUAGAACAUAAUGUCUACUAUCUUCUAUGAUUAAAAAGUUUAUCAUCAAUUUUAUCGCUGUAAUAUCCAUCAACAGUUCUUUAUUAUACCAAAGACAAAGAGAACUUUCAUCACCUGUCUUCACCUGAACCACCAAAGAUUUUAUUUAAAUUCACAAUUCAUGUUUAUAAUAAUGUGAAUCAACAGUUCGUCCUUGCCACAAAGGAUUAAUAGAACGUUUACUCAAUAUCCUUACCCAUAAGGAUAAAGAUAUUCAAAUGUAAUAACAAUGAUCAUACCAAUCAGUUGUCUAUCUUUGCACUACGGGCCAAAGAUAUUCAACUAUAAAACCAAUGGUCAUGAUCAUACCAAUCAAUUGUAUGUCAGUGCACUACGGCCAAAGACAUUCAAUUUUUACCUAAUGGUCAUGAUCCUGCCACUCACAUCAUCGAAUUAUCCCUGCACUACGGCCAAGGAUAUUCUUUAGUAUCACCAGUGGUCAUGAUCAUGUCAUACACCUGUCCAUCUUUGCACUACGGGCCAAAGCUAUCAAUCAACAGUUCAUCUUUGGAUUACGACCAAAGAUAUCAAUUAACAGUUCUUCUUUGCACUACAGGUCAAAGACAUACAACUUUAAAACCAAUAUCCAACAGUCCAUCUAUGCACUACGGACCAAAGAUGACUUUUAACGCAAUAUAAGCAUGAGGAUCAUGACAAUGAUAUAAAGAAUCAGUCAAAUGAGAUAAAGGAUAAUUAUUAAAUAUUUAUAAUAUAAUUUAUCCAGAGUUCAAGAAUAUCUAAAUGUUAUCAAUCACUUAAUAAUCUCAUAAUCUAAUAACGUCCAAGUUGUCAACAUGAUACUUCUUUGUAGAGUAAAAUUCAAGAAUGCUCAGAAGAAUAUUUUCAUGAAAACAUACUAGAUGAAGCGCAAAUAUUAAGGAUAUUCCACUAAUUUCAUGGAGUAUAGAAGUCAAAACUUUAACCAAUGGAGUAUAAUAAAGAAUGAAAUAACAAAAAAAAUCACCAUGCAUGCGGUACUUCGCAUAAACAGGUAAUUCCAACAGAAUAAUAAUAACGGAACCAGGUCAGGCAUAAUACGCACCGACAGGAUAUUCUAACAGAAUAAUAAAGAAUGGAAUAACAACAAAAAUCACCAUGCAUGCGGUACGUCGCAUAGACAGGUUAUUCCAACAGAAUAACAAAUAAUGGAACCAGGUCUGACGUAAAACGCACAGACAGGAUAUUCCAACAGAAUAAUAAAGACGAAACCAGGUUCGACGUAAAACGCACAGACAAGAUAUUCCAACAAAAUAAUAAAGACGGAACCAGGUCUGACAUAAAAUGCACAGACAAGAUAUUCAAACAGAAUAAUAAAGAAUGGAAUAAUAACAGAAUUUCACCAUGUAUGCGGUACUUCGCAUAGACAUGUUAUUCCAGCAGAAUAAUAAAUAAUGGAAUAACAAAAGAAUUUCACCAAGUAUAGGGUAGUCCGCGUAUACAGGUUAUUCCAACAGAAUAAUAAAGAAUGGAAUAAUAGAAGUUCUCUUCAUGAAUACAAAAGAAAUAAUACCCCUUACAGGUACAACAAAUAAUAUCCCUUACCGUAAAAGAAACUUGAUAUCGGAGUAGUGAAGUAGCAGAAUACUUUUCUUCUUUCUCUCUAUAGUUUCUNNNNNNNNNNNNNNNNNNNNNNNNNNNNNNNNNNNNNNNNNNNNNNNNNNNNNNNNNNNNNNNNNNNNNNNNNNNNNNNNNNNNNNNNNNNNNNNNNNNNUAACUUUAUAAAAGUAUUCUGUUUUAUAUAAAAAGAUUUUACUAUUAGCCUAAUAAAACGAAUAACUUUAUAAAAGUAUUCUGUUUUAUAUAAAAAAAAAUUCUAUUUUAUUACAUUAAUAAUACUAAUAAAACAAAACUUAUAUAUAUAUAAUAUAUAUAACAAUCAACAAUAAUUGAAUCAAAUAACGUGAGAUACUAUGCAGCAACUACUGUAGCAAUAAUUGAACAAAACUGAGUGACUUCUCACGUAAACAUCAAUAAUUAAUAUCGUGUGCUACUAUGCAACCACGCGUAUUACUGUACUUUUACUACCGAGUAGUUCAACAGGUUUAAUGGUAAAACUUCCGCUGUUAUUUUCAUAAAAAUAUUUUUGUCGUUUUCUCAAUCCGACAAUAAUUCUGUUGUGGGGUCCACCAAUGAUUGUGCCGUCGUACGAAUAUUCCCUGUUAAAACAAAUAUUUCCCGACCAAUCGAAUAUUAUAUAACAACUUGCAUACUUUGCAAAAUUUAUAAAUACUACCCACAACUAUAACAUUAUCUCAAAUUCACACCAUAAUAUUCAAAAAAAUAUUUCGAGAAAAUUAAAUCUUUAUUCGUAAAAUUUGGGAUUUUACAUUGUCGGCUCACAAUCUCCAGAAGACUAAAAGCCUCCUAUAAUUUUUCAUUAUAAUGUGUUUUUACCCGGAGAUAACUUAACGAAAGAGCCAGCCAUAGUUCAGAAUACAUGGAUCAAUGAUAUUGGAUGGGGGAAGAAGGAAAGAUGCCCUGACCAUCGAUCCACUAACAUUGUGAAAUGUACAUUAUAUACAUUCUCCUUGCUAGCUUUUGUUGGUAACCAAACCUUCACACCAAGGUAACCAAACUGUCAUACCAAGGUAACCAAUCCACACCUCCAUACCAAGGUAACCAAACCUUCAUACCAAGGUAACCAAUCCACACCUGUAGUUUUUUCAUAAUGCAGUUGGUAACCAAACUUUCAUCUCAAGGUUACCAAACCUGCAGUUUUUUUAUAGUGCAGUUGGUAACAAAACUUUCAUACCAAGGUUAUCAAUCCACCUCCACACCUUCAGUUUUUCAUAGUGCAGUUGGUAACUAAACCUCCAUACCAAGGUAACCAAUCCACACUUGCAGUUUUUUCAUAGUGCAGUUGGUGACCAAAUAAACUAUCAUACCAAGGUUACCAAACCUGCAUACCAAGGUUACCAAUCCACCUCCACACCUGCAGUUUUUUCAUAGUUCAGUUGGUAACCAAACUUUCAUACCAAAGUAACUAAACUGUCAUACCAAGGUAACCAAUCCACUUCCACACCUUCAGUUUUUUCAUAGUGCAGUUGGUAACCAAACCUUCACACCAAGGUAACCAAACCUUCAUACCAAGGUAACAAACCUUCAUACCAAGGUAAUCAAACCACAUCCACACCUGCAGUUUGUUCAUAGUGCAGUAAUUGGUAGCCAAACAUUCAUACUAAGGUAACCAAUUCAGUGUUAUUAGGUUACCAAUUUAUUUUGAAUGUGAUGCAGUUGGUAGCCAAACCUUUAUGCAGUGGGUAGCCAAACAUUCAUACCAAGGUAACCAAUUCAGUUUUAUUAAGUUACUAAUUUAUUUUGAAUGUGAUGCAGUUGGUAGCCAAACCUUCAUGCAGUUGGUUGCCAAACUUUCAGUCCAAGGUAACCAAUUCAUACUGUAGGCGUUGAUGUAGAUUGGUUACCUUAGUAUAAAGGUUUGGUUACCUUGGUAUAAAAGUUUGGUUACCUUGGUACGAAGGUUUGGUUAUCAACAUUACAUUACACAUCACUCUCUUAUCUCUCUCUUUUCUAUUCAGAAAAUAAUUUUUUUUUAUAAAACUAGAACUGAAGGUGUUCCAGUACUAUUAUUAAGUAGCUAGCUAGCUUAUUACAUGAUGACACCAAUUAUGCCUUUAUCUCCGUUCAUGUCAUGAACUCUAAUUGCUCUCUGGUGCCAUGACAUUACUAAUGAUCUUCUCCUCUGCAGUAUCUCGUGAAUUUUCUUUUCUUACCGGAAAACGGUUGCUCCCGCCACCACUGCCCCACCCUCCACCUCCACCGUCUCUGUAACCACCACCUGAGCCACCACCGCCAACUCCNNNNNNNNNNNNNNNNNNNNNNNNNNNNNNNNNNNNNNNNNNNNNNNNNNNNNNNNNNNNNNNNNNNNNNNNNNNNNNNNNNNNNNNNNNNNNNNNNNNNNNNNNNNNNNNNNNNNNNNNNNNNNNNNNNNNNNNNNNNNNNNNNNNNNNNNNNNNNNNNNNNNNNNNNNNNNNNNNNNNNNNNNNNNNNNNNNNNNNNNNNNNNNNNNNNNNNNNNNNNNNNNNNNNNNNNNNNNNNNNNNNNNNNNNNNNNNNNNNNNNNNNNNNNNNNNNNNNNNNNNNNNNNNNNNNNNNNNNNNNNNNNNNNNNNNNNNNNNNNNNNNNNNNNNNNNNNNNNNNNNNNNNNNNNNNNNNNNNNNNNNNNNNNNNNNNNNNNNNNNNNNNNNNNNNNNNNNNNNNNNNNNNNNNNNNNNNNNNNNNNNNNNNNNNNNNNNNNNNNNNNNNNNNNNNNNNNNNNNNNNNNNNNNNNNNNNNNNNNNNNNNNNNNNNNNNNNNNNNNNNNNNNNNNNNNNNNNNNNNNNNNNNNNNNNNNNNNNNNNNNNNNNNNNNNNNNNNNNNNNNNNNNNNNNNNNNNNNNNNNNNNNNNNNNNNNNAGAGUGUUGGGAGAUAGCAUUAGAUAUACAUAAUAUUUUUACAUAUUUACUAAUACACAAAAUCAUUUUCUAAUUUCUCUUUCAUCUUUCAUUCUAAACUAGCUAUCAAAGCAAAACAAAAAAGAGAGAGGGAGAGCAUAGAUUUGAUAGCCUUAAGGAGGUAAAGGGGAAGAAUUUUAAUCUUCAUGCACCCUAAGUUCAUCAAUUACUUUGGUAAAAGAAGAAGAACAUCCCAAAGAACAAGGUAAAGACCCUAAAAAAUUUCAAGUUUUGUUACUUUCUUUUGAUAAGUUUUGAUGAAAUAAAGAGCUUGUGUUCUUGAACUUUAAAACUCUUGAUCUACAUGUGUAUGCUUUUUUCACAUGUAGGUCUAGUUAUUUUUGAAGUUAAAAGUUUUUAAAAAAAAGAAAAAAGAAGAAGAAAUGAAAGUAUGUUCAAAAGGGGCUAAACACCCUAAAUUAACUAUUUUUUUUAUUUAGUUUUUUUUGAUGAAAUGUAAAGAUGAUGUUUCUAAGUUCUAAAAUUUUUUAUCUUUAUGUUUUCUAGUGUUUCAUAUAAAGAUCUAACCAUUUUUUAUGUUAAAGGUUUGAUCAAAGGUAAGGAAAGGAAACUAGUUUUUUUUUAACGAAUAAAAACCCUAAAACUUUUUAUUCACUUUGAAAUGCUAUCAUUUAAAAUCUACAUCUCCUAUUUAUGAUCCGUCAAAGAUGGGUGCUAGAUAUAGGAGUUAGCUUUCAAACCUAAGUGGUAUCACUCAAAUAUGUUGAAUUUACAAGCUUUGGUGACUGUUUUAACAAAGCUAUCCAGAUUUUUAAAAGAGAAAAAUGGAACAAUCUCAUUAUACUACAAAACAAUAUUAUUAAGGUUUAUUUACACUAUUUUAAGAGAAGCUAGAAAUGAGUUGCUGUUUGUCCAUAAGCAACAGCCACAAAGGUACUGUCUGAGAGCCUAGGAAGAGCUCCCAGACACUGUUUGUAUGCCUACUGCUACUGCCGAGGCAGUAGCCCUGCACCAAGUUCACUUUUAGCAACUUCUGAUAUUCUACUUUGCUUAGGCUAAAUUUUUAGAGAUGGUAAAGGUACUAUAUUAGUCUCUUUUAGAAACCUACGAGGCUUAAAUUUCACGUUUAUUUACUGUCCAAAAACAAUUGUCAAAGUGACUUAACAUAAUAGGUUUUAAUUUUUCACUUUGGCCUAAUAAUGUAGUUUAUUUCAUUUUAGUAAUGUUAAACUUAUUAAUUAUCUUUAUAUGUGUUGUCUCAACCACACUCAAGCUGCAAUUCCUUCUAAAAUCCCAUUUUUAGUUAAAACAGUUCACCUAGGACUUUUAACAAACAGGUGGUGUGCACAGUUCCAAUUUCUUCUUUUCAUAGCCAUUUAUUUGAGUUAUAAAUCCAUUUUUAUCCUCCUUAUUAUUCCUCAGCCCAACCUAGCUCCUUAUGCCUAAAUCCAGCUCAUAACAGUUAAAUACACGAUUUAAUAUGUGUAUAAUCAAGUAAUUGACAACUAUCUAGUUAUAACUUAGUUAGCUCACUAAUUUUCUUACUUUCAACCUUAUUAACAAUACAUUUCCAGCCCCAACAGUAGGCACAAUCCAUAACAGUUCUAGGCAUAGCAAUAUAUUGUACAAUCAUAAGCAUGUGCAAUCACUUAUUACAAUUAUAGGCAUAAGCAGUCACUUAUUACAACCUAACAAUUUCAAUUCUUGACAUACAAACUUAGUAAACAAUGGUUUUAUUACUCUACAUAAACAAGGUUCACAACUUAUAACUUUAAGCAUGAUAACUAGAAACAACCUCUAUCUUGAUUAAGGUGAAUAUUAAAGCACUUGGAAUAUGUAGUCUCUAAAAGAUAUUUGCAUACAUAGCUUCAAUUGGAUAAAUUCUUAGCUUACAUGUGAUUCUCACAACACAGUUUUUUUAUUAGUUAGUAAUAUAACCAAAUCAAGUCAUGACUUUGAAAUUAUAGGUAGCUAGGGGUUGUUUUGAAUCCUAAUCCAAAACAGGCCCAGAUUUGCCCUACUCUAGGCUCUUUUGAAAACUUCCAUAAACCUUCAUGGUUAGGUUCUUUAGACCCCAUGUUAUAAAGUAUAACCCACUUCAUUUUCAAGGACAGAUAAGUUCUUAUAUAAGUUUAUCAAUCUAGUUAAAAGUGGUUUCAUUUUGCUUAUGUAUAUGAUUGUCAUGGUAUGUAAGUUAUACCAAUACAUGUUAUACUUAGGCAUAGAGGGUACUUGAAGCAUAGCUACCCUUUAAAUGAGAACUUAAACAUAAUUUUGGACUCCAUUCCCAGCCAGCCUAUUUUGACACUAUAACAGUUUUAGAGUAGCAUUUUAGGCAUGGUUUAUUACACCAAAACAGUAGCAAGCACUAACGUAUAUGCCUUUCUAACACAUGAACCUUUUAUGUACCAUAUUUUCAUGAUUUAAAGCAUCUAAAGUCAAGGUCUUUAUGCUUUAGGCCAACACAACCCUCUUUAGUAUUUAAAUUCAAAAACAAACAUGGUUUACCAACAUGUUUACGAAGAUAGCAUAAGUGUGCAACAUAGAAGCUUAUACUAUCUUUUUAUAUAGUAUUUAACAUGCAUAAUAUAUGUUUGGAUGACAUGGAAUAUGUAAGACCCCAACUUAUUAUAAAUAAAAUUGAAUUUCUCUAUUUAUUAUCUUGAAAUAAUAAGGUGAUAAUUUGAUAUAAUACUUUAGUUAUGGGUGAAAUGUGCAAAUUUUGCAAAAUAAGCAAGUGGUUAUAAAAUAUUCAUUUUUGUCGAGGAAUAUUCGUUUGGUCAUGGAAUUUUCUUGUUGUCGGGGAAUAUUCGUAUGACGACGCAGCCAUUUGUUGGACCCAUAACAGAAUAAUUGUCGGAUGAAGAAAACAAUAAGCUUGAGUUUUUAUAAAUAACGGCGUAGUUGUUACCGUUAACACUGUUGGAAUACCCGGUGGUUAAAAUACAGUAAUACGCGUGAUUGCACAGUAGCACAUGGUAUUACACAGUAUUUUUGAAUUAUUAAUUCUUACAUAAGAAGACACUACUUAAUAAUUGUUACAGUAAUUACUGUUCAAUAUUUUAUUUUAUUUAUUCAAUAAUUGUUGCGUUGAUAUUUUAUAGUAUUGUUGUUUCAAUAAUUGUCAUUGCACAGUAUUUCCCAUUAUCAGAUCAAUAAUUCAUAAUAUUUGAAUAAUAUUAUUAGAUAGCAUUAUUGGCAAUGUCUAGAAAGUUUUGUCAAGGAGAGGUUUGGUCACUUAAUUGCGCGCUAGUAAGGAGAAAUUCUUAUCGAAAAGCCCCCUCUUUCCUGGGAACGGCCUGAUUGUCAUUAUUGUGAUUCUGUAAUAUUAUUUGUGAAUAAUUAUUUAUUGAUUUAUAUGAUAAGGAAAUAAUUAUUUUAUAUGGACAUAAAUGAUAUGAGACCCCAGAUUUUAUGAAUAAAUAUUUAUUUUUCUCGAAAUAAUUUUUUAAUAUUAUGGCGUGGAUUUGAUAUAAUGUUAUAGUUGUGGGUAGUAUUUAUAAAUUUUGCAAAGUAUGCAAGUUGUCAUAUUAUAUUCGAUUGGUCGGGAAAUAUUCUUUUUGUCGGAGAAUAUCCGUACGACGGCACAAUCAUUGAUGGACCCCACAACGGAAUAAUUGUUGGAUUGAGAAAACGAUAAAAAUAUUUUAUUAAAAAUAUCGGCGGAAGUUUUACCGUUAAUACUGUUGAACUACUCGGUAGUAAAAGUACAGUAAUACACGUGAUUGCAUAGUAGCACACGGUAUUGAUUAUUGAUGUUUACGUGAGAAGUCACUCAGUUUUGUUCAAUUAUUACUACAUUAGUUGCUGCAUAAUAUCUCACGUUAUUUGAUUCAAUUAUUGUUGAUUGUUAUAUAUAUAUAUAUAUAUAUAUAUAUAAGUUUUGUUUUAUUAGUAUUAUUAAUGUAAUAAAACAGAAAAACUUUUUAUAUAAAACAGAAUACUUUUAUAAAGUUAUUCGUUUUAUUAGGCUAAUAGUAAAAUCUUUUUAUAUAAAANNNNNNNNNNNNNNNNNNNNNNNNNNNNNNNNNNNNNNNNNNNNNNNNNNNNNNNNNNNNNNNNNNNNNNNNNNNNNNNNNNNNNNNNNNNNNNNNNNNNNNNNNNNNNNNNNNNNNNNNNNNNNNNNNNNNNNNNNNNNNNNNNNNNNNNNNNNNNNNNNNNNNNNNNNNNNNNNNNNNNNNNNNNNNNNNNNNNNNNNNNNNNNNNNNNNNNNNNNNNNNNNNNNNNNNNNNNNNNNNNNNNNNNNNNNNNNNNNNNNNNNNNNNNNNNNNNNNNNNNNNNNNNNNNNNNNNNNNNNNNNNNNNNNNNNNNNNNNNNNNNNNNNNNNNNNNNNNNNNNNNNNNNNNNNNNNNNNNNNNNNNNNNNNNNNNNNNNNNNNNNNNNNNNNNNNNNNNNNNNNNNNNNNNNNNNNNNNNNNNNNNNNNNNNNNNNNNNNNNNNNNNNNNNNNNNNNNNNNNNNNNNNNNNNNNNNNNNNNNNNNNNNNNNNNNNNNNNNNNNNNNNNNNNNNNNNNNNNNNNNNNNNNNNNNNNNNNNNNNNNNNNNNNNNNNNNNNNNNNNNNNNNNNNNNNNNNNNNNNNNNNNNNNNNNNNNNNNNNNNNNNNNNNNNNNNNNNNNNNNNNNNNNNNNNNNNNNNNNNNNNNNNNNNNNNNNNNNNNNNNNNNNNNNNNNNNNNNNNNNNNNNNNNNNNNNNNNNNNNNNNNNNNNNNNNNNNNNNNNNNNNNNNNNNNNNNNNNNNNNNNNNNNNNNNNNNNNNNNNNNNNNNNNNNNNNNNNNNNNNNNNNNNNNNNNNNNNNNNNNNNNNNNNNNNNNNNNNNNNNNNNNNNNNNNNNNNNNNNNNNNNNNNNNNNNNNNNNNNNNNNNNNNNNNNNNNNNNNNNNNNNNNNNNNNNNNNNNNNNNNNNNNNNNNNNNNNNNNNNNNNNNNNNNNNNNNNNNNNNNNNNNNNNNNNNNNNNNNNNNNNNNNNNNNNNNNNNNNNNNNNNNNNNNNNNNNNNNNNNNNNNNNNNNNNNNNNNNNNNNNNNNNNNNNNNNNNNNNNNNNNNNNNNNNNNNNNNNNNNNNNNNNNNNNNNNNNNNNNNNNNNNNNNNNNNNNNNNNNNNNNNNNNNNNNNNNNNNNNNNNNNNNNNNNNNNNNNNNNNNNNNNNNNNNNNNNNNNNNNNNNNNNNNNNNNNNNNNNNNNNNNNNNNNNNNNNNNNNNNNNNNNNNNNNNNNNNNNNNNNNNNNNNNNNNNNNNNNNNNNNNNNNNNNNNNNNNNNNNNNNNNNNNNNNNNNNNNNNNNNNNNNNNNNNNNNNNNNNNNNNNNNNNNNNNNNNNNNNNNNNNNNNNNNNNNNNNNNNNNNNNNNNNNNNNNNNNNNNNNNNNNNNNNNNNNNNNNNNNNNNNNNNNNNNNNNNNNNNNNNNNNNNNNNNNNNNNNNNNNNNNNNNNNNNNNNNNNNNNNNNNNNNNNNNNNNNNNNNNNNNNNNNNNNNNNNNNNNNNNNNNNNNNNNNNNNNNNNNNNNNNNNGAUAUUGUUUAGAAGACAAUAUUUGUAUUAAAACUCACAGCUCUCUUGUUGUAUAUUAAAGAUUGUAUUUGUAUUCUGUACCAUGUAUUUGGCGACUCAGAAUAGGUGAUGUAUACCUAUUUUGGGGGCGUCACAGUUGGUAUCAAAGCUUAGGGAUAUGAUCCCUGGCUGAGAUGUGAGAUAAGAACUAGGAGGGGAGAGACGGGGAAUUCCUUCGCUAGUAUGAACUACCUAAGUUUAUUUGGUAUUUAAUUGGUCGGUUAGAGUAUAGGGAUAAUAUGUGUUAUGUUAAUUAACCCUUAUUUUGUGGCAGUAUUUAAAAAUGGCAUCCGAUAAUGUUGAGAAUAGCAAUGGAGCACAGGAGACCGUUGAGUCUCCACAGAUUAAUAAUCAGGACAAUGUGCAACCGGAUGACGAUAAUCCUCCUGUAAACAACAACACUAAUCAAUUGACGAACGACGGUACGUUUAAGAGCUUUUUAGAAUUCAUGCAACACCAAACGAGAGAGACUCCUGUUCAUAAUGCUGGAGGAAACAAUGGCAACCCACGGUUGGUCACCGCUAAGUAGUUCAAGGAGCUGGGACCACCAGAGUUUUUGGAAAAGCCAGAACCACUUAAGGCAGAGACGUGGUUAAAGCAGAUCACCAAGAUAUUUGAUGUCUUGGGAUGCUUGAAAGAGCAAAAAGUUCCAUUCGCCACCUUUAUGUUUCGUGAAGAAGCAGAUCACUGGUGGGAAUCUAUAAAACGUACCCAGCCUGACGCACUCAAGAUAUCUUGGGAGAAGUUCCAAGAGCUGUUCAACGACAAGUACUUUCCUGAAAGUAUUCGUCACAUGAAGGAGGUGGAGUUCAUCAAGCUGGAGCAAAACAAUAUGACCGUGUCGCAGUACGAGGCUAAGUUUGCCGAGUUGUUCCGAUUUGCGUUCCAUUUGGUUGAUAAUGAGGAAAGAAUGACGCGAAUGUUUCUAAGAGGUUUGAAAUCCAAUAUACGUCAAUACCUCAUUUCUCACAAACUUUAUUUAUAGUCAGAUGUUGUGAAUAGGGCUCAGUUAUUGGAGCACGAUAAUGAGUUAGCACAACCAAAAGGCAAUGACCAACAACACGAUAAUAAUUAUAUCAGUGGCAACGGUCAUCGGAACAAUGAUAACCAUCGUGGGGGAAAUUAUCAUGCCAAGAAUGGUAACCACUUCGCUGGUAAUCAUGGACAAGAUAAUAGAAGUGGAAAUUUCAAGAAGAGAAGGUUCAAUAAUGAUGGAAAGACAGUAGCACCAGCACCCGUUUCAAAGGAAGAAGAACGACCACCGAUCGUAUGUUUCAAAUGCGGACAGGAGGGACACAUCCGUCCAAACUGUAUGCAGCAAUCCAAAACGUGUUUUAAUUGCGAAAGAGAAGGUCACCUAGCUCGAUUUUAUCGUAUGGUAAAGUCAAGUCCAGCUGGGAUAGUGAUGCCAAAGGAUGUCCCAGACAAGCCAAAGCUGAUAAUUUAAGAGAGAACGUUUUUUUUCUCGUGACGAGGAACCUGAAUAAAAUUAUCAUGGGUAAGUUAAUCAUAAACUCUUGCGAAGUCUAUACCAUGUUAGAUACCGGUUUUACUCACUCUUUUAUUUCACCUAGUUGUGUUCAAUGUUUGUACUUAACUCCGGAGAAGUUAGAAUCUGAUUUAUCUAUUAAAACUCCGUUGGGAGAAACCUUCGUUACAUCUAUUAUUUAUAAAUCUUGUUUGAUUCAAAUCGACACUUUCAUGUUACCUGUCGAUCUUAUCUCUUUGAAAAUACUUAUCUUUGAUGUGAUUUUAGAAAUCGAUUGGUUAACUACUCAUCAUGCUUUUCGUAAGGUUGUUAGAUUUCAUAUUCCUAACCAACCUGUUAUGCAAAUUCAAGCAACCAAACCACUAAAUUCAAUCAUUGUCAUAUCAAGCCAUAAGUAAAGAGCCCCGAUCCUUUUGUUGUUGACUUCCUUGUGUGGAAUGCACUGAAGCCAGACUUUCUGUAUGCGACAUCAUGAAUGACGAUGGCAAGUUGAUAGGUAUUAAUAUGACGUACUAUCCAAGUCUUGGAUGAGAGUAACAGUUUUGAAUGAUAUUUCUAUCGUUAAUAAAUUUCCUGACGUAUUCCUGAAGACUUCAUAGCCUACCCCUAGAGCAUGAAAUCGAAUUUUAUAUUGACCCCAGUACAAAACCCAUUUCUUACACCCUCGAAUAUUUCUUCAACUAAAAUGAACGUAACAUACGCCAAAGACGUUGAAUCGAGCUGUUGAAGAUUACGAACGUACCAUUCAAUACCAUCGUAGGAAAAGCUAACAUGGUUGCUAACGCGUUGAGUAGAAGAUCGUAUGCGGUUACAAGUGCGAAUAUAAGAACCCACGUGAAGAUAAUGAAUAUACGAGUAGAAUUGACUUUAAUCAAUAAAGUUAAAGCCGCUCAAGCUAAAUACUCAGAGCUGAUGAAUGUGAAAAAGAAGGUUUAAGAGGGUGUUAUUCUAGAAGCAAGAAUCGAUGAAGAGAGGAAAUCUCAACCCUCGAUUUAAUUGGCCCAUUUGAAAUCCUCGAUUGAGUAGGAACUGUGGCUUACAGACUCAUUUUACCGCCAAGUAUGUCGCGUGCUCAUAACGUUUUUAACGUAUCGAUGUUACGUAAAUAUGUGGACGACCCAAACCACAUUAUUAAUUUAGAACCAGAUGAGAUAGCAGAUGAUUUAACGUAUGAGGAGAUACGUGUUAAAAUCUUGGAUAAGAAGGAUUAUAUUCGACACUCAAAGGUUAUAUCUCAAGAGUUAGAAUCUGAAAUGAAGUCAAGGUAUCCUCACCUGUUCGGCAUACCAGGUACGUACGUAAAUUUUGAGGGCGAAAUUCCAUAAGGAGGGGAGAUUGUGAGACCCCAGAUUUUAUGAAUAAAUAUUUAAUUUUCUCAAAAUAAUUUUUUAAUAUUAUGGUGUGGAUUUGAUAUAAUGUUAUAGUUGUGGGUAGUAUUUAUAAAUUUUACAAAGUAUGCAAGUUGUCAUAUUAUAUUCGAUUGGUUGGGGAAUAUUCUUUUUGUUGAGGAAUAUCCGUACGACGGCACAAUCAUUGGUGGACCCCACAACGGAAUUAUUGUCGGAUUGAGAAAACGACAAAAAUAUUUUAUUAAAAAUAACGGCGGAAGUUUUACUGUUAAUACUGUUGAACUACUCGGUAGUAAAAGUACAGUAAUACGCGUGGUUGCAUAGUAGCACACGGUAUUGAUUAUUGAUGCUUACGUGAUAAGUCACUCAGUUUUGUUAUUGGUAUUAUUAAUGUAAUAAAACAUAAAAUCUUUUUAUAUAAAACAGAAUACUUUUAUAAAGUUAUUCUAUAAAUAGAAUAUAUUAUAUUCUAUUAUGCAUAGUGUUUUGCAUAGUAAAAUCUUUUUAUAUAAAACAGAAUACUUUUAUAAAGUUAUUCUAUAAAUAGAAUAUAUUAUAUUCUAUUAUGCAUAGUGUUUUGCAUAGUAAAAUCUUUUUAUAUAAAACAGAAUACUUUUAUAAAGUUAUUCUAUAAAUAGAAUAUAUUAUAUUCUAUUAUGCAUAGUGUUUUGCAUAGUAAAAUCUUUUUAUAUAAAACAGAAUACUUUUAUAAAGUUAUUCUAUAAAUAGAAUAUAUUAUAUUCUAUUAUGCAUAGUGUUUUGCAUAGUAAAAUCUUUUUAUAUAAAACAGAAUACUUUUAUAAAGUUAUUCUAUAAAUAGAAUAUAUUAUAUUCUAUUAUGCAUAGUGUUUUGCAUAGUAAAAUCUUUUUAUAUAAAACAGAAUACUUUUAUAAAGUUAUUCUAUAAAUAGAAUAUAUUAUAUUCUAUUAUGCAUAGUGUUGCAUAGUGUCUGCAUAGUGAUUUGCAUAGUAAAAUCUUUUUAUAUAAAACAGAAUAUUUUUAUAAAGUUAUUCGUUUUAUUAGAUUAUAAAUAGAAUAUAUUAUAUUUUAUUUAAAAGAUUUUGCUUUAAAUAUGGACCGUCCGAUUAAAGUAAAUCAAUCUGGACCGUUCAUGAGUUAGUUACUAUGUAGUCCAUUCUUCUAUAAAUAGAAGCUCAUUCCUUCAUUAUUUUCUUACGAAUUCACUGAAACCCUAGAGAGAGAAAUUAUAGAGAAAAAAAAGAAAAGUAUUCUGCUACUUUACUACUCCGAUAUCAAGUUUCUUUUACGGUAAGAGAUAUUAUUUGUUGUACUCGUAAGGGGUAUUAUUUCUUUUGUAAUCAUGAAGAGAACUUCUGUUAUUCCAUUCUUUAUUAUUCUGUUGGAAUAACCUGUAUACGUGGUCUACCCUAUACUUGGUGAAAUUCUUCUGUUAUUCAAUUCUUUAUUAUUCUAUUGGAAUAUCCUGUCUGUGCGUUUUAUGCCAGACCUGGUUCCGUCUUUAUUAUUCUGUUGGAAUAUCCUGUCUGUGCGUUUUACGCCGGACCUGGUUCCGUCUUUAUUAUUCUGUUGGAAUAUCCUGUCUGUGCGUUUUACGCCGGACCUGGUUCCGUUAUUUAUUAUUCUGUUGGAAUAACCUGUCUAUUCGAAGUACCGCAUGCAUGGUGAUUUUUGUUGUUAUUCCAUUCUUUAUUAUUCUAUUGGAAUAUCAUGUCUGUGCGUUUUACGCCAGACCUAGUUCUAUCUUUAUUAUUUUGUUGGAAUAACCUGUCUAUGUGAAGUAUCGCAUGCAUGGUAAUUUCUGUUGUUAUUCCAUUCUUUAUUAUUCUGUUGGAAUAUCCUGUCGGUGUGUAUUACGCCUGACCUGGUUCCGUUAUUUAUUAUUCUAUUAGAAUAACUUGUCUAUGCGAAGUACCGUAUGUAUGGUGAUUUCUUUUCUUAUUCCAUUCUUUAUUAUACUCAGUUAGUUAAAGUUUUGACUUCUAUACUCCAUGAAAUUAGUGGAAUAUCCUUGAUAUUUAUACUUCAUCCAGUAUCUUUUCAUGAAAAUAUUCUUCUGAGCAUUCUUGAAUUUUACUCUACAAAGAAGUAUCAUGUUGAAAAUUUGGACGUUAUUGAUUCCUGGAUAAAUUAAUUCGUGAACUUGUUUUAUUGAAUUAUUAUGUCAUUGUCAUCAUCCUCAUGUUUAUUUUUUUUGAAAGUCAUCUGUGGCCUGUAGUGCAUAGAUGGACUUGGUAUGAUUAUGACCAGGGAUUAUUCGGUAUAAUCAUGACCGUAAUAUUACAAAUGAUGUGGAAAAAGUCCUCAUUGGCCCGUAAUGCAUUAAUGGACAGUUUUCGGUAUGAUUAUGGCUAUGGAUUCUCUUCGGCCAAGGGUGCAAAAAUGAAUUGUUUUAUGUCAUGAUCAGGACCGUUGAUGAAAACACGAUUUUCUUUGGCCCGUAGUGCAUGGAUAAUUCGUGGUCGUGAUACUAAAGAAUAUCCUUGGCCUGUAGUGCAGGGAUGAUUUGAUGAUGUGGAUUAUUUAUUGGGCUGAGUCUCAGCAAUAAAAGUGAUGAAAAAACUUUUUAAAUCAUAAAACAUAGUAGAUUCUAUUCUCUACUUGACUCUUUUAAUGGAUUGCUUGUUCCGCUGCAGUUAAACUUGAUGUCUAUUGUAUUUUAUCAGUUUAACAUUGUUGAAGACUAAUGAUAAUUUAUUCUGCACUAUCUUAGUCAUAAUAUUUCUUACUGGGCUAGUUGAGCUCACCCUUUCUUUCACUGUUCUAUUCAGGAAAUGAGAAUAUAGCUGGGGCGAGUCGGGGAACGGAGUGAUGGACCAGAUGAUAGUAUUAGUAGUCCUCACUAUUCUGUUAAAUAGUGUGAUAAUAAAUGUAAUGAGGACAUAUUCUGAGAGUGGAUAUUGUUUAGAAGACAGUAUUUGUAUUAAAACUCACAGCUCUCUUGUUGUAUAUUAAAGAUUGUAUUUGUAUUAUGUACCAUGUAUUUGGCGACUCAGAAUAGGUGAUGUAUACCUAUUUUGGGGGCGUCAAAAAUGAUGGGUAGAAAAAUAUUUAUUUUGUGUGGUUAUAAAUGAAGAAAUUAAUUUUGAGGUAUUUUAUAAUUAUUUUGUCAGAAUGGAUGUAUUAAAAAUCAUCCGUAUGUGGAUUUCGGACAUUUUUUGUUUAGAAUUUGGAAAAACUUUCUUCUCUAAAGUUGUAGAGAAUUUGAUUUCCUAUGGAAUGGACAUAAAAUUCAUAUUUUUCUGAUAAAAGAGCUAUUUAUUGUGAAUUAAAUGGAGUAAAGAUAAUCAAAUUGAAUUAGUUUUCAAAUUGAAUUUGAAUUCUUUUAUUUAUUUAUUUUUCAAAAAUAUGUGAUAAAUUAUUGGGGUGGGUGAGCAAAGUUGGACAAUCUUGAUUCAAGUAAGGUGUGCGUAGAAGAGAAGGAAAUAAGAAUAUUAUUUUAUUAUUUUAGUCUCCUUUGGCGUUCUAGCAUUUUUCUAUAAAUAGGUGCUUAAGUUAGAAUUGAAAAUCACACCAGAAACAUAAGCUUUCUCUCUCUAGAUUAUCGAGCGUAUUAUUGUGAGUAUUUUUCUUGAGUAUAGGAAUACUUUGAGCGUAGUUUUCUGCAAGAUUUUCUCAGAAUAAUAUCCAAUAUUCCAGGCAAAUCCAGUUUCUACUAAGGUAAAGGAUAUUAUUUUAUUGCUUUUAUAAUUCCUGAAAUGAUUAGAAAUUUCACUUCAUCUAAUAUCCUUUUAUAGGAAUAUUGGUCUGAACUUUUUAUCAAAUUUAGAACUUUUCAUGACGGGUACUGUUCACCGGUACUGUUCACGGGUACUGUUCAAAAAAGAAAAAAAAAUUUCUCCUUCCCAGUUAUCUGUUGUGACCUUUAAUCCUGAAAUUGAAUCCAUGUUUUUGAUCUUUAUUCUUGAAUUUUACUCCAUUAUGGUUUAUUAUGGAGUAUUUUUAAACUUGAGUUAUCUAAAGUACAAAUCUCUAAACUUUAUCCUUUUAUCUCACUUGAUUCGUUCUCUAAAAUGUUUUUCAUCAUCCUCAGUCCUUAAUGGUGAUACUUGAUAAAUAUCUUUGGCCUGUAGUGCAAAGAUGUAUGAUUACCUGAUGAAUAUCUUUGGCCUGUAGUGCAAAGAUGAACAGGUGUUGAGAUGAACAUGACCAACUGGUGAUACAAAUGAAUAUCUUUGGCCCGUAGUGUAAAGAUGAAUAUUUGAUUCAAGAUGUAUAUUGAUUGAUGUUACAGGGAUAAAAUAUUGAUGAUGGACUUUUAAAUUCAUAGAUGAUAGUAGAUUUCAUUCUCUACUUAACUCUUCUAAUGAAUUGUUGUUUCCGCUGCAGUUGUUGAUCUAAAACUUGUUGUCUAUUGUAUUCUAUCAGAUUUUUCCCUGUUGAAGACUAAGGAUAAUUUGUUGUAUAUUAUCUUAGUCAUAAUAUUCUUUACUGGGCUAGUUGAGCUCACCCUUUUCCUUUUUGUUCCAUUUUUCUUCUCAGGAAGCGAGAACAUAGCAGGAACCAGUCGGGGUAUAGAGUGAUGGUCCUAGACAGUUGUUUUAGAAGUCCUCACUAUUUUUGUAAAAUAGUGCAUCAAUAAUUGUAAUGAAGACUUUAUUUGAGUGUGGAUAUUGUCUAGAAGACAAUAUUUGUAUUUAAACUCACAGUAUGUGUUGUCGUAUUUUGCACGACAAUUGUAAUAAUAAAGUUGUAGUUAUUUUCUGUACCAUAUAUUUGGCGACUCAGAAUGGGUGAUGUAUACCUAUUUUAGGGGCGUCGCAGAAUAGCUUAUACCAUAUCAGUCAUUAUCAAAUCCUCUAGUCUAGCAUACAAAAUCCUUAAAACGGUGGCUAAGUCUUAGUUAAAUGCUUAGCUCAUAUAUAGACCGGUAUACACCAAGUUAUAAUCAUCUUAUGCUCAUGCAAAACUAACCUUUUAAGCACAUUUGCAUCUUUAGAAUUUUAAUAUAGAAUAUUGGCAUAGGAUUAGACUUGGCUGUACUCAUUUUCAACACAGUUGACUCCAAUAGUCUAUUAACAGACAUUUUACCAAACAGUUGGGAUGCGGUUCAUAUCUAUCCAUACAAUACAUAUAUUCUUAGCUUAGUGAUCCCAGCCUUAUGGCUUAAACAAUAACAAGCAUAAGAUGAUACAUAACAACUCCAAUCACGGUAAUCCAAAUAGCAUUGAAACAGGCAUCCUAUUGUACCAAUUCCAAUAUAACAGCCAUACAUGUUACCUAAACUCUAACAGUCCAGUUGCUAUCAUUUAAAGAAACAGGAACGAAUGGAAAAGGAUUGGAAAGGUCAGAAUUGGCUUACCUUGUUGAUUUGAAGGUUACAAGUGGGUUGAGCUGCCCAGUUUCUCCUCCUUCUCUAGCCGAAGCUUUUCCUCUCUUACUCUAUAUGACUGAUACCGUUACUUCUUCCCUUUUUCUUUUAACUUUGCUAAGUGGUGAGCUAAUCGGUUCUAGGCCAUAAGCUUGGCCUUUUAUGGUUGAGUUUAUCUCCUCUUUUCUGGCAGUACUAUCACCUUUAGUUGGCCUCUACACAACCACCCUAUCAAGCUCCCAUCCAUCAUUCCUAUUCUAGUUCACUUGGCCCCUAUAGGGCCUGUCAGACCAUAGCUAUUCUGCUUCCUCUUAUCCACUGCAAGUUUAUCCCACCUGCUAGCUGACUGUUAACUGAACUAACAUGCUAACUAGAAACCAACUUAGAAUUCGUAUAACUUGCUACUUGACUUGGUGCUCAAGCCAUGUUAUUGUUUUUCUUAAUUGGUUUGAAGCAGUUAUCUUGCUAUACAUCACUGGGUUUACAGGAUUGGGCUGGGGGAACAAUGUGACAAUUUUAAUUUGGGUUUAAACUAACCCUCCCUCUUUAACCAUGUAGCUGCCAAAUUGCACUAAGAAAAUAGGUUAAAAUUGGCCCUUUUAAUUUUGUUAUAGACCUAAUACAACAACCCAUACCCUAAAAUAGUUGAAAGGGGCAUACAAGCAUACAUAGCAAAAUUUAAUAUGGCCCAAUGUUUUAGAAUGGACUCAUUUUAAACACAAAAUUUUUUCUAUCUUAUUAAAUUCCUUUUAGGCUAGCAACAAUAGUUGGUACAUAUAUCAUUAACUCUUUUUUUUUACCAUUCAUGAUCUAAGAUACUUAAUAAAAUAUUAAGUAACAAAUAAUUAUAAGGUCAGGAUACAAAAAUAAAAUAAAAUUUAUACACAAAAUUGACAUUAUAACAACUGAAUAUUUUAUAGAAUUUCUGAGUCAUUACAUUUACUUUGUUAAGGACUAAUGAUAAUUUAUUUUACAUUAUCUUAGUCAUAAUAUUCUUUACUAGGCUAGUUGAGCUCACCAUUUUCUUUCAUUGUUCUUUUCAGGAAAUGAGAAUAUAGUUGUGACUAGUCGGAGAAUGGAGUGAUGGUCCAAGAUGGUUGCUAUAGUAGUCCUCACUAUUCUAUAAAAUAGUGUGAUAAUAAUUGUAAUGAGAACUUCAUUUGAGUUUGGAUAUUGUCUACGAAAUAAUAUUUGUAUUAAAACUCACAACUUACGUUUUGUCGUAUUUUACACGACAAUUAAUAAUUGUAUAAAUGCAGUUUGUAUUUGAAUUUUGUACCAUGUAUUUGGUGACUCAGAAUGAGUUGUAUGGACCUAUUUUGGGGGAGUCACGAAUAGGACCCAAGAAGAUUUGGGUACGAAAAAGGUAGACUAUUUGUUCAUUUUGUCAAUGUCUUAAGUUCAAAAAGGAGACGAAUAGUACUUAUAAAUUAUUUGGCAAAAUCUGUAAGUACCUUAUAUUUUUUUCUAAAAUAGUGUUUUAAUUAGAUAUAUUAUGAAAAAUCUAUGGAUUUCGUAUUACAUGGGUUCAUAACAUCAUUUAUUAUAAAGUAUAUAUUGUGCUAAAUGCUCCAUAUUUAAUACAAAUGACAAUCUUGAUGAGGAAUAAGUGAAUAUUAUUUUUGAUUAACUUAACCAUGAUCUGCUAAAGGAAGAGAAUGAGGUUUCUGUUGGAAAUGACUAUUUGAAUUGUGGAACCCAAACAGUUCAAUCCGGACAGUCUAAGAUGUGAGACCCCGAAUUUUAUGAAAUAAAAGUAUUAAAUUUUUCUAUUUUGGUAAAUAGUUAAAUUGAUAAAAGUUUAAAGUUAAGGGUCAUAUUUGAAAAUUUUGCAAAGUAUGCAAGUUGUUAUAAAUAUUCGAUUGGUCGGAGAAUAUUCUUUUUGUCGGGGAAUAUUCGUACGACGGCACAAUCUUUGGUGAACCCACAACGGAAGUACUGUCGUAGUUAGAAAAAGACAAAAAUAUUUUAUGAAAAUAACGACGAAGGUUUUACCGUUAAAAUUGUUGAACUACCCGGUAGUAAAAGUACAAUAAUACUCGUGGUUGCAUAGUAGCACACGGUAUUGAUUAUUGAUACUUAUGUGAGAAGUCACUGAGUUAUACUCAAUUAUUGCUACAGUAAUUGUUGCAUCAUAUCUCUCAUAUUAUUGAUUCGAUUAUUGUCAGUAUCAUCUGCAUUAUAUGUUAUUUUAUUAAAUCAAUAAUUGAGACGACAAAGUUAUUCAUAUUAUUAAAUUGCAAUAUUUAUAAUGUCUAGAAGUUCUGUCAAGGAGAGGUUAGAUAAUCUAAUUACGCGCCAAUAGGGAGAAAUCUUUAUCGGAAAGCCCCCUCUUUCCUGGGAACAACCUGGUUGUUAAAUAUUGUGAGUUAUGAUAUUAAUGAUGGAUAAGUUCGUGUUGAUUAAAGAUGAAUUUUAUAGUUUUAUUGUGUUGGGAUUAUUUGUGUUAGUAGAAAUUGACAUCUAUUCCGAUGAUUAUUGAUGUCUGGAGGUUAUAUUGUUCAAUCGGGUAUUCGGGACACUUUUCAUGUCAGAGUUAUUAUUCAUGAGUUACUAUUCACGAGUUACUAUUCAUGAGUUACUAUUCACUAGUUACUAUUCACAAGUUACUAUUCACCUAAUUACUAUUCACUCUAGUAUUGUGCAUUCGGGUAUUUGGGUACAAUAUUAUUCCAUGAGGAGAUGUGUUAAUUUUUCUGACCGUUGGUUGAAAUUAUAAUAGUAAAUCAAUAUGGAUCGUUGAUUUAAAGUCUUAAUAGUAACUUGUCCCUUCAAUAUUACCAAGAGUUAAUUGCCCCUUCGUAAAUAGUAGUUGUCCCUUCAAUAUUACCAAGAGUUAUUUGCCUCUUCGGUGUUCCAAGAGUUAAUUACCCCUUCGCAAACAGUAGUUGUCUCUUCAAUAUUACCAAGAGUCAUUUUGACCCUUCGUUAAGACCAAGAGCCACUCUCAGUUUUUCUAUAAAUAGAAGCUCAUUCCUUCAUUAUUUCUUACGAAUUCACUGAAACUCUAGAGAGAGAAAUUAUAGAGAGAAAGAAGAAGAGUAUUCUGUUACUUCACUACUUCGAUAUCCAGUGUCUUUUACGGUAAGGGAUAUUAUUUGUUGUACCCGUAAGGGGUGUUAUUCUUUCUUAGUCAUGAAGAGAACUUCUGUUAUUCCAUUCUUUAUUAUUCUGUUGGAAUAACCUGUAUAAGCGGCAUACCCUAUACAUAACCUGUAUAUGCGGCAUACCCUAUACUUGGUGAAAUCCCUUUGUUAUUCCAUUCUAUAUUAUUAUGUUGGAAUAACCUGUUUAUGCCAAGUACCGUAUGCAUAGUGAAAUUCUUCUAUUAUUUCAUUCUAUAUUAUUAUGUUGGAAUAACCUGUUUAUGCGAAGUACCGCAUACAUGGUGAAAUUCUUCUAUUAUUCCAUUCUUUAAUAUUCUGUCAGAAUAUCCUGUCGGUGUGAAUUUCGGCUGACCUGGUUCCAUUUAUUAUUCUGUUGGAAUAACCUGUAUACGCGUAUUACCGUAUACUUGGUGAUGUCUGUUGUUCUUCCAUUCUUUACUAUUCUGCUGGAAUAUCCUGUCUGUGCGUUUUACGCCAGACCUGGUUCCGUCUUUAUUAUUCUGUUGGGAAUAACUUGUCUGUGUGGUCUCUAUCGCAUGCAUGAUGAAUCCUUCUGUUAUUCCAUUCUUUAUUAUUCUGUUAGAAUAACCUGUCUAUGUGGAUUACCACAUGCAUGGUGAAUGAUCCUUUAUAUUCAUUCCUUAUUAAAUUGUGGAAAUGAUCCGGUUACGUUGAUUAUGAUGAGAGUCAUAAUAAAAGUAUUGGACUAAUGAAAAUCAUGGGUAUAUGUGGUAUUAGUAAGUGUUAUGAUGAGUUAUGUUGGUUAUUAUGUGAAAACAUGAAAGUUUCUUAGAAAUCACAAAGGGUUGAAAAUCAGAUUUUGGUGAAAAUAGAACAUGAAAUUCAAUUGACCAUAUCUCCUAUUAUAUUUCAAAUUUUUGGGUGUGGUUAAGUUCUAGAGUUAGGUCUAUGAGUUAUGUAACUUAUCCAAGUGGAAUCACUGGAAAAGGUGUUGUAGAUUUUCGUGUGGACUGAUUUUAGCAAAGGAGUGCAAAGCUGCAAAAACCCAAAACUCUACUGCCCAGAAACUUUAAGGGGCUGUUUCGGCUACUUAAUUUGUGAGAACAAUUCUGGCCUUUUGGGACAUGAAAUUAUAUGAUAUAAAGUACCUCCUGUCCAAAAAUGAGCUCAUUCUGACUUAAAAUGAGCAAGUUAUGACCAUUUCAAUAUUUAGGUUUUUCCGACGAAAAACGCUAUAACCGGAGUUCUAUAACUCCGAUGACCAUGAAAUUUAAAUUGGAAGCUCAUGUUAACAUGUGUAAGAUUAUGCCAAGAUUUGGGAAUUUUUGGAGUUAACCUUGAGGUAGCUAACUUCUUAAGGAAUUAAUUAGAAAUUGAUUUUUGAAAAAUAGUAAAUGAAUUUUAAAAAUUCCGAGAAAAAUAUAUGUUCAUUAUGGGACUAUAUUCUGCUAAAUACCAGAAAAGAAAUAUUUUUGGGACUGAUUUGGUAUUUUUCAUGAAAAUAGUUUAGUUACGAACUUAUGAGUUAAAUAUGUUAUGUGAAGUAACAAAAUUGGAAAAAUAGGAUUUAUGGUUUGGAAGGUAUAUGCAGAUUUUUGAUAAAGAAUUUGAUUAUUGGUGAUGAGAUCUUAUGAGUAUGGCAUUUUGAAUGAUUAAAUACAUUAUAUGGUAAAGUGUAAGCAAUUGAAAUAAAUUAUUUAUAAGUUUGAGAAGCGAUUAAAAUAUUGUUAUAAUAUUAAUAAUAUUAGAUUAUGAGUUAUUGAUAAUAUUUGGAUAAGUUUAAAGUCUUUAGUAUUUAUCCUUGUUUUCGUAUGAUUAAUGCUUAUAUCAUUGUCAUCAUCCUCAUGCUUAUAUGGUGAUGAAAGUUAUCUUUGGCUUACGUGCAAAAAUGGACUUUUGAUUAUUGAAUUGUAUAUCUUUGGCUCACGUGCAGAGCUAGUUUGUUGAUUAUUGGUUUUAUUGUUGUAUAUCUUUGGCUUACGUGCAGAGAUGAAUUUGGUAUGAUUAUGACCAAGGAUUAUUCGGUAUAGUCAUGACUAUUGAUGAUUUAAUGAAUAUCCUUGGCCCGUAGUGUAGGGGUGAUUCGAUGAUGUGGUUUAUUUAUUAAGCUGAGUCUCAAUGAUAAAAAUGGAUGAAAACAUUUUUAAAUCAUAGAAGAUAGUAGAUUUUAUUCUCUACUUGACUCUUUUAAUGGAUUGCUUGUUCCGCUGCAGUUAAACUUGAUGUCUAUUGUAUUUUAUCAGUUUAACAUUGUUGAAGACUAUUGAUAAUUUAUUCUGCAUUAUCUAGUCAUAAUAUUUCUUACUGGGCUAGUUGAGCUCACCCUUUCUUCACUGUUCUCUUCAAGAAAUGAGAAUAUAGCUGGGACGAGUCGGGGAACAGAUUGACAGUCCAGAUGAUAGCAUUAGUAGUCCUCACCAUUCUGUUAAAUAAUGUGAUAAUAAAUGUAAUGAGGACUGAAUUUGAGUUUGUAUACUGUCUAUGAGGACUCCAUUGAGAAUUGAUAUUGUCUAGAAGGCAAUAUUCUUGUUUAAACUCUCAGUUUAUGUUUUACACGACAGUUGUAUAAUUAUGUUGUAUUUGAUUUAUGUACCAUGUAUUUGGCGACUCAAGAUGGGUGAUGUAUACCUAUUUUGGGGGCGUCACAUAAGACGUCUGCAUCAGAAGGAAAUAUAGAUGAAAUCAGACAGUUUGACCUGUCUGUUUUAGAAGAAAACUCAAAUUUACAAACACCUAAAUCUAGAAAAAUCGAGAGGUCUGCUUUAGAAUAAAAAACAUAUGAAUAUUCGGAUGCAGUAACUUAUAUUCCAGAGGAUGAAUCUGAAAAGCAAAUGACUUCUUCCAGGCUUCCUAAAUCUUCUAGAACUAUGGGAAAUCAUCCUCCAAGUCUGAUCAUCAGAAAUUUCAACAUUAGGAUGUCCACAAGAAGAGGUUUUGAAGAAAUUUGUUUGCUACACUAAAGGAGCUCAUCUAUCAAGCUUAUUGUUGGUAACAAAAUUGUGGAUAUAUAGGUAACAAAUCACAAAGGUAUGGUUAUUUUAUUUAAGUGCUAUAUGUGAUAUUGUUACAAGCUUGAUGUCGUGUCUUUAUUUUAUGAAUUAUUUUUUGUUAGUGACAAAUGGGGAGAGAUAUAGCUAAAUUGAUGAUUUAUUUCUUUUUGAUAAUGAUAAGGGGAGAAAUGUUUAAAAAUAUUGAUGAUUAUGAUAUUUGAUGGUUAUAUUGAUUAUAAUAUGUUUGGAUUUUUUGGAUAUCAUAUUGAUGAUAAUGGUUGGAUAUUUUGAUUCAUUAUCUGUUAUAUACAGCUUAUCAUUAUGCAUUAUUUAUCAUAACAGUUAUGUGAUCUUUAUAUCUCCUAUAGGCAAAAUUUAGGGGGAGCCAUAUAGUUAGGGAGAGCAUGAUUGUAAGGAAUAAUAUAUUGUCAUCAUCAAAAGGUGGAGAUUAUUAGUUUUAUUAUUUGUAAUUUUAAUAAUGACAAUAUAUUUGCAAAUAUAAGUUAUUUAAUGGUCUGAAUAUAUUUGCAAAUAUAAGUUUGGUUCAUGAUAAUUUAAUUUGGUUAUAAGUCAAAUUGAUAUUACGUGCAGGAUUGAAUUGGAAUAUUUUCUUUCAGGUCUAAUUUGGAGUCUCUAAAUUAACUGGUUUAGAUAUUUGUGUAGAGUAUGGACUCUAUCUAUAAUAUAUUGUUACUCCUUAAUUUUAGCCAUUGUUAGAUUACAUAUCUUUGACUUUCUAAUUUUGAGAAUAUUUUAUAGCUGUUAGCUAUAUCUAUGUGCUGAAAUCUCUAAUUCUCGAAAUCCAAGACCAAGUCAUUGACGAGCCUACUAAGUUUACACAGCAACCACGAUUUGUUUGUAGACUUGUAGUUAUUCAUUUUAUACCCGAAGUUAACAAAUUGUAUGAAAGGUUCAUCCUUUCAAUUAUCUACAUAAUUUAUUUUUUCCUACUCUAUGCAUUCCUAAGUAUCAGAUCGGAUCAGAUCAUAAACAUCACAAUAAACCAUCUAGUGGUAAUUGUUUUAUUUAUAAUACGGUAAUAACAACCACCUAGUGGUAGUUGAUUUAUUUAUUACAUGCUAAUAACAACCAUGAGCUGAUUGUUGAUUUAUUUAUUAAAUGCUAAUAACAGCUAUCAGCUAGUGGUUGAUUUAUUUAUUAUAUUCUAAUAACAGCCAUCAACUAGUAUAUAGUUUCUUGAUCAACUGUUCAUAGGAAGAUUACUGAUCGUUCAUUUAGGCGCUGGGGGGACUAAUUUGAACACCAUAGAUAACUAAACCCGUCUUCAUAGUCGCGCUUUCACUCCCGUCAAGAGCAAAUUUUAAAUCUCCAGAGUCAAAGCUAUUCAAGAAUUCCCCAGCUUUGAGCGAAAAUGGUGUGUUUCUCGGAUAAUUCAUCAAUCCAUAUCCGUUCACUUGCGAGGAUCCAUUCGGAAGAGUAAGUGUAAGACUCACCGGACUUGCUAUGUUAAAGUUGUCUUUCAGCAACACCACAAAAGAUACCUCAUAAGAUAAUUUUUCAAGCUUUUCUGUCAUAUAGUUUCCGUCAACAUGUAGGACUAAGCUACCAAUUAAUUCAGCACUGGCAUCACUGAAAAAAAAUGAUAGUAGAAUUAAAGUCAGAAACUUUUGAUAUAAGGAGCUUAAAUUCAUUAAGGUGAUUUUAUUGAUUUUUUUUUUCUGGAACAUUUUUAAUGUAAGUCCUUCUAUCUACCUAGAGUCUAGACUUCAAUAAAAUUUCUAUAGUCCUUCUAUCACUUUAAUUUAAUGACAUAGUUGCUUAUAUAUCCCUAUUUUUAACUGAAUAAAAUUCAGGUGUUUAAACACAAAUCUUAACCUUUGACGUCAAUUAAGUUAACUAAAUCUUAUUUCUACUUACGUA